CCUGUUUGGCUAGAGAAACUCCAUUACUCAUUUCCACACUCUCAAUUUUCACCCCUUUCAUCAAAACACAAGCAUUACUUACCCAUGUUUAGACAUAAUUUAUUUUUCUGAUAUCACAUCAUUCAGGGAAAAAAAAAACAAUUAACUGACUUCAGCACAUAAAUUACAACAAGCUGUUAAUUUACAUAAACAAGUAAAAUUAACUCAAUCAAGUGAAGUAGGCACAAAAUGACCUCAAUGAAGUAUCAAAGGCCUCUAAAAUCAAAUCAAAUUCAGUUGAACAAAGAAUCACUCAUCAAAGAUAAACAAAAGAAAAAAAAAAGCAAUGAAUAACAGAAAGAAAUUCUGGUUAAGUGAUUUCGUCAGCAAAUAAGACAAAAUAGAAAUUCUGAAUUAUACCUAGGGUUUCUAGCUUUGGGAAUUUACCUAAUGAGAAAUCAGUCUCACUGUUUCUAGAUUUGUAACUUCAGUAUCAUGGCGGAGCGACCUCGAUCAGCUGAGAUAAUCAGAUUUCGCACCGGCUACGAUGCAAAUGUUUGGGUUUGGGUUUGGGUUUGACGAUGGACGAAGGAAUGUUGGGGUUUUGGGUGAGUUAAGGAUUUUAUUUUAUUCAAGCAAAGUGACCAAAUUAACCUUUCAAAAUAAUUAAAGUAUCCCUAGGUUUUUUUUUUUAAUACAUAAAGUAUCCCUAGGUUGUUACACAUUUAAGAAUAGUUAAUUAAACUUCUGCUCGUGUAUUUAUGGAGCACGUGAGUUCGUGUGGAGAAAAACGAAAACGGGAUAAAAGGAAAAUUCGACGCAAAAUUUUAUUAGGAUGCAUACGUAAGUACCUUAUCGAAUAUGCCUUAAAACAACUGCCUUUUUUCCUGGGACAAUCAUAUUAUAUAUAACAAAUAAUACAGCAAAAGAAUAGAAGUACAAGUAGAAAGGCAGCAUCUAGGUUGUCUGCUACUCGGCUUCUAGUUCCACCCAAGAAACAUCUUCGUUCCGGUAACCAAGCACAGACUCUGUUACUGCUAUAACUAAUUUAUCACAUGACUAUAAUUUCCAGAACACCUUGCGCUUGUCCAAUGGGUUGUUCAACUUGAGGAGGAGCUAGCAGAUGUGCGUUGACAGAGGUGACAAUGAAGACAGCGAGUAGUCGAAGCCAGUAGAAGAAGUGCUGAAACAGAGAAGCGAACAUUGCAUAACAGAGUGAUAAGACUAUGAGGCACAAAUACGCUACCAAGAACAGAGACGGAGCCAAAAUGACAGAGGCCACUGCCGAGACAGCCAACAGAACAGAGAGUUCUCCACAACUCACGGAAAUGGGUCGGCUCACUUUGAGAGGAACUCUGAUGGGUGUGAGGAUGAAGAGCAGUAAUGGGAUGACAAUGACAGGAAUCAGGAACCAUAACUGAAGCUUUAAAAUUGGAUACAGAAGUAUCUUACUUGCACCAUCUUGGACGUUCCAAGAGUUGCCAUCCUGAGACUUGAGGAACAGAAAAAAGACUAUAAGAUUCAGCAAUGGAAGAAAUAGAAACCUCAAAUCGAUUGAAAAGUCCAUGCCUGUGAAUAAGAUUUGGCGGAGAUGAUUCAGUUUAAUUAUUAUGAAUAAGAUUUGGCAAUGGCGGAGUUGAAUGAAUACGAUGGAGUUUAAGUUGCGUGAUACUAUCAGGAAAUAUUUAUAGAGCCCUUUUGCUUAUUGUUUUCUUUGUAGCUUGAGGGUAAGAAACAAAGCAAGUCAAAAGGAUUUGGUGCCGUCCUGGGUAGAUCGUUAAUACGACGUGUCCCCUUUCUUUGGAGAAAUUUAUUUGUGACCUGUUUAGUAUCUUUCGCAUUUUACUUAGUUAAUAAUUUAAUUAAUUUUAUGCCUUAUUUUCGUUUUACCACUUUAGAAAUUAUAAAAUAAUAAAUUGGGUAAAAGCCUAUUUAGUUCUUGUAUUUUAAGAUUAGUAUCCAUUUAGUCCUUGUAUUUUUAAAAAUAUCUCGAAACAUUCAUGUCAUUAAAGUAUUGAUACCCCUACCGUUACUUUUUAUUUCUUUUGGCUUACUUUUACAAUAUUAUCCUUUUAUAAUAAUUUUUUUAGAUAUUAAUAAAAAGAAAAUAAUUAAAUUACUAAUUUAACCUUAAAAAAUUAUAUUAAUUUUUAAUUGUCAAAAAUUGUAUGCAAACUACCAAGUGUGCAAAUGAUGCUUGCAAAAAAAUUAAUAUAAUUUUUUAAUUUUCUAAGAUUAAAUUGGUAAUUUAAUUAUUUUCUUUUUAUUAAUGUCCAAACAAAAAAAUUAUUAUAAAAUAGAAACCUCAAAUCGAUUGAUAAGUCCAUGCCUGUGAAUAAGAUUUGGCAAAAAUGAUUGAUUUUAAUUAUUAUGAAUAAGAUUUGGCAAUGGCGGAGUUGAAGCUCCGUGAUACUACGAGGAAAUACUUAUGGAGCUAAUUUGAGGGUAAGAAACAAAGCAAGUCAAAAGGAUUUGGUGCCGUCCUCUGUAGAUCGUUAAGACAACGUGUCCUAUUUCCUUAGAGAAAUUUAUAAGUUUAGUAUCUUUCUCAUUUUACUAAGUUAAUAAUUUAAUUAUUUUUAUUCAUUUUACUAUUUUAGAAAUUGUAAAAUAAUAAAUUGGUGCGGGAAGUAAUAGGAUAUAACAUUUUACACCAUAAUACUUUAGGAAUUGUUGAAUAUCCUCAAUAAACCUCACAUUUUACUACAAUUCUGUUACUUAAAAUUCACUUGUAAAAUACUAAUUUUACAUGUAAAAAAGAAUUGAUAAUUAAUCAAUUAAAUUGUUCUUAUAAUCUUUUUUUAAUUAAUUAAACUUUGGUUUGCCAGCUGAGGUUGUUCUAUGGUAAGUCUAAUUUGACCUUUUUUUAAUGAAAUUCCAUAAUUUAACUUAUAUAUACAUAUAUAGUAGUUUUCUAGUCCGGGAUCAUAAAGUGCGGGAAACGUCUGGGAAAUCUUUAAAACCGCAAGAUUUUAAAGACUUAAAACUUAAAGUGCUUAAACCGGACGGUUUAUGCAUUUUUACGGACAUUCUUGCACUUUAAAAUUCCGAACUAAAACAUUUCUUUCUCUCUCUCUCUCUCUCUCUAUAUAUAUAUAUAUAUAUAUAUAUAUAUAUAUAUAUACUUCUGGAUGUGUUUUCGUUGGAAAUCAAAAUUAAGAACUCAAAUAAUACAAUGCUUGGAUUGGGUCGGCUUUGUCAAAUUUUUAAAAUAAAUUACCAGCUUUUGAAUUAAUAGAGUUGCUUUGGAACGCGGUUGGUCAGGUUUUAUGAAAGGUACGUGGCGUUGUAUCUAGAUCGAUGCAGAGCCAGGUCUGCCUUUGGAACCAGAUCUGACUUAGAACAUAUCAAUAUCCUGCACGUUCUAGUUUCCAGCCGAUAUACCAAAUUUAUUUACCAAAUCUUUAUUAAGUUUUUUAAGCAAGCCUAGCAACAAACAUACAUCUAAAGGCUAGGGUGCAUACACAGUACCAGAUCUGGAUCCUAGAAAUGGUGCUCUGAAGGAGUGGGGGGAGAAGAGAAAGAAUACAAUUGAGGAUUGAGAUCUGGUCUCGUUGCCUCAGAGGAACGUAGCAGUUAUAUGACAGAUCUGAUAUAAACCAGUCUGCAAAGGAUGCAUGAAAUUUAAAUGCUUUAAAAUAAAUUGUAGAAUUUAAAGUACAUAAAUUUAAAUUUACAUGGAAAGCUUUAAAUAAAACUGGAAAUAAAAUGCUUACAUUGACUGAUUUUUCUUUGUAGAGAAAAGGGAAAUUAAUCGUGAAGGUAAGGAACUAUUCUGUAAACAGAAAAAUUUCCUUGAACCCUUCGGAUUCCUGAUUCCCAGAGAGAGAGAGAGAGAGCAGAGGAAGAAGAGAGAGAAGUUCUAAACUUAAAAAAUGAAAAAUCUGAGGAGUCUAAGUCUUCCUCCAGAUUUAUAUACAAAACGAGCUUUACACUGUAGACUGUAGCGGAGCUGUAGCAUACAAUAAUCUUUGGAACUCUGCACUGUUCACUGUAGCGGAGUUUGAAGCAAACAGUAAGCUUUGGAUCGUAUGUAACAGUAAUCUUUGGAGCGUAUGUUGGAAUAGUGACUUUGUAAAAAUACAAUACGGGUGAAGAGACAUGUGCGCUCUCACUUGUGUCCAAGGGACCACCCGAUGGUGUAAGAAUAUAAAAUGGAUAUUUACUUUUUUUUUUACAAUAAUUAUUUACAAUGCUUUAUUGGAGAGAAAAUUCUGAAACAAUCAUCUUCAUUUUCAUCUCCAAGGGAAAUAAAAGGCUCUUCAUCUUCAUCUUCAUCAUCAUCUUCAGAGGAGUCAGCCACUGAUGAUCUUGAUCGAGAGGUGAGAAGUUGUUUCAUGACUUUGAAGUAUUCUUCUUCUAUUUUGGCGCUCGCCAAAAGAGAUUGGGCAAGGAAUAUUUGUUGGGCUUUGGAUCUUUUUAAGGUUGGUUGUAGAAAACCUUUGGAAUUAAGCCAAUUUUUGAUGAGGGUGUCAGUCAGUUUGGUUUGCUCAUCAAAUUUUGACCACCAUUUAACUUUAAAGGUUCUUUGAAGGAUAAGCUGGGAAUCUUGGGUGUGAAAACGCAGGUUCCACAUCCAUAUCCCUGGUAGAAAGAAGUUUGUGCAAAAACAGAGAAAGGGGGGAAAUCUUUUCUCUGAGUCAGAGGGUAUAUAAUGAGCUUUGAAGAGGUUUAGACAAUUCGUGGCGUUUGGAGUUAAGAUUUGUGGUAUUGGGUGACACAACUUAAAAGUAAAUUUUAACUCCCAAGUAUAAGAGUGUCUUGUUGUAUUAUAACUCGGUGAGUCCGAGGUCGAUCCACAGAGAAAAGAUUUAAUUAGUUUAUUUUAUUUUAUCUAAAAAUUGAAAUUAAAACUUGAAUAUAAACAAGUUAAUUUAAAUGAAACUAUGGAAUUGAACUAGUUAGGGUUAUGGAUCCACUCUUACAAAUAAAUAAAACUUAAUAAAUUCUUUUUGCCAAUUUGUUUUAGAUUUAUUACCCAAAAGAUUAAUUAUACAAAUUAUUAUUAUUUUCCCUUUAAUUUUAUGAUGGAUUAAGUAUUUAUUGUGCCAAAAUUUAAUUUGUCCACAAUAAGUCAAAAUACCAUUUCACCAUACCUUAUAUUAAGAUCUUAAGAAUUUAUUGUGCCAAAUUCAUUUGUUUGUCUACAAUAAAUCAAAUUUUCAAAAUAUAAAACAUGUAUAAAAUUAAAUAGAAAAUAAUUUAAUUUAUAAAAUUAAACAUAGAAUUUAAUUAAGUCAUAUUUAUUUCUUAAGAGUUUCACCUUCCCCUAACUAAUAUUAUUUAGUUAAGCAUAAUUAAAAUAAAAAGUAGUAAAAUUGAAUUACUUAUAAUUAAAAGAAAUAAAAACAACUAAAAUUGGAAAUAAAACUAAUUUUAUUAAUGAAAAUAAUUAUACAAAAUAUUAAAAACACACCUGGAAAUCAAGAUUACAAGGAGAUGGAGAGAAUUUGAGAAGAAGAGAGUUGUAGAGAGAUGAUUAAAACAUAAAAAUGAGGCUCUAUUUAUAGAAAAAUAAAUUCAUAAUCCAGUGCUUUGCGGUCCAUCAUAGGCUUCAUGCAUGUGCUCCUCACAACCCUUAGAUCAAGAUCCAAUGGCUGGUCAAACUUCAAAAGUCAACAUCACACAUGGCAUCAUUUGACUCGUCUGAUUUACCCAAAGAACGGUUGAGAUUUGGCGGGUUAAUGGGUGGAUUGGGUCGACCCGAAUACAAAGAUUUGGAUCCUCCAACUUGCUUCACCAACCAUUGCCACGUGGCACAAUCAUGGCAUUUGAAUCAUGAACGGUUGAGAUUUAGUCAAGAUUGCCAGUUAUCCCAUGCACUCAUAUCUAUUGUAAGCUCAUUUCAUCAUCCAAUCAGUGCUCGGUCAACAAGAAAAGUCAACUUUUUUUACACAAGCCUAAUUUUAAGCCGAUCUUGACUGAUCUUAAGGUUUUCGGACCUCCGGAAUCCAAAUUUGACCUCCGUUUAUCUGUUUGGAGCCUCGAAGUACGUGAAAUUAAUAAUUUUCCGAAUAAACACAUAAAAAUACACAAAAUUAAAUAUAUUUAAAACAUAAUUAAUAAUUCAUAAUAUAUUACAUAAACACAAAUAUAAAUUAUAACAUAAGCAUAAAAUAACAUAUUAUCGCUUGAUAAUUAAACAAUUUUUAAUACUAAUCAUUGGGCCAAAGAAGUUCCACCAAUGUUGAAAACAGUUUGGGAGGCUCUGAACGGUUAUUUUUGAAUUAAAGAAAAAUAACCAUGAAUGAGAUUUCUUUGGGUUUUGUAAGAAGAAUGUGUUAUACCAGGCUUAUUGGUAAUCCCAGUAAGUGUAGGAUAAACAAUGUGGUAAACGCAUUUGGAAAUUUGGAGGGAAAUGUUUAAACUUGUGAAGUUGAUCACCCCACUGAUUUGGGCUCAAGACUUUUAGAAUGGUAGGCGUUGAAUAGGCUGGUUCUGAAUGGGUUUCACUGAUAAAGAAAUGUUUGAAUUUAACUGACUCAGUAGCUUCUAAAAUGCUUUGAUAGUAAGGCUGGUGUUUUGUUAAAUCCCAUGGUUUGAAAAACCAGCCUUUAGGGAAAAACUUUGAAAUUGCCUGAAAAGGAUCAGUAUGGUAAAAUCCAUCUUCUAUAGAUAAAAUGUUUUGAAAAUGGGUUUUAUCAAACCAAUCUAAAGAUUUCUUUAAAGGUGUUGGCUGAGAAAGCACAAUUUGAGAAGAUGAGCUUUCACCAGAAACAAUAACAUUUUGGGAAGAGGGCUUUGAAAUUUCUUUUGAAACAAGUUUUUCUUCUUUAAUAGGGGUUUGGCUUUGAGAGAGGUUUUGAAAAGCGAGCAUAAGCUCAUGUGAUUUUGUAAUGGAACUCAUCCAUUGUUUUACUUGGUCAUCAGAGGAAAUUGUUUUGUACUGGGCUUCAUGUUCUUCAACCAUUUCAAUCCAUGAUUUGAUAGGCAUGCAGAAGAAAGCAAUUUCUCUUUAGGAGUUGGUUGGGGUUCUUUAGAGGUUGCUUGAGAUUCAGUGUCUUUAAGAACUGCUUUACCUUUAUCCUUCUUUUUUGGCGGUAUUAUCUGUUUUGAAGAAAUUCUCUGGUCAGAAAAUCAGGAAUAGAAUUUGUAUCUCCUUUAAUAAACUCAAUAUCAAAAUAAAAAACACUUAAAAUGGCUUGCCAACGUACAAAAAUCUGUUUUGAUGCAAUAUUUUGAACAUCUUGUUCUAAAACAUGUUUUGCAGCUUUGCAAUCAAUUCUAAGUAAAAAUUUUUGAUUUAGCAAAUCACUUUGAAAUUUGGAAAUACAUAAAACAAUAGUAAGAAUUUCUUUUUUGAUAGUAGAAUAAUUCUUUUGGCAUUCAUUCCAAUGUGCAGAAACAUAUUGGACUAUCUGUUCUUUAUUAUUAUCGAUUUGCUUUAAUAUGCCUCCAUAGCCUAAAUUAGAUGCAUCAGUUUCAACUACUUUAGGUAAUGCAGGAUUAGCAAGAUAUAAACAUGGAAUGCUUUUAACAGAAUUCUUUAUGAGUUUAACAGUUUUAGUAUGCUCAUCAGUCCAUGCAACAUGAUUCUUUUUUAAUCGAUCAUGUAAAGGUUUAGACAUCCUAUUGAUAUUAGGACAAAAAUCAAAAACAUAAUUUAAACUUCCUAGAAACCUCUGUAAUUGAGUUUUAUCUAGGAUUUUGUCUGGGAAUUUGUCUGCAAAGACAAGAGAACGCUCAAUAGGGGUAAUGGUUCCUUUGGAGAUAUGGUGACCUAGGAACCUGAUCUUUGUUUGGAACAAAGAGACUUUAGUACUAGAAAUUGCUAAACCAUCUUUUCUAGUGGCGAAGUAAAAAGUCUUUAAAUAUUUGAAAUGUUGGUCGAUGGUUUGGGAAAAAAUCAAAACAUCAUCUAUAUAAACAAUGCAAAACUCAGAAUAAGGGUUAUAAAUAUCAUUAAUAAUUCUUUGAAAUUCUGAAGGUGCAUUUUUUAAACCGAACGACAUAACCGUCCACUCAUAUUGUCCAAAUGGCACUAUAAAAACGGUUUUAUAACGGUCUUUAGGAUGAAUUUGAAUUUGCCAAAAACCCAACUUCAUGUCAAAUUUUGAAAAUAUGAAAGCAGAAUGCAGUUUUUGAAGCAAAUCCUUUUUAUUAGGUAUUGGGUACCUAAUCCAUUUUAAUACUUUAUUAAGGGGUUUAUAAUUUAUAACUAAUCGAGGUGUUCCUCUUUCAAUCUCGAAAUUCUUAUUAACAUAAAACGCGACACAAGACUAAGGAGACCGAGAUUUUACAAUAAGUCCUUUGGACUCUAAGUCACUUAUUUCAGCUUUACAGUGUUGUUCCAAUUCCAUGUUCAUCUGGAUUGGACGGGCUUUAGUGGGAAUCUGUUUUUCAUCAAAAGAAUUUUCAUAAGGUAGAUCUACCGGGUGUUGUUUUCUAUUCCAAAAAGCAGAUGGUAGAUCAGCACAGAUUUCCUUUUCAAUGAGAGUUUUGAAAUCAGAAAUUUUCUUUUGUAUAAAAUCAUUUUGUAAUUGGCUUUCGAUUCUUUGUAAACUCAAAUCCUUUUGUAAAAACAUUAGGUCACUUUGUCUUGUUCUGAGAAGAUUAUUGAUUUGAUUCUGAUAAACAGAACAAGCUUUGACAAUAUUCAAAUUCCUUGUUUUUGGCUUUUCAAUAAAUGGAAAAACAAAUCUUUUAUUUUUUGCUUUGAAAGAUAUACUGUCGUAAUUGACAAUAUAAGGAGUAAUAAGAUUUAUAAAAGGGGUUCCUAAAAUGACAGCAUGGUGUAUGUCAUUUGUAAGAACAAAAGAGGUUUUAAAUUCAAAAUCAUUAUUAUAAAUUGAAGCCUCGACUUUAGAAUUAACAUUAAGUUUUGAAUUGUUGGCGGCAGAAAGUCUUUCUUUUGUUUUCUCAUGAAAUCUUUUGGGGACAAUGUCUUCUCUUAUGCAAUUCAAAUCGGCACCAGUGUCAAAAAGGGCAAUGGCAUCAAUUGCAAAAUCAUCAGAAAAAAUUAAGGUAAUUUUAAUCAAAUAUUUUCUCAUAGUGAUUUGUUUUAAAACAAAUAGAAAAUCAUUGGGUACAGACUCAAUGUUUUCUAGAUUUUGAUCUUCUUUAUCAUUGUUAUCAGAAUUGGAUUCAUUAUCCGAAUUGUCUUGUAAUUGUUUUUGCAAAAGAAGUUGGAUGGUUUGAGAAUCAUUCUUUUGCUUUUCUUUUAACUCUCUUAUCUCAAAUUUAAUGUCUUUGAUUUCUUUCUGAAGAUCCUGGAUAUUGGGGAUUAUCUUUUUUGUUUUCUUUUAUCCAAAAUUUCAGUAAGAUCAUAAGAACUCUUUUUAACAAUUGGGAUUUUGGAAGUCUCUGCUUUAUUAAAAUCCAGAGUUUUCAAAAGCUUAUCAAGAUACUCCUUUUGAAGAUUUGGAUCAGAAAUAUGCUUUACGAGUUCAAGAAAGGUUUCUUGAUCUUUAGUUAAAAUAUUGAUUUUCUUUAAAUAAGAAUUUGUUUCAGAAUCACUACUGCUAGAUGCAGAGGUAUCUGAGUCAAAAAGCUCAUCGACCUGAAGAAGGUCACUAUCUCCUGACAUGGAAGACUCAGAGUCAGAGGACUCUACAAGGAGAGGGGUGACUUUGGAAAGGAUAUCUUCAUCAAGGCCAAGCUCCUAGAGCUUUUUGUUCAUUCUGCAAUAUUUUACAGUAUGGCCUUUUAUACUACAAUUAUGGCAUAUGGCUUCUUUGUAGUUGAAAGGGGCUUUGUGUUUAGGUUUAAAUUCCUUUUUCUUAGAGAAGUUGAGCUUCUUAUAAGGCCUCUGGGGUUUCUUAUAAAAAGAUUCUUUAAACUUCUGGAAUGGCUUUCUAUAGCUCUUGGAUUUGUAAUGUCUCUUGUGAGGUUUGGAAGAACAGUCACCAUUACAACCUUUGGAAAUGGAAGUUUUAAAGGGGUCAUAAUUGAAUUGUUUACAGAAACUACCUAAUUCUUGCUUAGACUUCUUAAGCUCUCAUUUAAGUCGUUUCUGUAAUUUCAAAUCUUGAGAGAUCUUUAAACCUUCUUUGUUGACAAAACUGACUAACUCGCCAUAAGUAAGUUCGUCAUAGGGAAUGCGAUUGUCAUAAAGGGCUUUUAUGUAAUUCCUAACCUUUUCUCCUAAAAGGGUAGGUAAACCUACUAAGAAUUUUUCUUUCCAAGUUAUAUGAUUUGCAUCAUCUCUUAGAAAGAGUCUGGUGAAGAAGGUGGUUUUGUAAUCUUGAAAUUCACUAAGUUUUCUACAUCUUAAAUUAUGUAGUAACUCAGCAUUUUUAUCUCUAAGGUGAGAAGGGUCACCUAUGAAAUGGAGGGAUAUGGUUAGAAUCAGGGUAGCUACGGCAGCCUAAAUUGGGUUAUUAAACUUGUCAAGAAUGGGGGAUCCAUUCUCGUCUAUUUGGAUAGCAUUAAGGAUAUCUGACUGUUGCUGCUUAGUGAGAAGGUGAUCCUACCAACCUUUAAGUUGACCAGUAAAACCCGCAAUGAGAAUUUCUGCAAUGGCUUUGUCAGAAGUUCCUGACUGGAUUUUAUAGGCAUUGGCUGCCAUGGUCAUCUGUUGCAACAAUCCUAGGAUAUUAUACUCGGACAUUCCAUCUAUAUUCCCCUCAUAGACAGAGGAUGCAUUAUAUCGAGACUGAUUUAAUGCACUAGGCCUAUUGUCUAUGGUCAAAUCAGGUGGAGACUUGACAGUGGGAAGGGCUAAUUCCCAAUGGAUUUUAUUGGCUUUAGAAACAGGUUCUUCUGUGAAGGCUUCUAUAUUAGAAGAGGCUAUAGACAUUUGGUCUUGUUCUAAUACUCCAAUCUUGCUAGAUUGGGGAGUAUCAGGGACUAUUUGAACUUUGCUAGAUGAGGAAGAAGCUACUUCUAUCCUAUCUAAUUGUUCUCUAAUGGCUUUAGCAAAAUUUGAUUUUGACUCUUGGACAAGCUUUUGACUAGUUUUCGAAACCUGAAAAGGUUUGAAAAUAGGCUCCUUGUGCUUUUUGUCAGAAUCCGAUUUUGAUGGAACAUGGGAAAUGGAAGAAAUAGCUAUGGUUGACUUUUGGAAUUGAUUUUCUAUACGGGUCAAUUGCUUUCCAAUAGUAUUUAAGUUAGUAUUACAGAAAUUAUUCUGUUGGAUAAUACUACUUAAAUUUGCAGUUAGUAUUACAGAAAUUAUUCUGUUGGAUAAUACUACUUAAAUUUGCAUCUGUGUCAUUUGGCUUUGGGAUUUUAUAAGGUGAAGCUCUAAUUUGAACAGGAGGUUCACUGUGAUCAACGGUUAAACUCCGAAGAGGUGGAUGCUCAGAUUUUAUGAUUCUCUCACUAUCAGAAAGUUUCCAUUCAGGAAUCUUCUUUUUAAUGGUAAUAGGGUUUGAUUCUUUAAAGGGAUAGUAAAUGUUGUUCUCAAAAGAAUAUAUUUCAAACCAAUCAAAAAACAAUAUAUGAACUUGAUGUAGAUUUACAAAUUCAUAAUAGAUUUGUUGGAUUUCUUUUCUUUGGUUCAAAAAAUGUUUGAAAAACCAAGUUCUUUUUUCUUUAUUAUUUUCCGAAUAAAAAUCAUUAUGAAGAAGAUUUUUGUCUAAUUCAAAAUCCUUUUUAAUGACAUUAAUAACAUUUUCGGUGAUAGCAGAAAAUGUUGGGGAAGUUGGAGGAGAAGGUUCCUUCUUUUCCUGUCUUUGUUCAUGUUGAUUGCUAGUAUAGAUUGAGUGUGGGACACUAGUGGUAUAGUCAACAGAACGUAUGGAAGAACUAGGUACAUCCGAGGUGGAAAACCUAGGUUGACUCUUUACUGUUUGGUAAGGGAGAUUUAUGACAGAAGGGACUUUUGUGAAUUUCCUUUCUAAUGAAGGAAUGCUUGAGCACGACUCUUUAUCAGAAAAUCUGGAUGAAGUAGAUCUCCUGAAAGAUAGUUUUACUCUACCAUCAGAAUACUGAGUCACAUUUUGCAACUCUGUAUUAGGCUCAAGUUGUUUCGGAAUCGCUGGAGGAGCGGCUCCUUCAAGAAUCCAUUCUUCUGGAAGAUUGACGUCUUUCCACUGGAUUGGUUUUAGAAUGACAGUGUUGGCUUUGGACAAAUCAGUCUGCAAGAGAAGAGUCUCAUCUCUUUUUGACUGGAAUUUGUGUUACGUACUAAAUGCAGAAAUCAUGGCUUUAUAAGAAAUUUUAAAAAUUAAUGCUACUGGGACAGAUCCCUCAAUCAUAUUAUAAUUGUGGGUUUUGAUUUGUAAAAUCAUGCUUUUCAAAAUGUUUUUGUCUUUAAGGGAAAUUGUUAUGUUUGGAUAACAAUCAAAAGAUAUGGGACCUUUACAGAGACUCGAUUCAAUACUAUUUAGUAAAGAAUCAUCAAAAGAGAUGAAUCGGCCAUCUCUAAGGACAAUGAUGAUAGAAGUAUCCAAGCCUUCUUUGGUUAAUGUUUUUAUGCCUACUUGGAUCAAUCCUAUAUGAACAUAAUUAAAAUUCUUUUCUUUUAAUUUCUUUAAUGAAUGUUCUAAAAAUAAUUGGAUUGUUUCAAAUGGCUUUAAAAGAGUUAUGUCACGUUCUUCAGUCUUUAUGACAUAAUCAUUUUUGAAAAAAUCAAGUUUUUUUGUUUUAUAAAUCUUUUCUUUAGAAACUCUUGGAAGUUCCCAACAAUCAAUUGCUUUAUCAAAGUUCUCAAUAACGAAUUCUUCUGAACUCACAACAUGCUUUGAAUCACUAGUCUUCCCGGAAGAAGAGCUAGAAAAGGAUGAUGUUCUACAGAGUAGAGGGUCCAUGGGUAAAAACCUAUGGUCUAUUUUUGGUUUUGUCAGGAUGGCUACAGGUAUGGUUUUACAGCCCUAAGGGGAAAUCUUUAUCCUAAAACGGGACUUACUACCAGUAAGGAAUUCACCACACAACAAAACUUCAAAAUAAAACACAAGUCUUUAAACACGUUGACUCUAAAAAGUAAUACACUAUCCUCCCCUUGGCUCUGAUACCAGAAGGAAAUAGGAUCGAAGGAUGGAUGUGUUUUCGUUGGAAAUCAAAAUUAAGAACUCAAAUAAUAUAAUGCUUGGAUUGGGUCAACACAUUGUUCAUGCAAAAACUUUGAUACCAGAAUUUUAAAUUAUGUUCGAAAUUUUAAAUCCAAGCAUUGUAUUAUUUGAGUUCUUAAUUUUGAUUUCCAACGAAAACACAUCCAUCCUUCGAUCCUAUUUAAACCGGGACAUUCCAUAUAUAUAUAUAUAUAUACUGACACCUUAAUCCGAAAUUGGCUCUUUGCCAAAGGAUUUCUUGAACCAACCAUUAAGCACUCCAAAGCCCAACAAACUUUUCUAACCCAAAAAUCCAAAGCCCAAUCUCUUUUAGCCAGUGCUAAAACUGAAGAAGAGUAUUUUAAAGUUAUACAACAACUUCUCGCCACGAGGUCUGAAACAUCUGUUGCAAGUUCCUCCUCAAGCACCUUCGGAGAUGAAGAGCCUUUUAUUUCAAAGCCGACGGUUUAAAAUGUCAUUCAUACUUUAAAUGUUCUUUGUAGAAUAAGUUGGGUGUCUUGGGCAUGAAGUCUGAGAUUCCACAUGCAUAUGAUGGCAUUAAGGAUAUCUAAUUGUUGCUGCUUAGUGAGAAGGUGAUCCCACCAACCUUUAAGUUGAAGAGGGGCAACUUUAGAGAGGAUUUCUUCAUCAAGGCCAAGUUCAUGAAGCUUUCGAUUCAUUCUACAAUACUUUGCAGUAUGGCCUUUUAUACCACACUUAUGGCAUAUGGCUUUUUUGUAGUUGAAAGGGGCUUUGUGUUUAGGUUUAAAUUCCUUUUUCUUAGAGAAGUUGGGUUUCUUAUAAGGCCUCUAGGGUUUCUUGUAAGAAGAUUCUCUAAAUUUCUGGAAUGGCUUUCUAUAGCUUUUGGAUUUGUAAUGUCUCUUGUGAGGUUUGGAAGAACACUCACCAUUACAAUCUUUGGAAAUGGAAGUUUUAAAGGGGUCAUAAUUGAAUUGUUUACAGAAACUGCAUAAUUCUUGCUUAGAUUUCCUAAGCUCCCAUUAAAGUCGUUUCUGUAAUUUCAAAUCUUGACAGAUCUUUAAACCUUCUUUGUUGACAAAACUGACUAACUCACCAUAAGUGAGUUCAUCAUAAGGAAUGCGGUUAUCAUAAAGGGCUUUAAUGAAAUUUCUAACCUUUUCACCUAGAAGAGUAGGCAAUCCUGCUAAGAACUUCUCUUUCCAGGUUAUAUGAUUUGCAUCAUCUCUGAGAAAGAGUCUGGUGAAGAGGGUGGUUUUAUAAUCUUAGAAUUCACUAAGUUUUCUACAUCUCAAAUUAUGUAGUAACUCAGCAUUUUUGUCUCUAAGGUGGGAAUGAUCACCUAUGAAAUGGAGGGAUAUGGUUAGAAUCAGGGUAGCUACGGCAUCCUGCUUUAAAACAAACAGAAAAUCAUUGGGUACAGACUAGUUGUUUCGGAAUCGCUGGUGGAGCGGCUCCUUCAAGAAUCCAUUCCUCUGGAAGGUAGACAUCUUUCCAUUGGAUUGGUUUUGGAAUGACUGUGUUGGCUUUGGACAAAUCAGUCUGUAAGAGAAGAGUCUAUUCUCUUUUUGACUGGAAUUUAUGUUGCGUACUGAAAGCAGAAAUCACGGCUUUAUAGGAAAUUUUAAAAAUCUAGGCGACAUGAAUUGAUCCCUUAAUCAUAUUAUAAUUAUGUGUUUUGAUUUGUAAAAUCAUACUUUUCAAAAUGUUUUUGUCUUUAAGAGAAAUUGUUAUAUUUGGAUAACAAUCAAAAGAUAUGGGGCCUUUGCAGAGACUGUAUUCAAUACUACUUAGUAAAGAAUCAUCGAAAGAGAUGAAUCGACCAGCUCUAAAGACAGCGAGGAUGGAGGUAUCCAGGUCUUCUUUGGUCAAUGGUUUAUUUCGACUUGGAUUAAAACGAUGUGAAUGUAAUUAAAAUUCUUUUCUUUUAAUUUCUUUAAAGAUUUUUUUGAAAACAAAUGAAUUGUUUCAAAUGGCUCAGAAAAAGUUAUAUCACGUUCUUCAGUCUUUAUCACAUAAUCAUUUUUUAAAAAAUCAAGCUUUUUUGUUUUGUAGAUUUUUUCUUUGGAAAUUUUUGGAAGUUCCCAACAAUCAAUUACUUUAUCAAAGUUCUCAAUAAUAAAUUCUUCUGAACUCACAACAUACUUUGAGUCACUAGUAUUCCCGGAAGAAGAGCUAGAAAAGGACGAUGUUCUACAGAGUAGAGGGUCCAUGGGUAAAAACCUAUGGUCUAAUUCUGGUUCUGACUGAAUGGCUACAGGUAUGGAUUUACAGCCCUAAGCGGAAAACUUUAUCCUAAAACGGGACUUACUACCAGUAAAAAUUCACCAUACUUGUUAUAAAUUAUAAACCCCUUAAUAAAGCAUUAAAAUGGAUUAGAUACCCAAUACCUAAUAAAAAGGAUUUGCUUCAAAAACUCUAUUCUGCCUUCAUAUUUUCAAAAUUUGACAUGAAGUCGGGUUUUUGGCAAAUUCAAAUCCAUCCUAAAUCAGUCUAUAUCGAGACUGAUUAAUGCACUAGGCCUGUUGUCUAUGGUCAAAUCAAGUGGAGAUUUGGCAGUGGGAAGGGCUAAUUCCCAAUGGAUUUUAUUGGCUUUAGGGGUAGGUUCGUCUUUAAAAGCUUCUAGAUCAUAAGAGGCUAUAGACAUGUUGUCAUGUUCCAAUAUUCCAAUCUUGCUAGAUUGGGGAGUAUCAGGGGCUAUUUGAACUUUGCUAGAAGAGGAAGAAGUAGCUUCUAUCCUAUCUAGUUGUUCUCUAAUGGCUUUAGCAAAAUUUGAUUUUGACUCCUGAACAAGCUUUUGACUAGUUUUUGAAACCUGAAAAGGUUUGAAAAUAGGUUCUUUAAGCUUUUUGUCUGAAUCCAAUUUUGAUGAAACAGGAGAAACGGAUGAAACGGCAAUAGUAGUCUUUUGGAAUUGGUUUUCUAUUCGGGCGAAUUGUUUUCCAAUUGUAUUUAAGUUAGUAUUACAGAAAUUAUUCUGUUGAAUAAUACUACUUAAAUUCGCAUCAGUAUCAAUUGGCUUUGAGAUUUUGUAAGGUGAGGCUCUAAUCUGGACAUGAGGUUCUCCGUGAUCGACGGUUAAGCUCCAAAGAGGUGGAUGCUCUGAUUCUAUGGUUCUAUCACUAUCAAAAAGUUUUCACUCAGGAAUUUUCUUUCUAAUAGUAAUAGGGUUUGACUCUUUAAAAGGAUAUGAAAUGUUGUUCUCAGAAGAAUAUAUCUCGAACCAAUCAAAAAACAAUAUAUGAACUUGAUGUAGGUUUACAAAUUCAUAAUAAACUCGUUGGAUUUCUUUUCUUUGAUUUAGAAAAUAUUUAAAAAACCAAGUUCUUUUUUCCUUAUUAUUCUCUUAAUAAAAAUCAUUAUGAAGAGGAUUUUUGUCCAAUUCAAAAUCCUUUUUAAUGACAUUAAUAACAUUUUCGGUAACAGCAGAGAAUGUUGGAGAAGUUUGAGGAGAAGGUUCCUUCUCGUCCUGUCUUUGUUCAUGUUGACUACUAGUAUAGAUUGGGUGUGGGACACUAGUGGCAUAAUCAACAGAAUGUAUGGAAGACAUAGGUAUAUCUGAGGUGGAAAACCUAGGUGGACUCUUUACUGGUUGGUAAGGGAGGUUUAUGACAGAAGGGAUUUUUGUACAUUUCCUUUCUAAUGAAGCAAUGCUUGAGUACGACUCUUUAUCAGAAAAUCUGGAUGAAGUAGAUCUUCUGAAAGAUAGUUUAACUUUACCAUCAGAAUACUGAGUUACAUUUUGCAACUCUGUAUUUGGCUCAAGUUGGUAUCAACUGACACCUUAAUCCGAAAUUGGCUCUCUGCCAAAGGAUUUCGUGAACCAACCAUUAAGCACUCCAAAGCCCAACAAACUUUUCUAACCCAAAAAUCCAAAGCCCAAUCUCUUUUAGCCAGUGCCAAAACUGAAGAAGAGUAUUUUAAAGUUAUGCAACAACUUCUCGCCACGAGGUCUGAAACAUCUGUUGCAAGUUCCUCCUCAAGCACCUCCGGAGAUGAAGAGCCUUUUAUUUCCCUUGGUGACGAAAAUGAAGACGACUGCUUCGGCAUAUUCUCCCCAUUAAAGCAUUCCAAAUAAUUAUUGUCCUGAUGUGAAAAAAAAAAGUAAAGUAAAAAGUAAAUACAUUUUGCUAUUACUUUGAUUAUAUAUCUUCGGGUGGUCCCCUGGACACAAGUGAGAGCGCUCAUGUCUCUUCACCCGUAUUAUCCUUGUAUUUGUAUUUUCUUGUUACAAAGCUACAGCUCCGCUGCAAUCUACAGUGAAGAGUUCCAAAGAUUACUGUUUGCUACAGCUCCGCUACAGUGAACAAUGAAGAAUUCCAAAGAUUACUGUACGCUGCAUCUCCGCUACAGUCUACAGUUUAAAAUUUUUUGUAUAAAAACCGAAAGGAAGACUUAGACUCCUCAAGGUUUUCAUUUUGCAAAUUUGAGAGCUUCUCUCUCUUCCUUCUCUUUCUUCUUUUCCUCUCUCUCUCUCUCUCUGGGAAUCAGGAAUUCGAAGGGUUCAAGGAAAUUUUUCUGUUUACAGAAUAGUUCCUUACCUUCAAGAUUAAUUUCUCUUUCUUCUCUACAAAGAAAAAAGCAAUUGAUGUAAGCAUUUCAUUUUCCAGUUUUAUUUUAAAAGCAUUAAAGCAUUUGUAAAUUUUAUUUAAAGCUUUGCGUGUAUGUUUAAAUUUCUGCAAUUUAUUUUAAAGCAUUUAAAUUUUUGCAUGCUCUGCAGACUGAUCUAUAUCAGAUCUGCCAUACAACUGCUACGUUCCUCUGAGGCAACGAGACCAGAUCUCAAUUCUCAGUUGUAUUCUUUCUCUUCUCCCUCCAUUCCUUCAGAACACCGUUUCUGGGUUCCAAAUCUGGUACUGUGUAUGCACCAUAGCCUUUAGAUGUAUGUUUGUUGCUAGGAUUGCUUAAAGAACUUAAAAAUAUUUGGUAAAUAAAUUUGGUAUAUCGGCUGGAAACUAGAACGUGCGGAAUAUUGAUCUGUCCUAAGUCAGAUCUGGUUCCAAAGGCAGACUUGGCUCUGCAUCGAUCUAGAUACAACGCCACGUACCUUUAUUAAAACUUGACCAACCGCGCUCCAAAGCAAAUCUAUUUAUUUCAAUGGAUUUUACACUCUUUAUUUCCUUCUGGUAUUAUAGCCAAGGGAAGGAUAUUGUAAUCUUGUUUAGAGAUUUCGUGAUUAAAGAUCUAUGUUUUAUUUUGAAGUUUUGUUGUAUGGUGAAUUUUUACUGAUAGUAAGGCCCGUUUUAAGAUAAGGUUUUCCGCUUAGGGCUGUAAAUCCAUACCUGUAGCCAUUCAGUCAGAACCAGAAUUAGACCAUAGGUUUUUACCCAUGGACCCUCUACUCUGUAGAACAUCGUUCUUUUCUAGCUCUUCUUCCGGGAAGACUAGUGACUCAAAGCAUGUUGUGAGUUCAGAAGAAUUUAUUAUUGAGAACUUUAGCAGUGGGAAGGGCUAAUUCCCAAUGGAUUUUAUUGGCUUUAAGGGUAAGAUCGUCUUUAUAUAAAAAGCCUUUAAAGUAUGAAUGACAUUUUCUCAAACCGUCGACCAACAUUUUAAACAUUUAAAGACUUUUUACUUUGCUACCAGAAAAGCUGGCUUAGCAAUCUCUAGUUCUAAAGUCUCUUUGUUCCAAACAAAGAUCAGAUUCCUAGGUCACAAUAUUUCCAAAGGAACCAUUACUCCUAUUGAAUGCUCCCUUGUCUUCGCAGACAAAAUCCUAGACAAGACUCAAUUACAGAGGUUUCUAGGAAGUUUAAAUUAUGUACUUGAUUUUUGUCCAAAUAUCAAUAGGAUGUCUAAACCUUUGCAUGAUAGAUUAAAGAAGAAUCAUGUUGCAUGGACUGAUGAGCAUACUAGAACUGUUAAACUCAUAAAGAAUUCUGUUAAAAGUAUUUCAUAUUUAUAUCUUACUAAUCCUGCAUUACCUAAAAUAGUUGAAACUGAUGCAUCUGAUUUAGGUUAUGGAGGCAUACUAAAGCAAGUAGAUAAUAAUAAAGAACAUAUAGUCCAAUAUGUUUCUGCACAUUGGAAUGAAUGCCAAAAGAAUUAUUCUACUAUUAAAAAAGAAAUUCUUUCAAUUGUUUUGUGCAUUUCCAAAUUUCAAAGUGACUUAUUAAAUCAAAAAUUUUUACUUAGAAUUGAUUGCAAAGCUGCAAAACAUUUUUGCACGAUGGCAAGCUAUUUUAAGUAUUUUUGAUUUUGAUAUUGAAUUUAUUAAAGGUGAUAAAAAUUCUAUUCCUGAUUUUCUAACUCGGGAAUUUCUUCAAAACAGAUAAUGCCGCCAAAAAGAAGCAACAAAGGAAAAGGCAUUGCCAAAGACAUUGAAUCUAAAGCUGCUACUAGAGAACCCCAAUCCUCUCCUCCUAAAGAAAAACUACUCUCCUCUGCCAUGCCAAUCAAGUCUUGGAUUGACAUGAUCGAAGAUGAGGAGGCAAGAUCUAAAGCCCUUUCUACCCAAGACCAAGUUAACCUAUGGAUGAAAGCCAUUUCCAAAUCUCCUGAGCUUAUGCUUGCAUUACAAAGCUUCUCCCAAAGCCAGGAAUCUCCAAAAGAGAUCUCUGAAAAAGAAAGCUCCAAAGAAAUUACAAAAUCCUCUCAAAAUAUUAUUGUUUCUGGUGAUAGUUCAUCAUCACAAAUUAUUCUUUCACAACCAACAAAGAAAACCUCGGUUUGGUUUGAUAAAGCCCAUUUCCAAAACAUUUCAACAAUCGAAGAUGGGUUUUACCAUACUGACCCAUUUCAAACACUUACGAAGUUUUUCCCUAAAGGCUGGUUUUUUAAACCAUGGAAUUUAACAAAACCUCAGCCUUAUUAUCAAAGCAUUUUAGAAGCCACUGAGUCAGUUGAAUUCAAAAAUUUUUAUCUCAGUGACUCCCAUUCUGAGCCGGCCUAUUCCACGGCCACUGUUAUGCAAAUUUUAAUGUACUCGCAAACGUACGAAUCUUUUGUAGUAUAGAUCAAUGGUGGCGAGUGUCGAUCCCACGAGGAGGUGGAUUUUAAUUAUAUGUAGAAUUAAUUUUGUAAAUAGGUGGUUGAAAUUGUGGUGGAAGUGAUUUAAAUUAUCCUAAAAUUGGAAUUGAGAUUCUAAAAUUGGAAUUGCAAUGACGAGAAUAAAUUGAAGCGAAAUAUAUUGAAAUGACGUACUUGGGUGUCUAAAUCCGUAUCAACAUGCAUCAUGGGCUAAAUAAUCCGUAUUAAUGCCAAUUAAAUCAUGAGGGGGGAAUCCACACCUCAUGAACCACGCUCUAAUCAAUAUGGUGCUAAGGGCUUAUCGUGCCAAAUAAUAAUAACCUUGUACUAGAGGGCCGGUGAAACCAAGACGGUACUAGACAAGAAUAUUAUUAUUUGUCGACGAGAAGUCAAAACAUCCACAAAAACUAAAGGGGAAGAGAAAAUAAAUUUAUCAAAUUAAGCCCAUGACACAUGUUGAGAAUUCACCUUCAACCCAAGCUUGAAAGAAAAUUAGCCACUCAUAAUUGAACUAGGGGCAAAAUGGGAAUUUAUUAAAAUAUGAAGAAAAUACAAGAUGGAGAAGGAAUUACAGAAAAUGGAUCCCAAAAAUGGAUUCAGAGAUAUCAAAUUAGGGGGGGAGGCCCCCUUUUUAUAGAUACAUGGAGUAAAUUAUGGCCAUCAGAUUAAAAACAGUUUGGACGCUCAGGAUUGCACCACGUCAUCAGUCAACAGUCCACGGUUUGACCACGCGGAUGAACAGUAACACAGUUUGACCCGGAUGAACAGUAACACGGUUUGGUUGAAAAUAAUCUUGUGUGAUGCAUGCACCGUACGCGAGAUUUUUCGUCCACUGAUAUGCUGCCACGUCACCAUCAACAGUACAUAAGAAUUUUAGUCCAACAGGAUCGUGACACCUCAUCAGUCAAUGCCACAUCAUCGGUCAAUGCCACAUCAUCGAUCCGUCUAUGUGAACAGUGCUAUGAACAGUAACGUAUACAAUACCGUAUACGUGAAUAGUACCGUACAUGUGAAUAGUGCCAUUUUUCCUUUUAUGCUCCUCCUAAGGUUUUCGACCGUCCUGAGUUCAAAAGUGAUGUCCAUUUUGCCGUCUGAUCUCUCCUUUAUUGUGAAAUGACUAUAAUGCCCCUAAAAUACAUAAAUUACUUAAUUAAAAUAAAAUACACGUAAUUAAAUCACAAGAAUGUUAAAAACAUAAAAGUAAGGGUUGUUAGUAAGACUUGAAAUAUAAAAUAACGGUUUUCUCCUUUAUAAAUAUGCAUUUUCUAACACUCAACAGCCACUAUCUUAAAAGUCUUGAGCCCAAACUAGUGGGGCGACCAACUCCACAAAUUUAAAUCUUUCCCUCCAAAUUUCUAAAUGCGUUUACCACAUUGCUUGACUUUUUCCUAUUGGGAUUAUCCACAAGCUUGGUUUAACACAUUCUUUAUCCAAAAUCCAAAGAAAUCUCAUUCAUGGUUAUUUUUCUUCAAUUCAAAAAUAACCGUCCAAAGCCUCCCAAAUUGGUUUCAACAAUGGUGGAACUUCUAUGGCCCAAUACCCCAAAUCCUAACUCCAAAUGCCACUCAUUGCUUAAACCUCUUCAAAGUUCAUUAUGUCCCUUCUGAAUCAGAGAAAAGAUUUCCUUUUUUUCUUUGCUUCUGUACAAAUUUCUUCAUUCCAUGGGUAUGCAUGUGGAAUCUCAGACUUCAUGCCCAGGAUACCCAACUUAUUCUACAAAGAACAUUUAAAGUAAAAUGGUGGUCAAAAUUCGAUGAACAGUUUAAAUUGAUUGACACCUUAAUCCGAAAUUGGCUCUCUACCAAAGGAUUUCUUGAACCAACCAUUAAGCGCUCCAAAGCCCAACAAACUUUUCUAACCCAAAAAUCCAAAGCCCAAUCUCUUUUAGCCAGUGCUAAAACUGAAGAAGAGUAUUUUAAAGUUAUGCAACAACUUCUCGCCACGAGGUCUGAAACAUCUGUUGCAAGUUCCUCCUCAAGCACCUUCGGAGAUGAAGAGCCUUUUAUUUCCCUUGGUGACGAAAAUGAAAACGACUGCUUCGGCAUAUUCUCCCCAUUAAAGCAUUCUAAAUAAUUAUUGUCCUGAUGUGAAAAAAAAAGUAAAGUAAAAAGUAAAUACAUUUUGCUAUUACUUUGAUUAUAUAUCUUCGGGUGGUCCCCUGGACACAAGUGAGAGCGCUCAUGUCUCUUCACCCGUAUUAUCCUUGUAUUUGUAUUUUCUUGUUACAAAGCUACAGCUCCGCUGCAAUCUACAGUGAAGAGUUCCAAAGAUUACUGUUUGCUACAGCUCCGCUACAGUGAACAAUGAAGAAUUCCAAAGAUUACUGUACGCUGCAUCUCCGCUACAGUCUACAGUUUAAAAUUUUUUGUAUAAAAACCGAAAGGAAGACUUAGACUCCUCAAGAUUUUCAUUUUACAAAUUUGAGAGCUUCACUCUCUUCCUUCUCUUUCUAAUUUUCCUCUCUCUCUCUCUCUCUGGGAAUCAGGAAUCCGAAGGGUUCAAGGAAAUUUUUCUGUUUACAGAAUAGUUCCUUACCUUCAAGAUUAAUUUCCAUUUCUUCUCUACAAAGAAAAAAGCAAUUGAUGUAAGCAUUUCAUUUUCCAGUUUUAUUUUAAAGGCAUUAAAGCAUUUGUAAAUUUUAUUUAAAGCUUUGCGUGUAUGUUUAAAUUUCCGCAAUUUAUUUUAAAGCAUUUAAAUUUUUGCAUGCUCUACAGACUGAUCUAUAUUAGAUCUGCCAUACAACUGCUACGUUCCUCUGAGGCAACGAGACCAGAUCUCAAUCCUCAGUUGUAUUCUUUCUCUUCUCCCUCCAUUCCUUCAGAGCACCAUUUUUGGGUUCCAGAUCUGGUACUGUGUAUGCACCCUGGCCUUUAGAUGUAUGUUUGUUGCUAGGCUUGCUUAAAGAACUUAAAAAUAUUUGGUAAAUAAAUUUGGUAUAUCAGCUGAAAACUAGAACGUGCGGAAUAUUGAUCUGUCCUAAGUCAGAUCUGGUUCCAAAGGCAGACUUGGCUCUGUAUCGAUCUAGAUACAACGCCACGUACCUCUAUUAAAACUUGACCAACCGCGCUUCAAAGCAAAUCUAUUUAUUUCAAAGCUGGUACUUUACUUUAAAAUUUUGACAAAGCCGACCCAAUCCAAGCAUUGUGUUAUUUAAUUUCUUAAUAUUUGAUUUCUUACGAAAGCACUUUCAUCCUUCGAUCCUAUUUCCUUCUAGUAUAUAUAUAUAUAUAUAUAUAUAUAGCAUAUGUAAUUCAUUCAAAGAUUGUAAUAAUUUUAAAUUUUAUUACAAAGCAUGUAUGUUUUAAAUUCUCGUAAUUUAUUUAAAGCCUAUUUACAUUUCUUUAUAAACUGUUACGUAUCCUCGAAGGCAUAGAGACCGGAUCUCUAACCUUCGUUGUAUUUCUCUUCUCCCUCCAUCAAAUCAGAGUACUACUUUCCUUCUAGUAUCAGAGCCAUGUACUGCUUUUUGUNNNNNNNNNNNNNNNNNNNNNNNNNNNNNNNNNNNNNNNNNNNNNNNNNNNNNNNNNNNNNNNNNNNNNNNNNNNNNNNNNNNNNNNNNNNNNNNNNNNNGAGGGUUACCGUGCGAAACAUCGGCAUCCAAGGGUGGAUGAGUUUUAUGAAGAAUUAAUAAAUUAAAACUAAUAAAGCAGAAAGUAGUACGUGGCGUUGUUUUACCAGAUCAAUGCAGAACUUAAUCUGCCUUAGAAACCAGAUCUGACUUAGAACAGAUCAAUAUCUCGCAUGUUCUGGUUUCCAGCCGAUAUACCAAAUUAGUUAAACAAAUAAAUUUAAAAUGCUUUAAACAAACCUAGGCAACACAAAGGCUCAUAGAUAGUACUAGAUCUGGAUCCUAGAAAUAGUACUCUGAUUUGAUGGAGGGAGAAGAGAAAUACAACGAAGGUUAGAGAUCCGGUCUCUAUGCCUUCGAGGAUACGUAACCGUUUAUAAAGAAAUGUAAACAUGCUUUAAAUAAAUUACAAUAAUUUAAAACAUACAUGCUUUGUAAUAAAAUUUAAAAUUAUUACAAUCUUUGAAUGAAUUACAUAUGCUUUAAAAUAAAUAACAAAUGCUUACAUGAGUUGCUUGAAUCCGAAAGCUUUAUAAACAGAAAGUGUUUUACAUAAGGAGAUAGAGGGGAAAAUCAGAAGACAGGAAAAUUUCUUCGAUGUCUUCAGUUCAUGUUUUCCCAAGGAAAGGAAAGAGAGAGAGAGAGAGAGAGAGAGAGAGAGAGAGAGUUCUAAAAGAAGUGCCGAGUAGAAGAAGAAGUGAUAAGUCUCAGUCUUCAUCCACUCUUUUAUACAAUAAUUAUUUUUCAAAAGAAAAUGCUACAGCUGGUCUUCACAUGCGUUGGUGGAGAGUGGGGCUAACAAUAGUAAAAGUAGUAUGAGCUUUUGGAACGUGGGAGACAGCAUCAUUUGAGGCAUCUUCUGCUUUAGGAAAGCUUCACAUGGGAGUAGUAAAAAAUAAAAGAAAACGUAUACUGUUAUAUAAAGAAAUGGAAAAUUACACUUUUUUUUAAAUUACAUUAUUUUAUUUACAAUGCUUUAUUGGAGGCAGGAUCCCGAAGCAAUCGUCUUCGUUAUCAUCUCCAAGGGAAAUGAACGGCUCCACUUCAUCUGAAGAACUGGCAACGGACGGUUCAGAUCUCGAGGCAAGGAGCUACUGCAUUACUUUAAAAUAUUCCUCUUCAGUCUUUGCACUGGCCAACAGUGAUUAGGACUUAGAUCUUUGGGCGAGGAAUGUGUUUUGGGCUUUAACAUUUUCUUGUCUUGGGACAAGAAGGCCUUUUGAAGAAAGCCAGGCUUGGACUGUGGCUUCAGAUAGUUUUGACUGUUCGUCAAACUUGGAUCACCAUUUGACUUUGAAAUAUCUUUGAAGGAUGAGUUGGGCUUCUUGAUUAUGGUAUUGAAAAUUCCACAUCCAGACCUAAGGAAGAAAGAAAUUUGUACAAAAGUAGAGAAAAUGAGGAAACCUCUUCUCGGACUCAGAAGGAACAUAAUGGGCUUUAAAAAGGUUUAAACAAUUUAUGGCAUUUAGGGUUAGAAUUUCUGGGCUUGGCCCAAAGUAUUUCCAUCAUUGUUGGAACCAAUUUGGAAGGCUUUGGACAUUUAUUUUUUAGUUAAAGAAAAAUAACUAAGAAUAGGUCUUUUUGGGAUUUUGAAUAAAAAAUAUGUUGAAUCAGGCCUAUUGGUAAUCCCAGUAAAAAAAAAGAUAGGCAAUGGUUUAAACGCAUUUGGAAAUUGACGGGAAAGGUCUUUGGUUUGUGGAGUUGGUUACCCCACUGUUUUGGGCUCAAGACUUUUAAGAUGGUGGCUGUAGAGUAAGCCGACUCAUGGUGAAAUUCACUAAGAAAGAAAUGUUUGAAUUUUACAGACUCAGUGAACUCAAGAAUGUUUUGGUAGAAAGACUGGGGUUUUGAUAAAUCCCAUGGUUUGAAAAACUAGCCUUUCGGGAAAAUCUUUGUAAUGGCUUGAAAUGGAUCAGAGUGAUAAAACCCAUCUUCCAUAGAUAAAACAUUUUGAUGAUAGGUUUUAUUAAUCCAAUCCGAAGAUUUUUGUGAAAGUUUCGAUUGAUAAAUAAUAAUUUGUGAAGAAGAGCUUUCACAAGAAAUAACGUUUUUAGAAGAAGAAGGCUUUGAAAUUGCUUUAGAAACAGAUUUUUCUUUCUCAGGAACUUGAGAAAGAGCUUUAUUUUGGGAAAUACUUUGUAAAGCUAACAUAAGUUCAGGGGACUUUGUAAUGGAGUUCAUCCAUUCUUUACCUGCUCAUUGGAAGCAAUGGCUUUAGACUGUGCUUCUUGCUCCUCGACUAUUUCAAUCUAUGAUUUAAUAGGCAUGACAGACGAAAGUAAUUUGUCUUUAGGAGGGGUUGUUUGGGUUUCUUUAGAGAGUGUUUGUGGUGCAAAGUCUUUAAGAAUGGCUUUGCCUUUGUCUUUUUUUUUUUUGGCGGCAUUAUUUGUUUUGAAAAAAUUUCCUGGUUAGAAAAUCAGGGAUAGAAUUUGCAUCUCCUUUAAUAAACUCAAUUUCAAAAUCAAAAACACUUAAAAUGGCUUGCCAUCGUGCAAAAUUUUGUUUUAAUGCAAUGUUUUGAACAUCUUUUUCUAAAACAUGUUUUGCAGCUUUGCAAUCAAUUCUAAGUAAAAAUUUUUAAUUUAACAAAUCACUUUGAAAUUUAGAUAUGCAUAAAACUAUAGAUAAAAUUUCUUUUUUGAUGGUAGAAUAAUUUCUUUGACAUUCAUUCCAAUGUGCAGAAACAUAUUGUACUAUCUGUUCUUUACUAUUAUCAACUUGUUUUAGUAUUCUUCUAUAACCUAAAUCUGAUGCAUCAGUUUCAACAAUCUUAGGUAAUGCAGGAUUUGCAGGAAAUAAACAUGGAAUAUUUUUAACAGAAUCCUUUAUCAGUUUAACAGCUUUAGUGUGCUCAUCAGUCUAUGCAACAUGAUGUUUCUUUAAUCUAUUAUGCAAUGGCUUUGAAAUCCUAUUGAUGUUCGGACAGAAAUCAAGAACAUAAUUUAAACUACCUAGAAAUCUCUGUAAUUGAGUUUUAUCUAGGAUUUUAUCAGGAAAUUUAUCUGCAAAUGCAAGAGAUCUUUCAAUAGGUGUUAUAGUUCCUUUGGAAAUAUAAUGACCAAGGAACCUAAUCCUUGUUUGAAACAAGGAGACUUUAGAACUAGAAAUGGCUAGACCAGCCUUCCUAGUGGCAAAAUAAAAAGUCUUUAAAUGCUUGAAAUGUUGAUCAAUUGUUUGGGAAAAGAUCAAUACAUCAUCAAUAUAAACAAUGCAAAAUUCAGAGAAAGGAUUAUAAACAUCAUUCAUAAUCCUUUGAAAUUCUGAAGGUGCAUUCUUUAAUCCGAAUGGCAUAACAGUCCAUUCAUACUGUCCAAAAGGAACAAUAAAAUCAGUUUUAUAACGGUCUUUGGGAUGAAUUUGAAUUUGCCAAAAUCCAGAUUUUAUAUCAAAUUUUGAAAAAAUAAAUGCAGAAUGUAGUUUCUAGAGCAAAUCAUUUUUAUUAGGUAUGGGAUACCUAAUCCAUUUUAAUGCUUUAUUAAGGGGUUUGUAAUUUAUGACUAAUCUGGGUGUCCCUUUUUCUAUCUCAAAAUUCUUAUUGACAUAGAAAGCAGCACAAGACCAUGGAGACCUAGACUUGACUAUGAGACCUUUAGAUUCUAAAUCUUUUAUCUCAUCUUUGCAAUGUUGUUCCAAUUCCAUGUUCAUUUGGAUUGGACGGCUUUAGUAGGUAUUUGCUUUUCAUCAAAAGAGUUUUCAUAAGGCAAAUCAACAAGAUGUUGUUUUUUGUUUCAAAAAGCAGAUGGUAGAUCCGUACAUAUUUCUUUUUCAAUGAGGUCUUUAAAAUCAUAGAUUUUUCUUUUUACAAAUUCAUUUUGUAAUUGGUUUUCGAUUCUUUGUAGACUCAAAACCUUUUAUAAACAAACCAGGUCAUUUUGUUUUGAUUUGAGGAGAGUAUUGAUUUGGUUCUGAUAAAUAGAACAGGCUUUAACAAUAUUCAAAUUUCUUAUUUUAGGUUUUUCAAUAAAAGGGAAAACAAGUUUUUUGGUUUUUGCUUUAAAAGAUAUACUAUCAUAGUUAACAGUAUGGUGUAUGUCAUUUGUAAGAAUAAAAGAAGUCCUGAAUUCAAAACCAUUGUUAUGAAUAGAGGCGUCAACUUUAGAUUUGACAUUAAGUUUUGAAUUAUUAGCAGCAGAAAGUCUUUCAUUCGUUUUCUCAUGAAACCUUCUAGGGACAAUAUCUUCUUUAAUGUAAUUUAAAUAAGCACCAGUGUCAAAAAGGGCAAUGGUGUCAAUUUCAAAAUCUUUGGAAAAAAUCAAGGCAUAUUUUAAUCAAAUACUUUCUCGUGGUGAUUUGCUUUAAAACAAACAGAAAAUCAUUGGGUAUAGAUUCAAUAUUUUCAAGACUUUGUUCUCUAUUACCACCAUCAUCAGAUUCUGAUUCGUUAUCAGAAUUAUCCUAGAGUUAUCUAUGUAAGAGAAGUUGAAUGGAUUCAGAAUCAUUCUUUUGUUUUUCUUUCAACUCCUUAAUCUCAAGUUUGAUUUCUUUAAUCUCUCUUUGAAGGUCUUGGAUAUUGAGAAUUAUUUUCUUUGUUGUCUUUUUAUCCAAGAUUUCAGUUAGGCCAUAUGUAUCUUUUUAAUGGUAGGGGCUUUAGAAGUUUCUGCUUAUUUCUAAUUCUAAGGGUUUUUAUAAGCUUAUCAAGAUACUCCUUUUGAAGAGUAGGGUCAGAAAUGUGUUUAACUAGCUCAAGAAAAGUUUCUUAUUCUUUAGUCAACACAUGAAGUUUUUUUGUCUUUAAAUAGGAUUCUGUAUCAGAAUCACUAUCACUAGAUACAGAUGUGUCUGAGUCAAUUAACUCAUCAACCUGUAGAGGCUCACUGUUUCCUGACAUGGAAGACUCAGAGUCGGAAGACUCUACAAGCAAAGGGGCCACUUUAGAGAAUAUCUCUUCAUCUAGGUCAAGUUCAUGGAGCUUUCUGCUCAUUCUACAGAACUUUGCAGUAUGACCUUUCUUUCCACAUUUGAAACAUGUGGCUUCUUUGUAAUUGAAAUGAGCUUUUGAUUUUGCUAUGGUAUCUUUCCUUUUAGAGAAAUGAGGUUUCCUAUAAGGCUUCGAUGGUUUCCUAUAGGAAAGUUCUCUAAACUCAUGGAAGGGUUUCCUAUGGCUUUUAGACUUAUAAUGUUUCUUGUAAGGUUUCGAAGAACACUUACCAUUACAAUCUUUAGAAGUGGAGGCUUUAAAUGGGUCAUAGUUAGAUUGUUUACAUAAACUACCUAGUUCUUGCUUAGACUUUCUAAGCUCCCAUUUUAAUCGUUUCUGUAGUUUCAAGUCCUGACAAAUCUUUAAACCUUCUCUGUUAAUAAAACUGACAAGUUCACUGUAGGUGAGCUCAUCAUAGGGAAUACGGUUGUCAUAAAGGGCUUUAAUAGAAUUCAUAACAUUUUCUCCUAAUAGGGUAGGUAAACCUGCAAGGAAUUUUUCUUCCAAAUUAUAUGAUUUGCAUCAUCCCUAAGGAAAAGUCUGGUAAAGAAUGUGGUUUUGUAGCUUUGAAAUUCACUAAGCUUCCUACAUUUUAAGUUGUGUAGUAACUCAGCAUUCUUAUCCCUAAGGUGUGAAGGAUCACCUAUGAAAUGAAGGGAUAUAGUCAGAAUCAUGGUAGCAACUGCAUCCUAAAUUGGACUAUUGAAUUCAUCAUAGAUGGGGGCUCCAUUCUCAUCUGUUUAAAUUGAAUUUAAAAUAUCUAAUUGUUGUUGUUUGGUGAGGAGAUGAUCCCACUAUCCUUUAAGCUGACCAGUAAAGCCAGCAAUGAGAAUCUCUGCUAUGGCUUUGUCAGAGGUUCCCUGUUGGGUUUUAUAGGCAUUAGCUGCCAUGGUCAUUUAUUGUAAUAAUCCUAGGAUAUUAUACUCAGACAUACCAUCUAUGUUCCAUUCAUAGACAGAGGAGGCAUUAAAACGAGAUUGGUUUAAGGCACUCGGUCUGUUGUCUAUGGCUAAGUCAGGUGGAGAGCUAACAGUAGGAAGAGCUAAUUCCCAAUGGAUUUUAUUAGUUUUAGGAACAUGUUCUUCUUUAAAGGCUUUUAUGUCAGAGGAGACUAUAGACAUUUGGUCUUGUUCUAGUACACUAAUUUUGCUAGAUUGGGCACUAUCUGGAGCUAUUUGAAUUUUACUAGAAGAGGAAGAAGAAGCUUCUAUUCUAUCUAGUUGUUCUCUAAUGGCUUUAGCAAAAUCUGAUUUUGACUCUUGAACUAACUUUUGACUAGUCUUCGAGACUUGGUUUGAAAAUAGGCUCUUUAAGUUUCUUUUCAAAGUUAGCCUUUGACGUAAUACUAGGAGAGAUAGCUAUGAUUGACUUUUGGAAUUGGUUUUCUAUCCUAGUCAACUGUUUUCCUAUUGUAUUUAGAUUGACAUUACAGAAAUUAUUUUGUUGAAUGAUGCUUUCUAAAUCUGUUUCUGGAUCUUUGGGUUUAUGGAUUUUAUAGGGUGAGGCUUUUAUCUGAACAGGAGGUUCACCAUGAUCAAUGGUUAGACUCCUAGGUAGAGGAUGUUCAGAUUCUAUAAUCCUAUCACUAUAAGAAAGAUUUCAUUCAGUAAUUUUCUUCCUAACAGUAAUGGGAUUUGAUUCUUUAAAAGGAUAAGUAAUUUUGUUAGCUGAAGCAUACAUCUCAAACCAAUCAAAAAACAAUAUAUGAACUUUAUACAAAUUUACAAACUCAUAAUAGACUUGUUGGAUGUCUUUCCUUUGGUUUAAGAAAUGCUUGAAAAACCAAAGUCUUUUUUCUUUAUUAGUGCCAGAAUAAAAAUCAUUGUGAAGAAAGAGUUUUAUCUAAUUCAAAAUCUUUUUUAAUGACACUAAUUACAUUUUUUGUGACAGUAGAAAAUGUAGGAGAAGUUGGAGGAGAAGGUUCCUUCUCUUCCUGUCUUUAUUCAUGUUGACUGCUAGUGUAGAUUGGGUGUGGAACACUAGUGGUAUAGUCAACAGAGUGAAUAGAGGAACUAGGUAUAUCUGAUGUGGAAAACCUAAGUUGACUCUUUACUGGUUGGAAAGGGAGAUUUAUAACGGAGGGAAUCUUUGAAAAUUUCCUUUCUAAUGAAGGAAUACUUGAACAUGAAUCUUUAUCAGAGAAUCUAGAUGAUGUAGAUCUCCUAAAGGAUAGUUUGACUUUACCAUUUGAAUACUGAGUCACAUUUUGUAACUCUGUAUUUGGCUCAAGUUAUUUUGGAAUCACUGGUUCAGUGGCUCCUUAUAAGAUUCAUUCUUCAGGGAGGUUGACAUCCUUCCAUUGGAUUGGUCUAGGAAUAACUGUAUUGGCUUUAGACAAGUCAGUCUGCAAGAGAAGAGUUUCAUCUCCUUUUUACUGGAAUUUAUGUCGCAUAUUGGUAAACUCAGAUAUCAUGGCUUUGUAGGAUAUUCUAAAAAUUAGGGCAAUUGGUACAGAUCCUUCAAGCAUGUGAUAGUUAUGGGUCUUGAUCUGUAAUAUUAAGCUUUUCAGAAUGUUUUUUUUGUCUUUAAGGGAAACUGUUAUAUUAGGAUAACAACUAAAAAAAAGGGGUCAUUUACAAAGGCUUGAUUCAAUACUGCUAAGUAAAGAAUCAUCAAAAGCGAUGAAUCGGCCAUCUCUAAGGACAGCUAGGAUUGAAGCAUUCAAUCCUUCUUUAGUCAAUGGUUUUAUUCCAACUUGAAUUAAACCAAUGUGAACAUAAUUAAAAUGCUUUUCUUUUAGAUUUUUUAAAGAUUGUUCUGAAAACAAGUGAAUUGUUUCAAAAGGCUUUGAAAGGGUUAUGUCACGUUCUUCAGUUUUUAUGACAUAAUUAUUCUUUAAAAAAUCAAGCGUUUUGGUUUUGUAAAUCAUUUCUUUAAAAAUCUUUGGAAGUUCCCAACAAUCAAUUGCUUUAUUAAAGUAAUCAAUUGCUUUAUUAAAGUCUUCAAUUAUGAAUUCUUCUGAAUUCACAACAUUCUUUGAAUCAUUAGUUCUUCUAGAAGAAGAGCUAGAAAAGGAUGAUACUCUACAAAGUAGAGAAUCCAUGGGUAGGAACCUAUAAUCUAGUUUUAAUCCUACAGGUAUGGCUACAACCCAAGGCUAAGAGUUGGUUUUACUGCCCUUCAACCAAAUCAGGACUUACGACCAAAUACUACCAAGGCACCAGAAGUAACACUCACCACACAAGUAAAAUCUUAACUAAACUACAAGUCUUUAUACAAGCCUGUUUACAUUUCUUUAUAUAUAUAUAUAUAUAUAUUACUGAAAUUCAAUAAUUUUCAGUUCUCCAUAAUUAAAUAAACAAAAUUAUGAAUGCCUUAUAAAUUUCAUAAGUAUAAUGUCAUAAAUAUAUAUUUCAUAGUCACAGCAAGCUUAGUUUACAUGUUCAAUUAAUUCACCCUCAACUUUGAUCUCAUGAAACCUCUAAUGAAAUUACUAUAAAAGAUAGAUGCUGUGUUGAUAUUUACUUACCAUUCAAGCUCAACCUCCCUAGAUUUUUUGUUACAUGUACUAAGCGUCAAAUGUUCUUAUCUUUGUGGAAAUAAAAUAUUCCAUUCAUUCGACAAGGCUUUGACGACUGGCGAGAAAUACAACACAAUCUUAGAUUCUUAAUAUAUAUUGUUGAUGCUGAAAUCUGGUCGCCCUUUGCCCGACCAAAUUAUUCCACCAACGCUCGUAUUGACAACGGAGAAGAGGUUGCACUCUCCCUGUUCUAGUGAUUGCCCAAGCUCCUGGGAGCCAAAUCACUCUUUCUCUUCUAUCCAAACCUGCGUUCACAGAAACAAGUUAGAGACGCCGGUGGUUUGCCAGUGUAAACCCUCCGAUGCUUAAGUUAGUACAAGGUGUUUACGGGAAAAUAAUGUGACUUAAGUUGAAUAAACUCACUGUAAUAUUUUCAACUCAAUGUGUAUCCAAAAUCUGUAUAGAAUAAAUUCUGGUUUCAAUUUGGCAGAGUUUUCCCUUCUCCCCCUAUUUUUUCGUCCCCUGCUUCAUCGGUUUCUUGGCCUUUUAUAGGCAAUCAUCCCACGUUUUUUGUUAUUCUUCAUGUCCCAUAUUUUAGGGUGAUGACAGACCUUUACGGGUCUCCUACCAUCGAAUCGUGGGUAAACGUGGGAUAUCAUGCUCUCCUUAGCGGCUUGGGGCAUUGUGAAACUGUCGUGAGUUCAUGAGAUCGUGUCCUUUUUCUUUGGGUAAUAAAUAUCUGGUCGGUACGCACCUUUGGUCGGUACUCGUUUAUAGUUGGCAUAUACCCCAUACAAAAUGUAUUACCAGAACUCUGCUCGUGCCGUUUAGCUGAGGAGAUUCGCCCCAGGGUUAAGGUGAGAAGAUAGCUGAGCUCGUACUUUUCAUUUAAUUUUCAGUUUCUUCUUCAGUCUAAAAGAUUGAACUUUAUAAAUAUACUAUUUUAGCCCGGGGUUCAUAGGCACUUUAUAUGAUAGAUGAUCAACCUUUUAAAAAAAUAAUAAUAAUAAUAAAUGAUAAACUUAUAUAUGAGAGUAUUGUGUGUCGAUACAAAUCUUUAAGAUAGUGUUUACUUUCUGGAGUGGGAUUGUGGAGUGUGGAGUGUGGAGUGUAGAUUCCUUCUACUCCAAUGUUUACUUACCAUUUUUAAGGAGGGAGUGAGAUUCUCACUCCGUAGGUCCCACCUAAUUUUGGAGUGGGGGGAGGUGGGAGUGGGAAUCCACUCCUCCCUCUUCCCUUUUUACCCUCAUAAUUAAAAUAAGUAAAUAAUAUCAUAUUUAUUAAAAAUAAUAAUUAUAAACAUAUUUAUUUUAUUAAAUUUAAUAAAAUAAAAAUAAAUAAAUAUUAUAUUUAAAUUAAUAAUAUUAAACAUUAAUUUUAAUAAAUAUUAAUUAUUUAUUUAAUUAAUAAUAAUAAAUAUUUUAUUCUAAGAAAAUAUUAAUUUUGUACUAUAUUAUCAAUAAUAAUGUUUCAUUUGUGUUGCUAUUAUUAAUAAUUUUUAUUCACAUAAUUUAAAUUAAAAUUAAUAAAAAAUAUGAUUUACAUAAUUAAGAAUAUUAUUAAUUAUUAUUAAUUUAUAAAUAUAAUAAAAUAUUUAUUUUAUUUUCCAAAUAUAUUUUUUAUUAAUUUUUUAAUUACAAAUUAUAAUUCUUUAAAUAAGGGUAAAAUUAUAAUUUAAAACUAUUUACUCACAAUUCAAGACAAUGUAAACACAUAAAUUGGAAUUAAUAAUAUUACUAUAUACUCUUUUUAUUUGAAAAUAUAAUAUUAUUAUAUUUAUUUAAUAUCAGUAAUUAAUAAUAAUCAAUAUUUUAUUCUAAGAAAAUAUUAAUUUUGUAUUAUAUUAUUAAUAAUAAUAUUUCAUUUGUGUUGCUCUUAAUAAUAAUUUUUUAUUUACAUAAUUAAAAUUAAAUUUAAUAAAAAAUUAUUUACAUAAUUAAGAAUAUUAUUAAUUAUUAUUAAUUUAUAAAUAUAAUAAAAUAAAUAUAUACUCCCAAUUCUAUACUCUCAUUCCAAUAUAAGUAAACAAUCUACUCCCAUUUUCACUCCACACUACUAAUCUCAAGAUUCUCACUCCAAUUUAAAAUGUAAACGCAGCGUAAAAGAAGAGAGAGAGAGUGAGUGACGACACAAAUGUUGAGACACACACGGAGAGGGUGAUGAUAGAGCUGGCAAAACGGGUCAUCGAAUCGUGUUCGUGUCGUGUCGUGUCAGAUUCGUGUCGUGUCAAAUUUAGGUUGACCCAAACCCAACCCAUUUAAUAAUCGUGUCAAAAUAUUGAGACCCAAACCCGACACGGAAAAAUAAUCGGGUUACCCAAUAACCCGCUUAAUAUCUAUAUAUUAAAUAAAAGUUACAUCAAAUAUUUACACUUUGUUAUACAUAUGUAUGCACAUACAUACAUACAUCCAUACAUACAUACAUAAUUUAUCAAUAUUAUAAAAUAUACAUAUCUACUAAAAUAUUACACACAUUAUUGAUGUUUUAAUUAUAUAUAUGUAAAUAAUAGUAUAUAUCAAUAUUAUAAAAUAUACAUGUCUACCAAUAUUUUAUACAUUUACACUAUUAAAGCUCUAAAUGUAUUUAAAAUUUUAUAAAUAAACUAUUGUGUCUAUAUUCAUCCUUUUAAAGAAUAAAAAAAAAUUAUCCUAAUAUUUGAGUUUUGAUGACAAGAAUCUGUAAAUUAUUUUAAAAUAGAAAAUAUAAUCGGGUCAUUGAUCGGGUAAAUGGGUCAAGAAUUUUAACCCUAACCCGAUACGGAAAAAAAUCGUGUUGACCCGGACCCGACCCAUUUAAUAAUCGUGUUAAAUUCGACGACCCAUACCCAUUUAUUGGUGUCGUGUUCGUGUUGGGUAAUUGGGUCGUGUCAAAUUUUGCCAGCUCUAGGUGAUGAUACAAAACGAGAGAGAAUCAUAGAAGGGUAAUUCUGGCACUCAGAGAAAAAAAAUUGUAUCGACGAUUCCUAGGCCCGCCUUUCUCAAAUAUCCGCUUCGUUAUUUGAGGUAGAAGGGAGAUUAUGGGAUUCAGAGAAAAACAUACACAAUGAAAGGAAUAAAUAACAUUUGUAGACACAUAAUAAGUGAGAAUUUUCUUGUUUAUUUCUUCUCUUAAUCUUGCAAUUUAUUUUGCUACAACCUUUCUGGCACCUUGUUCCAUUUUUUCUAGACCGAUUGUUUGCACAGUGUUUAUAAAAGUCAAAUCGGUUCUGAAGCACAAAAUCUACUCGACUACAUUAUAUUAUAUGAAGUAAACUACCAAACAGACCCUCUUGAAAGUAUGUAUUUCCAUAAAAACCCUCAUAAAUUGAAAUAAUAAUUGUUAUUAUAGCUAAGUGUUCUUAAUGUCAUUUUGAAGCUAUAAUAUAUUAUGAUGUGAUGGGUAUAAAAAAAAAUGCACAUAACACGCAUAUUGUGAUCCGAUGGAUAUGAAUCAAAAUGAUUAAACUACCAAGCCCAUUGAAAUUUGUUGAUGCGAAAAUUUGAGAUGAGUGGUGUGUAAUUGACAACUACUUGAGUUGGAUUGUAGCCCAUCAACAGUUGUUUUUUUAAUGGAAGUGUCUCUCUUACAAAAGCCGAAGCAAUUGAACGGGGAAUAUAGGAGACAAUAAAUUAAUGUACACCUAUCGACAGUCAUUUUUUAAUUUAUUGACUUGGCAAACUCGACAGUCCUUUUUUCUUACAUUUAUAUAAGUUCACCAGAUUAACUCGACUCAUAAGCUAGCUCAAAUACUGAGGAUUAUCUCGAACUUAUAUUAUUAACCUAAUAACUCGGCGAAUGUAUGAUAACGUCUUCAAUAAGAAUCCCAUAAAACGGUGCCGUUAGGCGACGAUACAUGUAAUGGUGGGCAAUCUGUGUGGCUGAAUCCAGUACCGUCGCGUUAAGGUUGGCUCAAAUUAAAUGUUGAUGCUGCAAUGAAUCUGACGGCUGGGAUAGCCGGACUUAGGAGACAACUCUCUGCUUAGGUUCUAGGCCUAUUCCCUUCUUGGGCUUCUCUCCGUCUUCAAACCAGUGUAAAGAUACUAACACCCCUUCACUAUCCUCAUUACACCCUUUUCUUGGAAAUUACAUUUUUAGACAAUCAUACAAUUCUAAUUAAACUCAUUUGUUGUUCCUCUCUCUUCUAAGAAACCCACACAUUCUAUUACUUAUUUUAUCUGCAAAUUCCUUCAUUACAUAGACAUGUCAUUUUCUUUUCUUUUUAAUGUUUGUGACUCGUCAUACAUCCGAUAUUUUAUCGAAAUAACCUUUGCUUCUUUUCUUUUCUUUUCUUACAAAUUUAUUAUUCUCAUGUUUUUUCAAAAAAUAAUUAUUCUCAUACUUAAAGUACACUUUUAAACUAAGGAAAAUUCAAAUAUAUUUAUUUUAGAUCAGGGUUAUCACCCAGAAAUAUUAUUUGUGUGGAGGUAGAAAAUAAGAUUGUAAGAGAAGAAAGACUCCAUUUUAUUUUAGGAGUGAGAAAACACCACCAAAAAAAAAAAAAAAACAACAACAACAACAACAAACAAACAAACAAACUAAAUAGGGUUUAAGAAGAAAAGUGUAUUUUUAGUAUUAAAACUAGUAAAAUUGGAAAUAGUUUCAUCAGGAAUUUAGAAGGGUGGUAGAAGCUCCACUCUUAAAACUAGUUGUUUUUCAUUGGUUAUGGACCUUUUCGUCUUCUUCCGGGGCUUGUUGUAAUUUUCUUUUAUGCCGGGUUUAACCAAUUGUAAUAAAAUGAAAUGCCAUUCAAGAGAGUGAGAUUUCAAUACGAUCCCACAUCUACAAACAUACAUCAAAAUUGAUUAACAUAUGGGUCCGCCUACGUUACAUUUAAUGUAACGUACAGUCAGCCUGUGAAAUUUCAUCCAGCCCCUUAUACUCUAUGUUAUUUAUAUUUUAUUCAUGAAUAUUAUAAAUUUUUUGAAAUNNNNNNNNNNNNNNNNNNNNNNNNNNNNNNNNNNNNNNNNNNNNNNNNNNNNNNNNNNNNNNNNNNNNNNNNNNNNNNNNNNNNNNNNNNNNNNNNNNNNAUAACAAUUUUUAUUAUAAAAAUAAGUUUUAUACCAAAUAUUAAAAAAAAUCUAGAUAAUCAUUAAUUAUUAUUAUUAUUAUUAACAAUUUAAUAAAAAAUAUUAUUAAUUAUUGUUAAUAGAUUAAUUAAUUAUAAUGCUUUUUAUUAUUGUUAUUAAUAAUAACAAUAAUCUAUUUAAAAAAAUAUUUAUGAUUAUAAUAAAUAAUUAUAAUAAUUAUAAUUCAUUUAACAAUAAUUAUAUUUUUUAAUUAAAUGGAGGUUAUUUUGAGAAUUUAAUAUUAUAGGGGCGAAUUCAUACUCUAGGGUUUUAAUAAAAUAAAAUUGAGUAUAAGGGGUUAAACGAAAUUUUAUAUUUCAAAAAAUUUAUAAUAUUCAUGAAUAAAAUAUAAAUAACAUAGAGUACAAGGGGCUAGAUGAAAUUUUACAGGCUGACUGUACGUUACAGUAAAUGUAACGUAGGCGGACCCUUAACAUAUUAUUUAUUACAAGUAGACAAUGGAUUAUAUUAAGGUAUUUUCAACUGAGUAGACACAUUCUAAAUUUUUUUAUGUCGAAAAAUUAUCUCAAAUGAUGUGACAUUCAUUAAUUAGUUAGUGAAACAAAUAAUCAAUUCACUUAAAUCUUAUAAACAUUUACUAACCAACCACUCAAUAAAUGCUAUAUCAUUGGAAUGAAAUUUUGUAUAAAAAAUUUGGGAUGCCUAUCAUUAUUCUUUUUAAAUAUGACAAAAAAUAUAAUUGUACUAUAUGAACAAGUGAUACACUAAAGAGAUACGAAUGAAUGAUUCAUGUUCCAACAAAAUGGAUUCAUAUAACAAAUUAGAACUAAUUAGGAGUUACAACUCUUUCUAAUUAUCCGUCACCUUCAGAUUAGUGGUACAUGAAUAGUAGUGUUGAGAAAGGAACAUACCAAAAAUAAACUACAAUAAUGAGCAAUUAAGCUACAUUUUUUCUCUAUCAGCGCGUAUGUACAACAACAUAACUAUAGGAACUAAUUGAUAUUAUUAUUAUGCGAAUAUGCUUUCCAUGACAAUAUCACUAGUCGCAUGACCAAAAAAUACCGACAUUCACAAUAAUCUCUCAGAGCCCGUUCAGAAGAAAUCAUUCAGUGUGGAGAUAUGAGACAUGAAGAAAUCAAACGUCUCUAACAAUAUAAAUAUGCUUAGUCAUCAAUUUACCCCUUACUUACCAACUAAGAUUUUUUUUUUUUUUUUUAGUUUGGAGAAUAAUAAAGAAGAGAGAAUCUUGAAAACUCCUUCAUUUGCUACAAAACGUGAACUGUUUUCACCUAUACGAGAGAGACGUGAUCUUCUCUUUUAUCUUCAAAAAUACAACGAUUCAUUUCUUUAAUUUGCCUAGUAACAAAAAAAAAGAGGUAGAACGUCAUCAUACUGCCCAGGAACCUUACUAGCUUUCUUUCCUUGCCCAAAAGGAAAAAUAUUAUUCUCCAUUAACAAACAGCUACAAAGCUUGGAACAUCCCGAAACAUUGUUCUCCAUUUCCCCAUCUUUUUAUUAUUCAUGGUAGCAUUGCACUCUAAUUGAGAUAAAUGCAUGUAUCCGCAACUAUAUUAAUUGAGGAGACAAAUUACAAUUUCCCAGGCAUGAUGAACCAAUUAUCCACAGGUACAAUUAAAAUUUCAAAUGGACAUAUUUAUGUAAUUCCUAAAGCCUACCAAGCUUCUUAGUUAAUCUGCUCAAAAUAGAAUAUUCUAUAGCCACAUUUUGAUAAAUUGGGGUUGUUCAAGUCCUAUAUUCUUUGAAAGCUGAUUCUUGGAAUUGGUUGCUGAGUUUCCAAUUAUUAAUUGAACUAUAGUGAUUAACACACACACAUAUUUAUGAUUAAGGUACAGUCACAUGUAAUCUUUCGUUUACUAAUAAACUACAACAUGUUUCUUUUGCUAGCUAGCUAGUUGGUUUUUAAACAUAUAUAUGAAUUAUCUAACAGUAUAUAACAAUACGCAUAAUCCAGGUUAAACUAGAUUAAAUUAAACCGAAGAAUUAUGAAGCUUAAAAGUCACAAAGUAGGCUUUUCUAUUACAGUACUGCAAAGAAUGCAAAUUCAAUUUACCUUCUCAGAUCUCGUAAAGCUAUAUCAUUAAUUGGACCUUAAUAAAUAACCGAAGAAGGAAUUAUAAGAACCCAUAGAUGUAUUAAGUACUUCUCCCCCGAAAGCUUAUAUUCAUGGAACAAAGCAACUUGAGACACUUCCCAAUAAGCCAACAGAGGGACAAAUCCACAAGUCAACAAGAUUUUCCUUUUUCAUGAAUUAAUAGGUCUACCAUUACUCAACAUGCAUUAUAAAUCAUCCAAAAACUAGGAUAAGUAUGGAAAGAAAAAAGAGUGUGUGUGUGUGUGAGAGAGAGAGAGAGAGUUAAAAGGAAUCUGCAUUCAAAAAAGGAAAAAAGGGAGAAAAUAUCGAUCAAACCUCUUCUUCAGGUGAUUUCAAACGGGGGGCAUUGGUUUUUGAUCUAAAGAUGACUCCAUGGAUAAUUAAUUUACUGAAACACCAACACACUAUUUGAAUAUUUAUUUAUUUAUUUAUUGGUUAUGUAAGAAUUAUUUUCAAUAAAAGAACUCGAAUACGGGAAGAGAAAGCCAGGAGACGACACAGAUAAGAGAGUGACUUACAGUCCUGAUGUGCAAUAUGGUCCAAUUCUUCUCAAUGAAGAAAACGUACGACUCUUGUUAUCUUCAAGAAUUAUGGACCAACUUAAACUUGUUAACUGUCACAUGCAUGCGGGGCCCUUUUUUUUAUAUAACACUGUUAUGCCAAUGAUAUUAUAAAUUAAUAAUUUGCUAAAAUAUUAAUGUAAUUGUUAUGAUAAUUUAUUUAAUAAAAUAUGGUAAUAUUAUUAUUAUUUUUUCUUGAAACUUAAAUAUAGUUGAAUUCCUUAUUUAAUUUUCUUAUUGCAUCUAGAAGUUUUGGGAUUCAACUCUCAAAGUAAAAAUUUUGAAUUUAUUUUUUGAAUAAUUUAAUACAUAUUUAGUCGAUUAAUCCAUUUUUAAUGGAAUAGAUUGGUAAAUAUAAUAGAUUUCUAGUUAAUUAAAUACAUGUUUAUUGACUUGCAAAUACAUCAAUUAACUAAUACUUUUUUAAUUAAUAGAUUUUAUAUGUUUCAACACGUUUUACUUCGUUACUGACUGUCGCCAGGGUGCUGGAUAAAAAUGAAAAGCAGAAUAAAUCUGACGCAAAAUUUUAUUAAUAUACCGGUCUCCAUGUCAUAGCCAAUUAAAACAGCCGCUGCUUUCUUGGAAAAUCAUAAAUAUUGCAUUUUAAGAAAUAAGUGAAUAAAUAUUGAAAGAAGUAAAAGAAAGCAGACAGCGUCUAUCAUCGUUUCGUUUUGCUUAUAGAAAGGUGCUUUUCAACUCUUUUCUUCAAAUCAAGCCGAAAUAGUAACUGACAACAACUGCGAAAUAGAAACCUUUCCUUUUUUUCUUUUUUCUUUUUUCUUUUUUGUUGUUUGUAUUCCACGUUGUCGUUAUUAACUAUGAAAAGGAAAGAUAACAUGAAACUCACAAUUCAAUAUUUUGUUGCCCUAAUAGAUACUAGGAGCUUUGCAGUGGCACCAGCUAAACGGAAUAUUUAAUAUCAAAUGACGACCACAACUUCCAGAUUAUCUUCAGACUUUGAACUUGGCUGCAUGUAAUUUUGAAUCUUGUUAGUUUACUGCUAUUAAAAUGUUACACAAGAAAAUAAAAUAAGCAAACAGGUUGUGGUUACGUACCUUAUUUAUAAUUACACUCGAAUAAUGUUCACUUCAACUUGGGAAGGAGCUGGUUUGACAGUACAGGCGAUGAAGAUAGUUGGAAUGGAUGUUAUUACGGUGCUCGUGAGACGUAGAAACCGGUCGAAGCAGCGCUUACACGGAGAGGCUAACACUGAAUAACAGAGUGAUAAGAUUAUGAGACACAAAUACGCCACCAAGAAAAGAGAUGGAGCCAAAAUGAGAGAGGCAAGUGUUGAUAUUGCCAAGAGAACGGAUAGUUUUCCACAGCGUACAGAAAGUUGGCGACCGAUCCUGAGGUGGAGUUUGACGGAUAUGAAGAGGUAGAUCAAUAGUAACAGCAGGACAAGAAUCUGAGAGAAGAAGGGGAGCUUCAAAAUGGGAUAUAACAGAAUCUCACUGGUACCAUCCUGGAUGGCCCAAGAAUUACCAUCUUGAGAUUUCAGGAACAUAAAGAAGAUUAUAAGAUUUAGUAAUGGCAGAAAUAAAUACCUCAAAUCAAUAGAAAAUUUCAUGCUUAUGGUGAUGCUCAAGUUUUCUAGGGGAAGAUGUAUUUAAUUUACAAAAAUGCUAAAUGUUAAGAGAAGAAUGAGAGAAAGGUGAGAGAAGAAGGCAUGUGCUGAGAGAAGAGACAGAGAGAGAAGCAAAACGGCAGACUCACUUUUCUCUCAUUCUUCAAUUUAUAGUGAGCUUUUUAUGUCAUGAAAAAUUGGAAAUUGCGUGGCAAAUUCUUUUGACCAGUUGCACAUGCUGUCCUGUUGAUUGGUUGGUUUUUGGAAACUCGAUCAUCACCGUUUAUUCAAGCAAAGACCCAAAUGGUGAACUAACGGUGAUGAUCGAGUUCAAAAAGAGAAAAAGAAAAAGAAGUAAACAGUGAUGUCUUCAAACUUUUUUUCCCCCCUGAGAAAAAGGCUUUUAAUACAGUUCUUUUCUUUUUCCACAGAUUGGUAUUAUUUCUCAGUGUUUGCUUAAUUUACUGCAAUCAUUUUUCAAAAAGUGUUCAAUAAUAAUGAAUUUUCAACCAUUAUCCUAUACGAAUCAUUAAAUUAUUAAUACUGAUGUUAAUCAAAUAUCAAGUAGAAUUUGUUUUUAAUAGAUCAAUUAGUUAAAGCACAUUUGGUACACUAUUUAGAACUUAUUUUUAUCUAAAAAUUGAUAAUAGGACCAAAUGAAGUAAAUUGUAUUGCUCAUGUCACUGGUACAACAAAUAAAUGAUGUAAUACUAUAUGUUCAUGUAUUUUGAAAAAGUAACAUAUAAGUAGUAAUUAAAUUAAAUUGUACUACUCAUGUCACAUAUUCAAUAAUUUAUUAUAUUACCUCUAAUGUAGGAUAGAUUUUCUCAUUCUCAAUAUAUGCUUAAUUGUAAUAAUUUUUUAACAAUUGUUCAAAGAUAGCUUUGCUCCGGCUGUGGAUAGGGAUGGCAAAACCCGGGUCCGGGUCCGGGUUUUACCUUCCCGGUUCCGGACCCGGACGAUAAAUUUUAAUACCGGACCCGGAUGUAAACCCGGAUAUUUUUCAUCCGGGUCCGGACCGGGUUAAACCCGGAAAAAUCCGGGUUUCCGGAUUCCGGGUUUAUAACCCGGAUGAUUGCUAAAAGAUGCAAUUUCCCAUCUCUUUCUUCAGUGAAGAAUUCCUUUCUAAUCUUCUAUUUAUUAACACCAAUAAUGGAAAAUAAUUCAAAAUCAAAUACUUAGAUCAAAAAUAACAUAUUACACAAAUUCAAUUAUCAAAGAUAAUCAUGAUGUCUCAACCUUGAUGAUGACAAAUUUGGCAAUGAAUGAGGAUGACAAAUUGGGCUUUGUGGGGUUAGGUCAAGAAAAGGGGAAGGAUAAAUGGCGGCUGAUUUUUUUUUUUCCUUCCAAAAAGCAAAUGAACAAACACUGGGAAGGUGUAAAUGAAGAAACAGAGACAAACGCAUUCAUAAGUUCCUGUCAAUUUAUCACAAAGAAGGUUUGGAGGACAAAGCAAAACACCAGGGGGUAGAAGUGUUGGCGGCCAAAUCGAGAUCCCGAUUUGCGAAGGUGGACAAAUGGAAACGGCGGCCAAAACUCGUGACAUAGCUGGACAAACGGCAGCUGAUGAUGAAGAUGAAGAUGAACACGACGAAACGAUGAUGGGCAACGAUGAUGAUUUGUUGAAAAGAAGGGCUAAAGAGAGAGAGAGGAAAUGUCUGGGUUUGGUAGUUUGGCUGCCGCGGCUGUGGAAGGGCAUUAGGGCUGAUUUUUUCUAAUUUUUUUAAUUUUAAAAUGAUUUAAAAAUUAAUAUUAAAAUAGUUAUCCGGGUCCGGGUUCCGGAUAUACGGGUUUAUCUAAAUCCGGACCCGGAUCCGGAAACGUCCGGGUUGAAAAUAUUAAAUCCGGAUACCGGAUUUUAUUCACUCCGGUACGGGUUGAACCCGCCCCGGAUUUUCCGGGUUCAUCCGGGUCCGGGCCGGGUCCGGGUUAAAUUGCCAUCCCUAGCUGUGGAUGUGAUUGACAAAUUUAUUAUUAAAUUGUACAACAACGAAAAAGACAUAAGUUGAAAUUGUUCCCAACGACGUCACAUGUUGACAAUAUGCUGUCCAAAAUUUGACUAUAUCAAAAUUUUCUGUUCAGUAUUAGAAUAGAUUGUGCAUGAUUGGAUGCUAUAGGCUGCUUUUUGUUUUGCAAGCGUUAAUUUAUUUACAAUGCAUCUCUUAGUCUUUUUGUUAGCGGAUUAUAAUAAUAGCUGCAUGCUUGAAGAAGUGCCCAUGGGGGGCAGGUCAAAAUUUUCAAUGGUCAAAGUAAGAGAAGAGGAAGUUGUUUCCUUCCUUUUUUUUUUAAUUCGAAAGUUAUACUGGCGUUUUCUUACUCUUACUUUUUUUCCCCCUUUCUUUCUUUCUUCUUUUUGUGCAUAUGGUAGUUUGUUUUAUAGGCGUUUUUGGCCUAUAAAACAAAAGAAUUUUUAAAAGUUGUGGAUCGUUUUUUCUCUGGACCCAUUAAUUAUUUCUCCAACUUGUACUUGCCCACCUAAAUCUCCGUCCAAAUUUUCAUUGGAUAAGCAACUUCCUCUUCUCUUACUUUGACCAUUGAAAAUUUUGACCUGCCCCCCAUGAGCACUUCUUCAUGCAUGCAGCUAUUAUUAUAAUCCGCUAACAAAAAGACUAAGAGAUGCAUUGUAAAUAAAUUAACUCUUGCAAAACAAAAAGCAGCCUAUCCCUAUAGCAUCCAAUCAUGCACAAUCUAUUCUAAUACUGAACAGAAAAAUGAAAUUAAAUAAAAUUGCUCAAAAUCAAAAUCAAUAAAAUUCAUAAAUUUCAAAAGAAUAUAAAACUUUGAAAUAAUUUGCAAAAAGGUCCUCAUUGUACUAACUUUUGUACCCACUUUUGUGAGAAUAUCAUUGUUGUUUUUUGUAAGGUAACACUCGCCAAUAAGAAAACAAAGUUAAAAACGUUGAUAGAAUGUACCUUGUGGUCAAAUGUCAGACCUGACUUCUUCGAACGAAUUAAAGGCCAACAAUAAAAAUUUCACAUAAAAACAACCAGAAUACCUAUAAAACAGCUUAAAUUAAAAGUUUUCUAACCCGUUCAGUAGGGUUGGCAAUCAAGUCGGAGUCGGACUCGAUCACACAAACAAAGUGCCCGAAUCCAAAAAAACCCUGACUGUUUCACAUUCGGAUCAAGCUAGGGUCAAGGUUGGGCUAAGACUUUCCUGAGCCCAACCAAUUUUUUUUUUUAAUUUUUUAAUAUUUAAAUAAUUUAAAUUUAUAUCCCCUAAUACCAUGGUGGUGGCUGGCACGGCAGCAAGUGGUGCCGAUGAUGGAAGUUGCAACAAUGGCUGUCGUGGGCUCGUGAACUGAGUCGCAAUUUCGGUCAAUUUGGUGGCGGGUUGGUGGCAUGAUGGAAGUUGCAGCAAAGGCCGGAGGCUGACUUCUCUUGCAUUAGGAAUUAGAAUGGGAUAUGUGUUCGUGUGGUGUGAGUCGUAUGAAUGUGAAUAUGUGAUACUGUGAUCAUGUGAUGUGAGUGUGUGUGUGUGUUGUGUGUUCAUGUGCACUGUGCAGACAUCAUGCGUGCGUGAGAUUUUUUUUUUAAAUUUGUUAACUAAUUGGGUUGGGUUGACCCUUAAACUGAAUUUGAUCAGGCUUUUUAAGCCUAAGCCUGAAUUUUGACUCUUAAAUUCAAGUCAAAUCUCAAAAAAUUUGGGUUAUGUCAAUCGGGCCAAAAUUCGAUAUGGGAUUUUUUACUAUCUCUCUCGUUCAGAGAGAUGCCAACAAUUUUGGAAACUUUUUGUUGGACCUUACAUUUAUUUUUUUUUUGGUGUAUUAAAUCAUCUGGUAUUCGAAGGUUUCAUUGGGCCCCGACUAAUCCAGAUUCGAGUUGAGUAGGACCACUAGAGUGGCAAAACUCUCUCAGUAAGUAUUUAACGCAGCUGCAAGUCUCGAACUGAAGAUCUUUGUUAAGUUAGAACAACCUCAUGCUAGUUGAUCUACGCGCUUAUUAGACCUCACGUUUAUACUAUAUCAUAACUUCCUCCACCAAUCUGACAACAUCACAGAAAACAAGCAACACCACAUUUAAUUGUCCUUUUAAGCUAUGAAAAAGCUUCAAGUUUUGCAGGUGCCAGGAUAUAAUGCGAAGGACCACUAGAGUGGCAAAACUCUCUCAGUAAAUCUUUAACGCAGCUGCAAGUCUCGAACUGAAGAUUUUUGUUAAGUUAGAACAACCUCAUGCCAGUUGAUCUACGCGCUUGUUAGACCUCACGUUUAUAAUAUAUCAUAACUUCCUCCACCAAUCUGACAACAUCACAGAAAACUCUCUCACCACAUUUAAUUGUCCUUUUAAGUUAUGAAAAAGCUUCAAGUUUUGCAAGUGCCAGGAUAUAAUGCGAAACCAAUCAUAGAAAAUGUCAUAAGCAAGGGCACAAGCAGAGCAAAGAUCUUCAGUGCCUUAGUGUGAUGAUAAUAAUCAUGAAACAAUAUCAACAGAUGUGAUUUAGGGAUACAUCUCAUAAAAGCAAUAGAUCGAUAUAAAAUAAAUAACUUCAUAACAAAAGAGUUUACAUUGGGAAAAGAAAAAAAAAAUACUGAGGUUAAAGGUUGCGCUCUGGUUAUUGUACUUUCAUUCGUAUGUAAAGUCUCCCAAAUUCUUUAGUCAUGGUGUAAUAGAUUUUCUUAUAUAUAUAAUGAAUAAUGCGGUUGAAAGUAGCCCCUGAACUUAGAAUUACUUCCACUUGUUUAAAAUCUUAGUUAUAAUAGGGCAAGAAUGAGCUUUGGUAUAUUUAAUGAGAUACAGAAAGGUAUUUACACUAUUUUAGCUUGCAAAUUCAACACCUGGUAAGUCUCUCGCAAAACCGGUAUUUAGACGAAUGGACUUCAAAUGAAAGAAUUUUCUUACAAAAGCUAAAAAAAAUGCAACGGCAUAGUCAAAAUUGGAAAAUGAAAAUAUAAAGCAAAAGAAAAAGAUUCCAUCUGAUAAGACAAAUACAAAAAAUCUAAGUUCUAAUUUUGCCAUGCAAUAUUAUUCAUGCAGAAUUACUCUAAUUUAUUUUUCAGUUGUGGAUAGUAACAAUUUAUCUGUAAAUAUCUGUAAAUUUAUCUGCAAUCCAGAUCAGGGAAUCAAACUAUCAUGAGAUAAAUGAUUAAUAUGAAGUAAGAAUCUGAUAAGUAUUUUUUACUGGGUUCCUGCAUUUUUGCCUCAAACCCUGUUUGAUAAAUAAUUAAAAGAGCUUACUCAGUGCUUUCAGAACCAGCCAUGUCAACAAGCCUCAGCCAUCCUCCCGCUGCUGAGAGUUGGGACAGUGAGGAUUUUGUGUGAAAUUCCUCAUUCUAGUGCCUUAUAUAAUUAACAGUUUGGGAGCAAUGCUAGAAUAUUGCACUGUAAUUGAGAUCAACGCAUGUAUCCAGCAAGCAUUCAUUUAGGAGACAAUUACUUUAAGAAACGACAUUAAAAUUCAAGUAGACAGACUUAAAUACCUAAGUAAGUAACAAGGUUCCACGGAUGACAAGAAAGACAAUUUCUAAACAGUGCAAAUGAAAUGACAGUCUAAAACAUGCAUUCAUGCACAACCCAUUAUGUAAUACUACAGAGAAUGCAACUUCACUUUAACUUCAACAUCAUUUAAAAGAUAAUCCAAACCAAAUAAUUUAUACCCCUUCAAUAUUCCAAUAACAUACGGAAUGGAAGACCUGCAGACAGAGAAGGUAUGGCUGUUAAAAGAAUUUAAGAACCCGUAGAUGCAUUAAGUAAUUCUCCUAAAGCUAAUAAUGAAACAAAACAACUUCAUGAAACUAUCAAUAUGCCAUUAGAGGAAUAAAUCCAUAUGUCAAAUCCACCGCCACCUUAAGGUUGGUUCAAAUUGAAUGUUAUUGCAAUGAAUCAGACGGCAGGACAUAGGAGGCAACUCUCCGAGUAAGUUCUGGGCCUUUUCCCUCUUGGACUUCUCUCCAUUUUCAAAUUGAGUGUUGCUAUUAACACCACUUCACUUAUGAAAUUACACUUUUUAGAAACUCUUAUAAUUCUAAUUAAACUCAUCUAUUGUUUCUCUUUCUUUUAACAAAUCCACGCAUUCUAUUAUUUGUUUUUUCGGCAAACUCCUUCAAUACAUUAACAUGUCAAUUUCUAUUCUUUUUUAUGUUUGUAAUUCCUCAUCUAUCCAAUAUUCUGUUGAAAUAACUUGUUUCUUUUAUUUUCCUUACAAAUUCAUUAUUCUCAUACUUGUAAAAAAAAAUUAUCCUCAUACUUAUACGCAACUUCUAAACUAAAGCUUAAAUAUGCUUAUUUUGAAUCAGAAUUAUCACCUAGAAAAAUUAUUUGUGUAGAGGGUAGAGAAUAAGAUUGCUAGAGAAGAUAGAUUUCAUUUUAUUUUAGGGGGGAAAAAUAUUUUAAGUAUAUUUUUGGUAUUAAAACAAGUGUGAUUGACAUGGGGUCGUAAGGAAUGUAGAGGCGUCUUAGAAGCUCCACUCUUUAAACUAAUACUUUUUCAUUUGUUGUGGACCUGCUGGUCUUCUUUCGGCCCGAGCUUGCUGUAAUUUAAUCAAUUGUAAGAGGGAAAUUAUCUCUGAACGUAUGACAAACGAAUUACCAGCUCUAUUUUUUUUAUAAAAAAAAACAACCAUAAGGUGGGGGGUUAGGCAGGACCCCUACCUGUAAUAUAAAUAAGAAACUGAAAUGUACAAAUAAGGAGGGGGAUAUAGACCAUGACCUCCAUAGUAAAUGAAAACACAUGAAAAACCAAGAAUAAAUGGAAGAGAAAGCUAUCAAUGCUAGCGCCUAACAUGAGGGAUAGCCUGAGCAUCUAAAUGGAGAAUAUCCAAUAAGCCGACAAGAAGAUCUUGGGGAGAAGAAAAACGCCUACUGACACACCGAGAACAUGCCCAAUUAGCCAGAAAAUCAGCAGUAGAGGUAGCCUCGUGAAACACAUGUCGGACCAGAAUAGUCGAAGAGGAUAUGAGAGAGCACACCCAACGCAACAAGUGUACUCCCAACGAACAAGACCCUGGGAAUGGAUCCAAGAAACGAUCGUAGCCGAAUCCAACUCCACCUCAAGCGUGAGAUAACCCAUAUGAGCAACAAGCUCCAACCCCUCGCACACAGCCAUGAGCUCAACAUAAAGAAUCGGUUGGCGGCCAAGAAAGGAGCCAAAGGCAGCCAAAACCACACCUCGAUAAUCUCGCAAAAUACCUCCUCAGACAACCAUCCCAGGAUUACCCCUAAAACAUCUGUCCACAGUUAGCUUCAACACCCCAGGAGGCAGCCUCAUCUAUGAAACCAAUCGAAUCAGCCUCUCAGGAGGAGUCAUAACAUGCAAACCCUUCGCAAUCCGAGAACCUAAGACUUCCCUCAGAGCGGAAGGCUUAAAGCCAAAAGUAGAACUAGCUAACCUGAGAUCUGAAUCCAUUUGAAAAAUGAUCGCCUCAAUAGAGAAAGACUACAAACUAAACCGAAAAGCAUUGCGGGCCUUCCGAACUUGCCACAAAAUAAAGCAAGGCAGGAGGACCCGAAUAUGAUGCUGAGAAGGAGCACAUCUCCGCCAAUGAAAAAGCAAAGCAUGAGAAGUAAGAAACCUAAGAGCUCGCAUAUCAAAAAUCCGCUGGAAAUGAUCCCAAACCUAAUGAACCUACUGUCAAUCAACAAAUAAAUGCCUAAGGAUUUACAUAUGACAAAUGAAAUGUCAUUCAACAAUCAACAUAGUCACAGUUCAGUACGAUCCCACGUCUACGAACAUACAUCAAAAUUGAUUAACCGAUUAUUUACUACAAGUAGACAAUGGAUUAAAAUUACAGUAUUCUCAAAUUAUGAGGAAAAAAAAUAACUGAACGAAAAAAAUUUGAGACAAGUGAUACAAUAAAGGUGUAUUUGUCACACUGUAAUGCAUUACAAUGUAUUACAUUAUUUAAUGUAAGCUAAACUAUAUUAUUAUUGUAUUAUAUUAAUACUGAAUAGUAUUUAGCAUUACAUUGUAUUAUAUUAUAUAUAAUCAUAUUUUAUAUAAUUAUUUGUACAAAUUAAUAUGAUUUUGAUUUAUUAAUAUUUUAAAUUUCAUAUUGUUAAUUAUAUAAAAUUUAAUAUUAUUAAUUAUUUCAAAUUUUAUAUGUAAAAAUAAAAUUACUCAAUGCAUUAAUUUAAUAAAUAAAUAUAAAUAAAUAAAAUAUCAUUAAUUGAUUAAACCAAAAAAAGGAAAAUUUACGAAAAUAACCAUAAAAUUUUUGCUAUUUUCACAAUUAACCCUCUCAACUUUUUUCUAUCAAUAUUAGUCAAACACACGCUUUUCUCCCCAAAUUACCCUUCUUUACAGACCAAAAGCAACUUUCUUUCUCCCAUAUCGUCAAACCAAAGGUAGCUUUCCACUCUUGAAUCAUCAACCAACGGCGACGGCAAAAGACAACGAUAAAAGUGAAAUCCGAUCAUAAUCUAUCCGGAUCCAACACUAAUCGGCAUCACUUAGUGGUAUGAGUUAUUUUCUGAACUUGCUCGAGAGUUUCAGUGAAUUGAGUCGUGGGUGAAUCUGGCGACAGCCUUGGUGCGAUAGGCUGGAGAUUCAUUAAAACUGUAUUAAUUUGAUAGGGCUCAAAUAUUUUUUUUUUAUAAUUUUAGGCUUAAUGGAUUCAGUUGUACUUGAUUUGUGUUACGAUGGUUGUGGGAGACAUUAGAGGAUGGCCGUAUGGAGUAUGUGAAUGGUAAAAAUCGAGCUUUUUUGGUUGGGAAAAAUUUUCUGUUUGAUCAGUUAUUGGCAAGAGUAUACGAGGUGUUACAAAUAAACGCUAAUGAAUAUAAUAUCACAAUGAAGACAACUUUGAGGUCUAGUAACACAUUAUAUCGUAUAUGUGCACUGCCCAUGGAUAUAUUUGAUGAUGAAAUGGUGAGGGUUGUGUUGCAUGUGGCAUCCGACGUAGCCAAUUUUGGAUGCAUUCCUAUAUUCGUGACCACAUCACCUCGAGUUCCGAGCGAAGCUAUUGAACCACAUGUCGAUACAGAAACUUCGUUUAGAGCAAAUAUGUUUGGCCCCGAUAAUGAAGAAGAGGUGUUGCCAAGGACAAUAUUGCUACAGCAAUAUUACUCUCCAAUCCACGACAAUUAUGACAACAUUGAUGAUAACGGCGUUACAUUACAGGAUGUUGGAGCAACGGUAUUUCCAAUAACGACGUCGUUGGAGUAAUGGUAUUCUCCGUAUUACAACAAUGAUUUUCGGGACAAUGAUGAUUUUCAUGAUGAGACAGAAGGGGAUAAUGUUUAUGCAGAACCUUCUAAUAAUACUAGGGGCACUUAUUUCAAUAAUGAUGGUGAUGAUGGAGGAGCCGGUCCUUUGAAUGUUCUGUCGUUUCAGUAUGAGGAUGAGUGUGAAGACAAUACUCUUGUGAAUAACAGAGGCAAUAGACCUAUUCCUUCUAUGGUUCGGUUGAGAAGGAGAAUUGACCCUUACAAGUCUUGCUUCAACUUUGCCUUCGAACAUGGUUGCUCCAAGCUUUGUUAGCAGUUGUGACUCAGAUGAUAUAAGUGUGGGUAAGCUAUUUGCUGAGAAGAAUGAGUUUAUAUUACAACUACGCAAGGUUGCCUUUAGGGAUAAGUUUGAUUUCAAGAUUGCGCGGUCUACUAUGACACGUUUCGAGGCUCACUGUUGUUCAGAAUAAUGUAAAUGACGUAUUCGAGCAACUAGAUGUUCGAACGAGCAAAAUGUUCCUUGGGCGGUGCAGAGAAUUGACAAUGUACACACUUGUCAUAAUGAGGUAUUGGUUGAUAGACGUCAUCAAGUAAGGAGCCGGGUUGUCGAUCAUAUUAUCAUAGAAAAAUAUAUUCAAGAUAAGAGGAUUUAUACCCCGAAUGACAUAAGAGCAGAUAUACAAUAAGAAUACGGUGUUCAGUUAACAUACCAGCAGGCAUAUCGGGCGAGAGAAGUUGGUCUUGAAAUAGUUCGAGGCAACGCUAUAGAGUCAUACAACUUGCUCCCUAAAUACUCUCACAUAGUAACUACAACGAAUGAGGGUACAAUUACUCACCUCGAGUAUGAUGGAGAUGGUAAUUUCUUGUACUAUUUUGUAGCACUCGGAUCUUCCAUCAAGGGUUUUAUGCAAUAUAUUCGGCCUGUCAUUGCUGUAGAUGGUACUUAUCUGAAGGGACUAUAUCGUGGAAGCAUGUUCGUGGCAACAUGUCUUGAUGAUAACAAUCAAUUGUAUCCGUUAACCAUUGGGAUCAUGGAUUCAAAAAACAAUGAUGCUUGGGAAUGGUUUAUGAUGAAGUUACACGGAGUGAUUGGCGAUAGACCUGAGUUGGUAAUUAUCUCUGAUCGAUGCACUGCCAUAAGGAGAGUCGUUCUUAAAGUAUUUCACAAUGCAACUCAUGGCAUUUGUUUUUACCACAUCAAAGGUAACAUUAAGUCAUAGUUUAAAAUGUCCAAAGCUCUUUGGGAUGAAUUUGAGCCUCCCUUUAUUAAUGCAGUAAAAGCAUAUGGCCACGAGGAAUUUAAGAGACAACUUGAAGGGUUGUGGAUUAUCCACUCGGGUGCAGCUGAUUACCUAGAAAAUAAUGUCGGUACGUGUAAUUGGGUAAGGUCUCAGUUUGAAGGUAGGAGGUAUAGCAUACUUACCACCAACAUCGCGGAGAGUGCUAAUUCUUUGAUGAGGGAACCUCAAAAAUUUUCUGUUACUCAUCUUGUUGAUCACUUUAGGAAAACAUUGCAGCAAUGGUUUUAUGAUAAAAAAAUUGUGGCUGAAUCAAUGACUACUUGGCUAACAACAUGGGCGAAUGAAAUAGUCACUGAGAGGAGAACUAUAGCUGAAAGAAUGAUAGUUCGGCCGGUGUCUCUGCAUCGAUUUCAAGUUAUAGGUGGUGGGCUUAAGGAAGGUUUGGUUGACUUGCAAAAAAAAACUUGCUCCUGCAGAGUGUUUCAGCUUUAUCAGCUUGUAUGUGCUCAUGCAAUUGCGGCGUGUCUAACACACCGGGUGGAUUUUAUUAACCUUUACUCGGACUUUUACACUACAGAAUUGUUGGCGAUGGCUUAUGCAUAACCAAUGGAGCCAGUUGGUGAUGUGGCUGAUUGGGAAGUUCCAGAUGAAAUUCAGGAUAUGCAAGUAUACCCACCAGUUGAGGCACCACCACCUGGCCGUCGUAAAGAGCUCAAAAUACCCUCGGCUGGCGAGGACGUUAAUCGGCGGACUGUAAGAUGCGGGCGGUGUCAUGAACUGGACCAUAAUCAUAAGCGAUGUAAGAAUCUCAUUGUGUCGACUCGAAGUUAGUUGUAUUAUUUCAAUGAUUCGUUGGUUAAAAUUGUUGUUGUUUUUUGUGUUUCGUUGGUUAAAACUGUUAUUGUUUUUUGUACAUUGUACACUUAUAUGUCAUAAAACUUUAUUUUAUUUUAAAUAUUAAAAUGUGAGCAUUAAAAUUAUAUAAACUUAAGUGCGCAAAUUAAAAUAAAAAUUCAAGUUUCAACAUUCAAAUUACUACAACUGUUUACAAUAUAAUAUCGUCAUUAAAUAUAUCAACCGCAAUCUUCUUUCUAAAGUACUCGACAUGACUAUCGUUAAACUCCAAUCUAAGCCUGAACAUUAAAUACAUCGUAACCAUCAAUACAAAAACACCGCAAUUACCAGUUCCGGACUCUUGUUGUGGCGCGCUCUUAACUGUGAUAACUUUCCAGGGGUCUGCACUCCGCAACUCAGGUCGGAUGUUGUAGAAGCCAACAUAUUCCAACCAUCGAGGGAAUAUAACUUCAAGUAGCUUGAAUUUCAACUUGUACCUUUUGUCAUCGCGAGAUGUGAGUAAUGAGUCAUAAAUCCAGACUUUAUUUUUCCGAAAGUCAACUCGUGCUACUACCCAAUGCGCGUCGUCCAAGUUAACAGGGAUGAGUAACUGUAUAUAAAAAUUGAAAAAUAUGUUCGUAAUAUAUGAAAUUAAAAUACAACUAAGAAAAAGCGACAACUUGGAUAUUUUCCUUAUGGAGUAUGUGAAAUGCAAUAAAAAACAUACCAUAUCGACAUCCGUCAUUGAUUUGGACAUUGUGUGUUGUCGCCCACAAAGAUAACUAUUCAAGCGGUCGUCGAAUACUAAUGAAUCGACCGCACAAUCCCUGUUGCUUCAUAACUGAUUCAAGAACACCUAGUACAUAGAUAACCAAGAAAUGUAUAAAUUAACAAAACUUAAAGGCAAUAAUUAAAAAAAUAAAUAGUAUUUAUAAGUUUUGUCGGCACGUUACCCAAAAAACAUGUAUCAGUAUGUUUGACACGUUGAAUUAAGGCAUUCAGAUACAGCCGUUGUUUCUCACUAAUCAAGCGGAGAUACUCGUGAAUAUGCUGUAGAGAAACAAAAACAUUACGAUUUAAAAGAUAAAAUUUAUAAACAAAUCCACAACACUCAAAAAACUUCAAAAAUAUAAUUACCUUAUCGCCUAGCCAUCCCAUCAAAGUUAAACCCAAAAGUAUUUGAAAGAAUGACUGCGGGUACUGGACUCUCCAAACCACUGUCAUAUCACCAGCGAACCAUCGAUCAAACUCAGCAAACAGACUAGAAUCCUCCAAUCCUCUCAUUGGAUUUAUAUCUACACUCGUAUUCAUAUCUUGGGUAUGGUCCAUGAUUUGGGGUCGAGGUAUAGGUCGGGCGUUCUUUCCUCGCCUGAGUGGAGGAAUCAUGUAAGGACUAUUAUAAACAUACGACGGUAUGUACGCGCGGCCGAACUCACUAAUGCCCGAAGGCACCUCGGAGAACACCUGCACGCUCUCCCCACUAACAUCCCCGUAGAAACUAUACAAUGACGUGGGCGUAGACAAAUUUUGAUUGCCCACGUCAGUAUACACUCCAUAGUCAUCCGGGGUCUGUCCAUUCGCCAAGAUGAACAUAUUAGACAACUAUUAAAUUAAAAGUUAAAUGAACAUAAUUAUUAAAUUUAAUUAUGCUCACCGCAUACGAGCGUCCGGUGGGAGAAUCUUUAUUUGGACGUGUAGAAAAUGUGUCAAUAAAGCCAACCAUGGUUUCUUUAAAAUAGUAUAUCCGACUUCAAUUCAUACACGUUCCAAUCAAUCUUAUCCAGCCGUCGUCGCACGUAAUCAUUAAACUGCUUUGUCCUCGACUAUUACAAAAGAAAAUAAGUAAAAAUUUAGCAUAACAAUAAAACAAUAAUGAUUAAUAAAAGAAGAAUAUCGUAUAUUAUUUAUAACCUCAAAAUCAUGUGCGUCAUCAGAGUCGGCAUGUGUCUGCUCCUGGUGGUCAUCAACAGCCACCUCAUCCUCAGAAGUGUCAUGACACUGCUCUGGUGUUGGGUUUUGUAUGUUGUCAUGCUCGUCUGAUUGCCUUGAAACUGACGGCAUCGCAUUAAUUGAUGGUUGGUGGUGUAUAAAGUAUCAUUUAAAACUAAUAAAUGAAAAGUCAAAAAUUUUGAUUAAAUAUAAUUUAUAGUACUUAGAUUUAUAACCGACCUUAUGAACCCAAUCUGGAAUGCUUGGCAUGUAAUCUUUCAUAGUGAGCCAGUAUUUUCUGCUACUCUCCUUUGAAUUUGGCUCAAGGGUUUGUAAAACAUCCACUUGCCAUAAAUUCAAUUGAAACUUUUAAGUAUACAUAACUUAAAUUUAGUAAAGUUAAAAAAAUAACUAAUACAUAUUACUUACAAUACAAGAUUUGUCGUUGAAGAACGAAUAAACCUCAGCAAAGUUGAUUCUCGAAGACGCCAUGGGCUUCCAUUUGACGAUGCGGGGAAUCUUGUUCUUCGUUUUCAUGACCCAUGUUGACGGCAAACCUCCGAUCGCUUCGUAAAUCCAAGCCUGCAACAACCAAAGUAAAAAACCUAUUAACACAUCUAUCAAAUAUUUAAUACUAUAAAACUUAUUAAUAAACAAAAAAAUAACGCACUUGAACCCCGGACGUAAAGCCGUAAAGAUUUUACUUUUCAAUGUUAUGAUCUGGGUUUUUCAACCGAGUCGUCUUAAAUUUCUCGUCUUUCUCGAACAGUGUAUCGUCAAGACUAUCGUAUACCAUUUCCCACGACACACGACCCCAUGGACGGUUUCGGAAGUACUGUAUAUCAUCAACUUCGUUAAGCCAAUCGAAAUUGAUUUGACAGUGAUUUUUUCUUACAUUUAGUACUCUGUCCGCAAAAUAAAAGAGCGCAAUCUUUAAUGAGUCCAUAUCAUCCAUUUCCUCGAAUUUCAACUCCUUAAAUAAUGCAUCGAAUUCCUUAACAUUGAUCUUGCGAUGCACACCACCAAAGUACGUUUUCCAUAGCCUAUCUAUUUUUUUGUCAUCUCUUAGUUCGGUAUCAACACCAUAUGAAAGUCCAGUAACCAGGCACCACUUUACAAUUGACAAGCGAAUCAAAUGCUCACUAAUUUGAAACCAUAACUGAUCCUCACGGCUAUCUUCUUCAUGGGCCACUUGCCUCAGUAAAAGAUUGUGCAAAAUUACCCCACUAAAUGGAAAACUUCGACACUCCAAGAAAUGCCCAAAUAUAUCCUUCUUGAACAUAUUCAACUACCGCUUUGUUAAUUUUUCAUCGAUGGCCUUUACGACCGAAGAUAAAUUAUACAUACUCGAAAUUCGACCCGGAAAGUGAUCGGCAUAACGAAAAUACAUCCUGCCUACUUCAAUAUCAGACGAUUCUGAUUUCGUCAUGUAUCUGUAAUAAUUAUAACAUUAUUACAUUGUAUUUACAACAAAAACAAAAUAAAUUGACUUGACGAAAAAAAAAUUAUAAAGCCACUGUAAUUUGGUGCAACAGGCGCGGUUGUCACACCAUUUUUGAUGUGACAGGCCGCGCCUGUCGCACCAAAUUGGUGUGACAGUACCCAUGUGCGCGCGUGCCCAGUAAUGGGUACGCGCGCGUGCCCAGCAAUGGGUACGCGCGCGCACUGCUGCCCAGCGAUGGGCGCGAGCUAGCGCCCGUCACUUGGGCGAGCGGCACGCGCUCUAGCGCCCUUCGCUGGGCAGCGAUUCCCUCCUUAAGAAACACUCCCAAAUUGAGAAAGAAACACUCCCAAAACAACAAUAACCACCACAAUCACCACCACCACCAUUAUUCUCAAACUACAAACAUUAUUAUUCUAAAAUUUCAAUUUAAAUUAAUGAAAAUAAAAAAAAAUAGCUAACUUAGGUUUUGUUGAAGACUGUAGAUGGUAGAUCGAACGCCGAAGAGGAAUGAAGCCGCUGCCGAUGAUGGGAGUUUGUUCGGUUUGGGAGAGAUGGGUGAAAGAGAGUGUUGGGGGAGAGAUGAGAGAGAGGGGUAUUUUGGUCUAAAAGGGUCUUUUAUGACUAAUGUUGAUAGAAAUUUGUUUGGGGGGUUAAAAUGAAAAAAGCCAAAAUUAUUAUGAUUAUUGGUGUAAAUUUCUUCAAAAAAAAGGGCUUUAAAAAAUAAUUUAAUGCAUACCGCGGUGGGGAACGGUGUUUCAUUUUUGCAGAAAACCCGCAUAAAGCUUUUAAUUAAUGAGGUACAAUGCGUCUCAUUUAUUUCGCCAAACACUUCAGUUAAUGUAGGACCUACUAAUAAUACCAUCCAAUGCAUCAUGCCAAACAUGGCUGAAUUCGAACGGUGUCGGUAUGUCAAUUUGCCAAUAAAAGAGAUGCAUUUAACAAAAUAGAACUAAUCGGGAGGUAUAACUCUUUCUAAUUAUCCUCCACCUUUAGAUUUGUUCCACUGAUAUAUGAAUAUAGUAUUGGCAAAGGAACACACCAAACCUAAACUAUAAUUGCGCGUAAUUAAGCUAAAUUUUUUUACUAUCAGUUUGACCAAAAUAAGAUUAUGUACAACAAAUAUAACUAUAGGAACUAAGCGAUAUUAUUAUAAUGCGGACCAUAUUAUAAUAAUAUGAGAGCGGAAGGAAUCAGACUUUUUUAAAAAUAAAACAUUAAAGAUUAAAGAUUUUCUUUAAUGUAUCAGCAGCAACCAUCAAGAUUUUCGUUCGUUCAUGUCAGCUACCACACGAGCAGAAAGGCAAACAGUAUGUGAUUAUCAAUCUCAAUAUAGAUGCAAUGAUUUUCAGCAACUUGCAUUACCAAAGUCAUUCUCUCAAUUUUCUCUAUGCUUUAAGUCAUCAAUUUAUCCCUUACUUACCGACUAAUAUUUUAUUUUUUAUUUUUUAUUUUUUUAAUUUGGAGUCUAAUAAAGAAGAAAGAAUCUUGAAAACUCCUUUAUUUACAACAACAGUUCAAAGCCCUAAGGGGUAGGUGACACAAAAUGUGAACUGUUUUCAUCUAUACUAGAGAGACGUGGUCUUCUCUUUUAUCUUCAAAAUUAAUGCAAAUUAAAGUCUAGAAAAAUUGUGCAGCCAAAGACUCCAAAAUCUUCAUGCAUGUAAGUGACUAUGCCAUUGUGUUGGACUUGAGGAAGGAAUCAAAGAAAAACAUAACCAUUAAAUUCUACAUGAAAUUAUCUUGAAAUCUUACACAUAUAAAAAUUCUUUGGUCAUCUUCAACUGCUAGUUCUUCAUUAUUAACUGGCACAUCUGUUUUCUCGAUAAUUUUAUCUUGCACAUCAUGAAUAGUAUAUAUCUCACCUCAAGAAAUUUCCCAGUUAAUGGAGAUCAAUUUAUACAUCCACAAGUAGGGGCGGAGACAACAUAUUGAUUAACUGGAGGUUUAUUCAACGGCGAUAUAAAAAAAUUCAAAAAGUAAUAAAUAUAUAAAUUUGAAAGAUUUAUCCUACUUCAAUAUAUGUUUAAAAUUGUUCUUUACGAGUUUUCAUACAUUGAUAACGUUGUAUUAUAACUUCAUUAUCAAUAUUAUUAAAUAAGUCUUUUUCUAGGUAAACAAUCAAACUAUCAUUCAUCCAUUACUCUUCCAUUUGGUUUCAUAAUUGAUUCUUCAAAAUCUUCAUGACUGAAAAUGCUCUCUCUACACUAGCAGUGGCAACAGGUAAAGUCAAUGCUAAUAUUUUAAUAAGUAAACCAAUAGACAUACCUUAUGUCUCUUAGUCUCGACCAUUUGCUUUGCAAGAUCAUUAAUAUCUUUUAAUUGUGAAAACUCACCACUAGUGUGCAUAUCCAAAAUAUAUGUAUCAAGUUGAAUUCCAAGAGCCAUGAUAUCAAUUGCAGAGAACUCAUCUGGAUACAACUGAGCUAGCCGUAAUAGGUUCUGCUUGUUGAAAGAAAUUAAAUCAUCUGGAUAAAUUAUUCUAAUUCUAAUUCCUCAUUUAGAUUCUAGAUAUUUCGAUUCUAACUCAUUAUGUUUUCAAUUAAUUUUGAUUCCUGUGCUAGUGAAUGCAUCUUAAAAUUCAUAAUACUUAUAAAAAAUUGUAAAUAAUAUAAAGCGGUCUAAUUGAAUAUAAAGUGAUUUACAGUUUUAUAGUGCAUUCACUAAACAGGAAUCGAAAUUAGCUGGAAACAUAAUGAGUUAGAAUUAGAAUAGCUAUAAUUAAAAUGAAGAAUUGGAAUCAAAAUAAUUAAUUUACUUGAACUGUAGAAAUCGUAAAUAGAAUAAACUGUAUUACUAUAUAUGUGUUUACUUUGUCUUAGAAUAAAUAUCGAAAUGAGUCAAAUUGUAACAAAUUACUAUAAAUACUUAAUUAAUUUUAUUAUAAUUAUUAUUUUGUAUUUUAAUUAUUGUUAUUGGUAUUAUUAUUAUUGACAUUUUAACUAAAAAUUAUUAUUAAUUAUUGUUAAUAGAUUAAUUAAUUAUAAUAUUUUUUAUUCUUGUUGUUAAUAAUAAUAAUCCAUUUAAAAUUUAUAAUUACAUUUAUAAUUAUAAUAAAAUAAUUAUUAUAAUUAUAAUCUAUUUAAUUAUUAAUAUAUUUUUUAAUUAAAUGGAGGGUCUGGACAAAUUGGUACUCUAAGGGUUUCAAUAAAAUAAAACAGAGUAUAAGGGGCUCAACAAAAUUUUACAAUACAAAAAGUUGUAUAAUACUUAUGAAUAAAUUAUAAAUAAUAUAGAGUAUAGGGGUUUGAAUGAUAUUGUUCAGGUCAGCCGUAAGUUACGUUAAAUGUAACGUAGACGGACCCCGUUAACAAUAUAAGCUUUCGCACACGAUCCAAGGUCUUGACGAUUGACCAGCGUACGUAUCUGUCUUGAUGAAAACUUUUUCUGAAUGAUGGAUUUGAUGCUAGGACGCAUCACUACAUUACCCUUCGCAAUACGCUACAUGGUUUUAUCAUUUGAUGGUGAGACUUAGCUACAAUAUAACAAUGGUACGAUACCACUUCUUUUAUUUUUUGUGGCAGCACUCCUGUAAAUUUACAUAUAACCCCUUUUACUCAUUUUUAUUUAAACUUUACUUCAUAAAUAUUAAGUUAAUUUCUACUGCAUCCAUAUAAAGUAUAAACAUUUUAAUUAACACCUUGUACUAUUUACUAUUUACUAUUUACUAUUUACUAUUUACAAAUUUUUUUCUAUAUUGCACCAGUAUCACAAUACCCUAUCUCUUUACUAUUUUGAGAUUAAAUAAUUAAAAUGUUUAAUAUAGAACCUUACAUUUUUUUUUAAUAUUAGGAUUUUUUUUAAAUCCAUUAUCAAAUUUCAUUUAACACUCUACACUCUUUCUAUUAUAAAUUUUUAAUAAAUAUUCUAGUACAUUUUACUUACAUGCAUAAUAAAUUAUGUAAUCUCAAUAGUCUUAUUACAAAAAAGUUUAUAAUUUAGCACUCAUUUAAUUUACUGUUGUAAAUUUUUUUCUCCUUUAAUUUAUUGUUAUAAACAAUAGUUCAUCAUCUUUAAAUGAGUGCUAAAGUAAUUUUAUGUAACAUGGAUUGACAUUAUAUUAUUAAAGAAUUUUAUUACUAUAUAUGAAGGAUAAAUUUUUUUUUAGGAAAUUAUCAUUCAUAUACCCUAUAUUUAUUCUGUUAUCAAAAAUACUACAAUAUUUUAAGGGUGUAUCAAUCGUCCACCCUUAGUUGACAAAAUGUAUCAGCCGACCACCAAACCGUUAGUUGCCGUUUGAAAGUUAACGAAGUUACAGUGAAUUGACGAUUUUACCCUUGAAAAUUAUCACUUGUAUACCCUUAAAUUCUCUUUUUAUCACUUGUAUCAUAUGAAAAGACCAAAUUACCUUUCUGACGUCAUCAUACUUAAACGGCAAGUAACGGUUUGGUGGUUAGCUGAUGCAUUUUGUCAACUUAGGGUGGACGAUUGAUAUACUCUCAAAGUGUUGUAGUAUUUUUUAUAAUGGAGUAAACUAAAGGUAUACAAAUGAUAAUUUCCCAAUUUUUUUUAUGGAAUUAUAGUAAAAGCAGCUCCCUUUAAGGAGAAAAAUUUCAGAGCAAAAAUAUGAAUAACCGUACAAAAACAUGGAAAGUUCCACCAAACAGUGCAGUUUACUGAUGUGAGAAGACAGAGUCAAUCAAUUUCCCUGACUUCCAACCUUCAACUUAAUGCAAUCAAAGUCAUUACCCUCCUAUCCUCACAAUAGGAUAAGAUUUUCCAUUUAUUGCGUAUUUAACUACAGUUCUAGACUAUAGUGUUAUAGAGAUUGUUGGCAAAAGAAAAACAGAUCAUUCUUGUUAAUUUCCCUAGAUGAUCAGUAUGCUCUCAAUCUCUAUUAGGGGUGUUCAGAAUCUAAUUCAAUCCGUCUUAUCUGUAGAAAUUCGAUUCGUGGAUUGGUGGAUUGGAUUAGAUUGAAAAUUUAAUAAUUCGCAAUCGGUGGAUUGGAUAUGAAUCUACUUCUAUAAAUCCGUAAAUAUCCGCGAAUCUGCAAAAAAAAAUAAAAAUUAAGGAAAUUAUCAACCAUAUUCCCUUAAAUGACAUCAGUAUCAAACAUGCUACAACACUUUUCAAGUAUAUCACUCGUAUACCCUAAGUUGACAAAACACUUCUGCCGUCCACCAAUCUGUUAGCUGCCGUUUGCAAGUGCUGACAUCAUAAGGGUAAUAUAAUCUUUUUAGAAAAAUGACAUGUCAUCCCAUUUAUCGGAUAAUUAUUAAUAAUUGCUAAAAUAAAAAAAGCUACUUUACAACUGAAUCUACUCCUCCAAAAUUUAAUCUAAAUUUUUGAAGAUCUAUUCCUCCAAACUUCAACUGAAAUUUUUUAUGGUAUAAUAUGUAUAAUUGUAAAUUAUAUGUUGUUAAUAAUUUUUUAUGACAUAAUAUGAAUAUGUUUUACGGAUAAUUGUUAAUAAUAUGUACCAUUAAUAAUUCAUAUUUUUUUAAUAAAAAAUAUAUUGUUAAUAACAAAAUAAAAAAAUUGUGUAUUGAAAAUUUACAUUAAUUUUUAAGGUAAAUUUAUUUUUUUACCUCAUUUUGAGUUUCAAGGGCGAAAUAGUCAAUUUGCCACAAUUCUGUUAACUUUCUAACGGAAGUUAACGGAUUGAUGGACGGCAGAAGUGUUUUGUCAACUUAGAGUAUACGAGUGAUACACUUGAAAAAUAUUGUAGCACGUUUGAUACUGAUGUCAUUUAAGGGUAUAUGGCUAAUAAUUUUCCUAAAAAUUAUUUAUUUAAUUAAAAAAUAAAACUUGUAAAUAUGGCAUUAGUACUUUCUAGUAAAUAAAUAAGUUAAAAUAUAGUUACAUUAACACUAUAUUAUAUCUUAUCAGAUAAUAAUAUAAAAUAAACAAUAACUAAAUAAACAAAUAUAGAUUUCUAAAUAGUUAAUUUCCAUGUACUGAUCUAAACAAAUGUGUUUUUUUUUUUGAUGUGUUAUAUUUUCAAACUUUAAAUGUAUUUUCUAACCUUAUUUAAACAAUUGAUUUAUUUAAACCUUAUUUAAUUUUAAAUUUGAUUGUAAUAAAAUUAUUUUUAUAUUAAAAAUUUUUAUUUAGUUAGUUCGUGGAUUGGAUAAAAUUAAAAAAUUUCGGUCUGCAAACCAAUCCGCAAAAUGGUGGAUUAGAUAUGGAUUGGGUCAAAUCCGCAUCUUAUCCGCAGAUGUACGGAUUGGAUUUGGAUUUGGAUUGAAUUUCACCAAUCCGUGUAUUGGAUUGGAUUGAAAAUUUAUAAUCUGCAAAAUCGUAGAUUGGGUAUGGAUUGAUGUCUAAUUCGUAAAAUCCGAUCCACGAACACCUCUAAUCUCUAUGCUUAGUCAUAGAUAUACAACCAUGUCAAAAGCUAGCCCCUCCCAACAAAGUCCAAACUGAUGACAAAAAGUGAACAUUGUCCCACUGACAAGAAACUUGGUCUUCCCUCUUAUCUUCAAAAAUGCAAUCUUGCCUAGGAAUGGCAAAAGGUCGGGUCGAGUUGGGCUCGGGCUUGACCAAGCCCGAACCCGACCCGAUUAAAAAAAUUUGAAACCCGACCCUAAAAAAACCCGAACAUUUUAUAGUUAGGGUCAAGUCCGACCCGACCCGAAUCGAGUCAACGUCGGGUCAGGCCCAACCCGACCCUACUGAAAUAAUUUUCAUAUUAUUUUAAUAUUAAACUAUUUUUUUAAUGUUUUGUUUUAUAUUCAUGUUAUUUUAAUAUUUUCUUCUAUACAUGCACCUUAAUUCAAUAAUUUAGCAACUCAAAUUUGUAAAUAUCUUGUAAUUUUAUGACCACAUCCCAAAUUCAUUCAUGUUACUUUUUAAUUUUUGUUCUCUUUCUAGUUAUAAUACCAUGAAUAUAAAACAAAAAUAAUAAUUUUUCUAAUUUAAAAUAAUUAACAAGACAAAGGCAAAAUAUACAAUAUAAUUAAUCACAAAAUAAUUCACAAAACAACCAAUUAAUAGGAAUAAUUUUUUAAAUUUAAUUCCAUAAUCCAACUUUAAACACACACAAUGCGAUUAAAUUAAUAAAAAAAACACAAUUCAAUUCCACAACCAUUUCAACCACACACACAAAUCAAUUCCAAAAUGAAAAACAUGAAAAACACACAAUGCAAUUAAAUUAAAAACACACAUGUAAUUCCAUAACCAUUUUAGCCAUACACAAUUCAAUUCAACAACCCAACAUAAAAAAUAAAAAAUAAAAAACAAAAAACUCACGUCUUAUACAAAUAAAAACACACAAUUUAAUUCUACAACCCAACAUUAAAAAAAAAAUCUUAUACAAAUAAAAACUCAUAUUUCGGGUUGGGUGAUGUUGUGAUGUGUGGGUGUGUAAAACUUGUGUUAGCUUUUCUUUUUCUUUUUUUUUUUUAAAUAGGGUUGGGUCGGGCCGGGUCAGCUUAAAGCCCGACCCCGACCCAAAAUUUGUUAGGGCCUAAAAAAUUUGACCCUAACCUGAUCUGAGACCUGAAAAUUCAAGUCAAAACCCUAAAAAUUAAGGUCGGAUCAGUCGGACAAAAAACAAGGUCGGGCCAAAUUGCCAAGCCUAAUCUUGCCGAGUAACCCAAAAAGGAGCUAGAGCCUAAGAACCUUAGCUUUCUAUCCUUGCCCAAAAGCAAAAACAUUUUUCAUUAGCAAAGAGCUACAAGAACUUGGAGCAUCCUAAAACCAAUAACAUAAUUGAGAAUCAAUGCAUGUAUCCGUAAGCAUUUAUUUAGUACCAAAACCAAUUUUAAAUAUCUGAUAGGCUUACUUAAUUGCCCAAAUUCUACCAAGCUUUUCAGUUAACCUGCUCAAAAUAAAAUCCACAGGUACAUUUAAAUAAAUUGGGUUAUUUAACGCCUAUAAUCUUUGAAACCUCAUCAAAUUGCUACCAGAAGUAAUCCAUACCAAACAAUCAACACAUGAAAUACUAAAUACUUCUCUUAUUACUACUCAUGGCACAAAACAACAUCAAAAUAGGCUCAAUAUACCAUUAAAAUAAUAAAUCCAUACCAAUGACAAGCUAAAUAUGACAUCUUUCUAGAAUUAAUAAUUCUGCAACCAAAAAAGCACAAUAAUUAUCUACAUUCUAAAUAAUCCUAAAAACAGGACAAUGACUUAUUUAUGUCAUAAAAAGGACCUACAGACACUUAUCUUUUAAUCUAUUUUAUUUCCCAGCAAAAUCAAUAUUCUUCUAUUCUUUCUUCAACAGGAAAACAGGUUAUGUUACGGUAGUCGUUAGGCAGUAGGCAAAACACUUGAUAACUAAAUAUAUAAAAAGAAAUAAAAAAGAGUUAAAAAAAUUACAAAAGUUAAAAUCGAAAAUACAAAAAGAUUAAAAACGAAACUGCUUGUGAAAAAUGAAAAUAUCAAACCCCUUCUUCAGAACAAUUCAAAGAGGGAGUUGCUGGUUCUUAAUGCAACAGUAAGUAACAUGCCACUGAAACCCCAACCUUUAAACAUAGAACUUGAACUCAGGAAGAGAUAAAAGAAAAAGACAACGAUGACUGAAAGAGUCAGACUGAGAGAGAGUCACCAAUAUACGGCACUGGUCAGCUCCCAGUUGAAUUUGCAAGUUUGGGUUCGAGUCCCAGUCCCACAGGUAGUGAAAGUAGGUAGUUAUCUUAAGUUCCUAACCAGCUGAAGUAUCAAAACCUGUUUGUAUAAGCCUGCACAAUACAAGUUAACCAUCAGCAAACGAGGGGGCUGCAGCAAGAAACACACAUCAUGUACUAAUUAUAAAACAUGCAAAAUUAACCUAUUUUAUCAGUCACAAAACCCUUUUUCUUUAGAGAUAAUAUCCCCAUAGCAACUAUAAAUAUGGAAAAAAAAAAUGACCACAAAGUAGAACAGUCUCCUCCUUUUCUCCAAACAAAUACAACCAUUUCAGUUCACACCUAAGCUGAGAACCAUUCUAGUUUCAAUUUUCAACCAAUGAAACAACCAUAGUAUUCUUAUAAAAAAAAUGAAAUAACCAUAGAAUAAAAUAAUUAUACUCUAAUUCAAAUAUUGCUUCAGAACUUAGACUCAAUUGGUCAAACCUAUGGAAUUGGAAUGACGCAUUUAUUUAACCCAAAAGGUGAAAGUCAAGCUUAAGGUUCUUACAUAUCGAAAUGAUCAAAUUUCAUCCAUUCUGAACACGAGAUGCAACUUUUCAAGUUAUUCCAAGAAGCAUUAAAAGAAAUUUGUCCGUCCUACAUGGGCUAAGUAGUAUACUUUAGCUAGUAUCAUGCAUCAUCGGUUAAAUCAUUUGGAUUAUUAACAUUGAUACUUUUUAUUAGCUGAAUUGAUAACUUUUGCACCCUAACUUAAGGGCAUAUGUGAUAAGAAAAUUUUAUCUACAUCAGGUGCAAGUAUAAGCUUUUAACAAUUAAGCUGUGACUGUUUGCUUUCAGGAUCAAACGUAUACUAAUAGAGAUGAAUAAAACCCAGCACUUCAAGAAAAUUUUGACAUUAUAUCCCCUAAAUGUGGAUAUUAUCCAAUAUAUCAAACCAGCAAUUUUUAUACCCGGCUGCUUAAAACUUCAAAAAUAAAAAAAGAUAAAACAGAACCUUCUCAAGUCAACACUACUAUGAGCAUUGGUUAAUACGACAUUUGGGGCCUCUGGUACCCUAUUACUAUAACACUAACAGAUAUAAGUGCAUCCUACUAACGUAGCUUAGUCAUUCUAAAUACAUGUAUUAAAAAGCAUAAUAUCUACAAAAAGGUAGCUUACUAAGUUUACUAGGCCAGCAAUGCCAAAGCACAACCAGAACAGUAACAAAAAUAGAUGAAGACGGUUCUUCAUUACAAAACACAACUUUCAAAAGAUGUAAUCUCCAUGUUAAACCCCAAAUCGAAAUCAAUCCUCCACUCACCACAAUAUUUUUCACCAUCAUUGCCCAAACCUGAAAAGUAAGGGGUGAGCUAACGCACAGUUUGUAGUUACACACAACAAAGGAUCUUUUUUUUUUUAAACACCCAAAUAAUUCGCACAACUUCGGUACAUUUCUAACAUAAACCAUUUAUAUGUAUAUAAAUAUAUAUAAAAUAUUAAUUUCUUAAACUUUUUAAGUUUGAAAGUUGGUAUUCAACAGAAAUGUCAUAAGACAAGAUCAUAGCAACAUACACACAUACAAAUAUAGUGUUGCUCAUGCUUUCGGUAGUUAUGCAUAAAGAAAUCCUAAAAUUACUCUUUCAAUUAUACAAAAUAAAAACAUGCCUGACAAGUCCGUAAGCUGUAAAUCCUCAGCAAACAUUUUCCCCCAAUAUUAAUUUUGAAAAGAAAUACCUCACAUACUUUUGGGGCAUUAUUCGCAGGGCCACCACCCAUGAUUUCUUUUGUGGACUUUCACCGCGGGAUAGAAAUCUGACAAAGGUCAAUCCAGCAUAGCGUACUUUUGGGGCAAUAUUCCCAGGGGCCAUCGCCCAUAAUUUCUUUUGCGGACUUCACCUCGGGACAGGAAUCUGCCUAUCACCUAUCAACCUUCUCAAACCUCAACUUAAAUAAAAGGAAUAAAAAUUAUUAUUUCAGUUUCCUUACAAUGACACACCAGACCCAUGAUACUUCUCAAUAACAAUAGUUAUAGAUAACAGAACCUCAUCACAUCCCCAGUUUAACAACACAUCCACAAACUUAAACCGCAAACAUAGCACCAUAUCAUUGCAGGAUACAUAAACACAAUUCAGCUACACUUCCUUAUGAACGGAUUUGUUCUUGGGACGCCCAUACACCCCAAAACGCGUCUUGCCAAUUAAGGUGUGGAUCACCCCUUAUAAACCCAGCAUCUCUCCCGUGCUUUGCCGAUGUGGGAUUCGCCUAGGGUGUUACAUACACCCCCCCUUGGGGACUCAGCGUCCUCGCUGAGGUUUGCCCCACCAUCGCUCAAGAGGACACGCGGAGCCGCUCUGAUACCACAAUGUCAUGACCCAACCCAGACCUGGCAAGAUAUUGUCCGCUUUGGGCCUUAACAAGGCCCGCACGGAUUUGUUCUUGGGGCGCCCAUACACCCCAAAACGCGUCUUGCUAAUUAAGGUGUGGAUCACCCCUUAUAAACCCAGCAUCUCUCCCGUGCUUUGCCGAUGUGGGAUUCGCCUAGGGUGUUACACCAACAAUUUCCAAAACUUUUUGUUGGACCUCACAUUUAUAAAUUCUCAAAACUUCCUCCACCAAUCUGACAACAUCACAGAAAACAAGCAACACCACAUUUAAUUCUCUUUAAGUUGAUGUGAGGAUAUAAUGAGAAACCAAUCAUAGAACAUGUCAUGAGCAAGGGCACAACCAGAGGAAAGAUCUUCAAUGCCUCAGUGUGAUGAUAAUCAUCAUGAAAAAACAUCAACAGAUGUGAUUUAGGGAUACAUCUCAUAUAACAACCUUCAAAUGAUCUUAAUAUACAGCGAUUGAUAUAAAAUAAAGAAAGAGUUUACAUUUUUUUUUUGGGGGGGGGAAGGGGGGGAAUUACUGAAGUAAAGGCUGAGCUUUGGUUACCGUUCUUUCAUUUGUAUGUAAAGUCUCUCAAAUUCUUUAGUCAUGGCGUAAUAGAUUCUCCUCUAUACAUAAUGAAUAAUGCUGUUAAAAGAAGCCCCUGAACUUAGAAUUACUUCCACCUCUUUAUAUUCUUACUUAUAAUAAGGCAUGAGUGAGUUUUGGUGUAUUUAACGGGAUUUUGAAUGGUAUUUACCCCCAUUUUAUUUUGCAAUUACAAAACCUCGAAAGCCUCUUGCAAAACCUGAAUUUAGAUGAAUGGACUUCAAAUGAAAGGAUUUUCAUGCAAAAGCUACAAAAUACAAUGGCAUAGUGAAAAUGGAAAAAAGAAAAUAUAAAGCAAAAGAAAAAGUUUCCAUCUGAUAAAACAAAUACAAAAAAUCCAAGUUUCUUAUUUGCCAUGCCAAUAUUAUUCAUGAAGAACUAAUCUAAUUUCUUUUCCAGAACUAAACCAACUUGGUUACUACGACAUUACUCUUUCGCUUCUACGACAUUAAUCUAAUCAUCUUUUCUGGUUAAGUGAUUUCGUCAGCAAAUAAGACAAAAUAGAAAUUCUGAAAUAAACCUAGGGUUUCUAGCUUUGGGAAUUUACCUAAUGAGAAAUCAGUCUCACUGUUUCUAGAUUUGUAACCUCAGUAUCAUGGCGGCGCGACCUCGAUCAGCUGAGAUAAUCAGAUUUCGUACCGGCGACGAUGCAAAUGUUUGGGUUUGGGUUUGACGAUGGACGAAGGAAUGUUGGGGUUUUGGGUGGUUUAAGGAUUUUAUUUUAUUCAAGCAAAGUGACCAAAUUAACCUUUCAAAAUAAUUAAAGUAUCUCUAGGUUGUUAUACACUGAGAGGGGUAAAGAGUCUUAACUGUGACUACACCCUGAAUUUAAAUUAAUCGAGACCAAUGCGGUCGUCGAAAAUCGGGUGGUUUAAAUAAAAAUAAAUAAAUAAAUUUCUGCUCGUGUAUUUAUGGUACACGUGAGUUCGUGUGGAGAAAAACGAAAACGGGAUAAAAGAAAAAUUCGACGCAAAUUUUUAUUAGUAUGCAUAUGUAAGUACAUUAUCGAAUAUGCCUUAAACAACUGCCUUUUUUCCUGGGACAAUAAAAAUAAAAGGGGCGGAUGCAGCACAUGACCAGUGGGGGCUUGAGCCCCCACUGGCCAAAAAAAUUUAAAAAAAUAAAGGAGAACAAAUUUUAAAAAAUAAAAUAAUUAAGCCCAUUAAAUUUAUUAAAAUAGUCACUAUCAAAUAUAAACCCAAUAAAAUUUAAGUUUUGACUUUUAAGAAAUAUAAAAAUUUAUAUUUUAAUUAAAAAUAAUGAUAAUCUACCAGUUAAAAUAUUUUAUAUUUUAAAAAAUAUGAUUAAUUCUUCCAGUUUAUAUAAUAAUAGUGAAAUGAAUAUUUUCAGUAACAAAACUCAUGAAGAAUCAUCUUUGCAAUCAGAUGAGAUAAGUGAUAGUUUAAUUAUUUAUAUAAGAAAUAAUAAAUUUAAUAAUAUUAAUAAUGAGUUUAUUACAUAACAUUUUUAAAAUAUAAAAAUGCAUAGAGACUAAUUAUAAAUGUAUUAAUAAAUAUUUUAUAUAUUCAAAUUUUUAAUUUUUUAUAUUUUACUAUUAUCUAAUUUAGUUCUCGAUAAAUUAUUUUUCUAGAUCCGCUUAUCAAAUUAUAUAUAACAAAUAAUACAACAAAAGAAUAGAAGUACAAGUAGAAAGGCAGUAUCUAGGUUGUCUGCUACUCGGCUUCUAGUUCCACCCAAGAUACAUCUUCGUUCCGGUAACCAAGCACAGACUCUGUUACUGCUAUAACUAAUUUAUCACAUGACUAUAAUUUCCAGAACACCUUGCGCUUGUCCAAUGGGUUGUUCAACUUGAGGAGGAGCUAGCAGAUGUGCGUUGACAGAGGUGACAAUGAAGACAGCGAGUCGUCGAAGCCAGUAGAAGAAGUGCUGAAACAGAGAAGCGAACAUUGCAUAACAGAGUGAUAAGACUAUGAGGCACAAAUACGCUACCAAGAACAGAGACGGAGCCAAAAUGACAGAGGCCACUGCCGAGACAGCCAACAGAACAGAGAGUUCUCCACAACUCACGGAAAUGGGUCGGCUCACUUUGAGAGGAACUCUGAUGGGUGUGAGGAGGAAGAGCAGUAAUGGGAUGACGACGACAGGAAUCAGGAACCAGAACUGAAGCUUUAAAAUUGGAUACAGAAGUAUCUUACUUGUACCAUCUUGGACGUUCCAAGAGUUGCCAUCCUGAGACUUGAGGAACAGAAAAAAGAUUAUAAGAUUCAGCAAUGGAAGAAAUAGAAACCUCAAAUCGAUUGAUAAGUCCAUGCCUGUGAAUCAGAUUUGGCAGAGAUGAUUGAGUUUAAUUAUUAUGAAUAAGAUUUGGCAAUGGCGGAGUUGAAUGAAUAUGCUGGAGUUGAAGCUCCAUGAUACUACGAGGAAAUACUUAUAGAGCUAAUUUGAGGGUAAGAAACAAAGCAAGUCAAAACGAUUUGGUGCCGCCCUCUGUAGAUCGUUAAGACAACGUGUCCUCUUUCCUCAGAGGAAUUUAUAAGUUUAGUAUCUUUCUCAUUUUACUAAGUUAAUAAUUUAAUUAUUUAUUCAUUUUACUAUUUCAGAAAUUAUAAAAUAAUAAAUUGGUGCGGGAAGUAUUAGGAUAUAACAUUUUACACCAUAUAAUACUUCAGGAAUUGUUGAAUAUCCUCAAGAAACCUCACAUUUUACUACAAUUCUGUUAAUUAAAAUUGACUUGUAAAAUACCAAUUUUUCAUGGUAAAAACUAUAAAUUAAUUAAAAUAUCUCGUUGUUUGUAUAUACCAAUAUAUGAAAUUAAUUUUGAGAAUCGGUUCUCUCUAGUUUUCAAUUAAUUACUGAGUUUAAAUUUUUCCACUUGCUUCUUGUUUAAUAAUGCAUGCAUGGAUAUGUAUAUUGAUAUAAUAAUGCACAUAACACGUAUAUCAUGAUCCGAUGGAUAUGAUUCAAAAUGAUUAAACUACCAAGCCCAUUGAAAUUGUUGAUGCGAAAAUAUGAGAUGAGUGGUGUGUAAUUGACAACUACUUGAGUUGGAUUGUAGCCUAUGCCUAUCAACAGUUGUUUUUUCAAUGGAAGUGUCUCUUUUACAAAAGUCAGAAGCAAUUGAACGAGGAAUAUAGGAGACAAUAAAUUAAUGUACGCAUCGACGGUCAUUUUUUAAUUUAUUGACUUGGCAAACUCGACAGUCCUUUUUCUUACAUUUAUAUAAGUUCAUCAGAUUAACUCGACUCAUAAGCUAGCUCAAAUACUAAGGAUUAUCUCGAACUUAUAUUAUUAACCUAAUAACUCGGCGAAUGUAUGAUAAUGUCUUCAAUAAUAAUCUCAUAAAACGGUGCCGUUAAGCGACGAUACAUGUAAUGGUAGGCAAUCUGUGUGGCUGAAUCCAGUACCGUCGCCUUAAGGUUGGCUCAAAUUAAAUGUUGAUGCUGCAAUGAAUCUGACGGCUGGGAUAGCCGGACUUAGGAGACAUCUCUCUUAUUAGGUUUCAGGCCUAUUCCCUUCUUGGGCUUCUCUCCGUCUUCAAACUAGGGUAAUGAUAUUGACACCCCUUCAUUAUCCUCAUUGCACCCUUUUCUUAGAAAUUACAAUUUUAGACAAUCAUACAAUUCUAAUUAAACUCAUUUAAUGUUUCUCUCUCUCUUCUAAGAAACCCACACAUUCUAUUACUUAUUUUAUCUGCAAAGUCCUUCAUUACAUCAACAUGUCAUUUUCUUUUCUUUUUAAUGUUUGUGACUCGUCAUCUAUCCGAUAUUUUAUCGAAAUAACCUUUGUUUCUUUUCUUUUAUUACAAUUUAUUAUUCUCAUGUUUUUUCAAAAAAUAAUUAUUCUCAUACUUAAAGAACACUUUUAAACUAAGGAAAAUUCAAAUAUAUUUAUUUUAGAUCAAAGUUAUCACCCAAAAAUAUUAUUUGUGUAGAGGUAGAGAAUAGGAUUGUAAGAGAAGAAAUACUCCAUUUUAUUUUAGGAGUGAGAAAACCCAAAAAAAAAAAAAACCAACAACAACAAACAAACAAACAAACGAAAUAGGGUUUAAGAAUAAAAGUGUAUUUUUAGUAUUAAAACUAGUAAAAUUGGAAAUGGUUUCAUCAGGAAUUUUAAAGGGCGGUAGAAGCUCCACUCUUAAAACUAGUUGUUUUUCAUUGGUUAUGGACCUUUUCGUCUUCUUCCGGGGCUGCUUGUAAUUUUCUUUCAUGCCGGGUUUAACCAAUUGUAAUAAAAUGAAAUGCCAUUCAAGAGAGUGAGAUUUCAAUACGAUCCCACAUCUACAAACAUGCAUCAAAAUUGAUUAACAUAUUAUUUAUUACAAGUAGACAAUGGAUUAGAUUAAGGUAUUUUUAAAUGAGUAGACACAUUCUAAAUUUUUUUAUCUCGAAAAAUUAUCUCAAAUGAUGUGACAUUUAUUAAUUAGUUAGUGAAACAAACAAUCAAUUCACUUAGAUCUUAUAAACAUUUACUAACCACUCAUAAAUGCUACAUCAUUAGAAUGAAAUUUUGUAUAAAAAAUUUGGGAUGCCCAUCAUUACUCUUUUUAAAUAUGACAAAAAAUACGAUUGUGUAUAAAAAUAUAUAUAAACCAGUGAUACACAAAAGAUAUACGAAUGAAUGAUUCAUUUUCCAACAAAAUGGAUGCAUAUAACAAAUGAGAACUAAUCAGGAGAUAAAACUCUCUAAUUAUCCUUCAUCUUCAGAUUUGUUCCAGUGGUACAUGAAUAGUAGUGUUGAGAAAGGAACAUACCAAAAAUAAACUUCAAUAAUGCGUAAUUAAGCUACAUUUUUUUCUCUAUCAGCGUGAUCAAAAUGAGAGUAUGUACAACAACAUAACUAUAGGAACUAAGUGGUAUUAUUAUUAUGCAAAUAUGCUUUCCAUGGCGAUAUAAAUAUACUCUCCAUGACAAUAUCACUAGUCGCAUGACCAAAAAUACCGUCAUUCACAAUAACCUCUCAGAGCCCGUUCAGAAGAAAUCAUUCAGUGUGGAGAUACGAGACAUGAAGCAAUCAAACGUCUCUAACAAUAUAAAUAUGCUUAGUCAUCAAUUUACCCCUUACUUACCCCCUUACUUACCAACUAACAUUUUUUCUUUUUUUAGUUUGGAGAUUAAUAAAGAAGAAAGAAUCUUGAAAACUCCUUCAUUUGCUACGAAACGCGAACUGUUUUCAACUAUACGAGAGAGACUUGAUCUUCUCUUUUAUCUCCAAAAUUACAACGAUUCAUUUCUUUAAUUUGCCUAGUAACAAAAAAAAAAGAGGUAGAACGUCAUCAUACUGCCCAGGAACCUUACUAGCUUUCUUUCCUUGCCCAAUAGGAAAAAUAUUAUUCUCCAUUAACAAACAGCUACAAAGCUUGGAACAUCCCGAAACAUUGUUCUCCAUUUCCCCAUCUUUUUAUUAUUCAUGGUAACAUUGCACUCUAAUUGAGAUAAAUGCAUGUAUCCGCAACUAUAUUAAUUGAGGAGACAAAUUAAAAUUUCCCAGGCAUGAUGAAUCAAUUAUCCACAGGUACAAUUAAAAUUUCAAAUGGACAUAUUUAUGUAAUUCCUAAAGCCUACCAAGCUUCUUAGUUAAUCUGCUCAAAAUAGAAUAUUCUAUAGCCACAUUUUGAUAAAUUGGGGUUGUUCAAGUCCUAUAUUCUUUGAAUGCUGAUUCUUGGAAUUGGUUGCUGAGUUUCCAAUUAUUAAUUGAACUAUAGUGAUUAACACACACACAUAUUUAUGAUUAAGGUACAGUCAGAUGUAAUCUUUCGUUUACUAAUAAACUACAACAUGUUUCUUUUGCUAGCUAGCUAGUUGGUUUUUAAACAUAUAUAUGAAUUAUCUAACAGUAUAUAACAAUACGCAUAAUCCAGGUUAAACUAGAUUAAAUUAAACCGAAGAAUUAUGAAGCUUAAAAGUCACAAAGUAGGCUUUUCUAUUACAGUACUGCAAAGAAUGCAAAUUCAAUUUACCUUCUCAGAUCUCGUAAAGCUAUAUCAUUAAUUGGACCUUAAUAAAUACCCGAAGAAGGAAGUAUAAGAACCCAUAGAUGUAUUAAGUACUUCUCCCCCGAAAGCUUAUAUUAAUGGAACAAAGCAACUUGAGACACUUCCCAAUAAGCCAAUAGAGGAACAAAUCCACAAGUCAACAAGAUUUUCCUUUUUCAGGAAUUAAUAGGUCUACCAUUACUCAACAUGCAUUAUAAAUCAUCCAAAAACUAGGAUAAGUAUGGAAAGAAAAAAGAGAGAGAGAGAGAGAGUGUGUGUGUGUGUGUGUGUGUGUGUGUGUGUGUGUGUGUGUGUGUGUGUGUGUGUGUGUGUGUGUGUGAGAGAGAGAGAGAGAGAGAGAGAGACACUACUAGAAAAAUGGGCUACCAUGACAGAGAAUAUCUGUCAUCCGACCCCUCCUAUGACAGAGUUUCCAUCUGUCAUUGUAGCCCGUCUCACAAAUCUGUGACAACAUUUUAUCUAUCACAUGUUCCCAUGACAGUGUAUAUUUAUCACACAUGUGUCACGAACCAAGCGACGUCAUUUCGAAAGACUUUCGAGAAUUAAUUGGAAAUUUUAGCGGGUUAUUUAAAUUAUUUUGAAUUUGAUGGGUUUCUUCAAAAGCUGUCAUAUAUCAAUGAUUCACAUUCUCUGUCAUGAGAUUUAAGGUUUAAAAAAGAAUAAAAUUAUUAUUUUUAAUUUUGAAAUUAUAAUAAUAUUAAUUAUUAUUAUUAUUUAAAUUCCAGAAUUUUGAAAUAAAAACCACAUUUAAAACUUGAAUUAAUUGAAAUAAAAAUUACAUUCAAAUUCAUAAAAACUAUCAAAUACCAAAUUGUGUGAUGCGCUAAAAAUUUCAAUCACUUGAAACUUCCAACAAAUAGCAUCACAAAAUAUAUGGUGAAUCAAAUCCGUAUACAAUAUCUAAUAAAUCCUUUACAAUAUCCAAUCACCAACACAUCACUAGAAAAACAAUUAAUCCAUAAAAAAAACACUCUUAGAAAAUUCCCGAAAGCCACCAACAUCACCUGAAACAUAGGUUACAAUAAAAUGAGUGCCAAAAAAAUACAUAUUAAUAUAUUGCCCACUUACAAUUAAUCAAAUUCAUAAUAAAAUUCAUCAGUGUCUAAUUGAUUUAAUCAGCUUUGAUACUAAAGGGAAAAUGAGAAUAAACAACCCAAGAGAAAAUAGAAAAUCACAUUCGACAAUUGACAUAAUGAAGCAGUAAGCUCACAAGCUGUAAAAGAGAAAAAGGGAAGAAAAUAAAAAUGAUGAUAAAGCAGUAUAACCUGAAUGCUUAUGUAGCAGUGACAGUUGACUAGGUCUUCCUAAGAGUUGCUGGAUUAUAAAAGAUUAAGUAUAAACAAAAUAUUUUGCAACAUAGUACAUAGUAAAGAGAAAUAUAAAACCAAGUGCAAUUAAUGCCAAAGACGAGAAGAGAACUUUUAGUCUAGCCUUCUACAGAUUUCAAUUCUAAAUUUCUAGAUGAAUUUUUUUAAAGAGUAGUUUUUCAAGACUACAAUUUAAUUAAUGCACAACAUCUAACCUUCCAUAUAUAAUUAAAUAAAAUCCAUCAAAAUCAAGCUAAUAAAAAGAAAGGAAAAAGUUCUAAAAAUACAAAAGAUAAAGAGAAAAUGUAGAAAAUUCUGGAAUCACCAGAAUCUCCUCAAUCUACCAACUUUAAUACCAUGAUUGUAGGCUUGCCAAUCUAAGCCCAAAGCGUAAAGCAUAAUCUAAAGUUUCCAGUGGGUGAAGAAAUGAUGAUCUCUCAAUCAAUUCAAAAGGCAAAGACAUUGUCGAGCGCAUAAAUUGUUAGCUUCUCUUCUACCACAUCAGAUCCUUGAUGCAAAAUUCAAUGGGCAAGUAAAGGGACACAUUGAGAUAAAUAUUGGUCAAUUUAAGAAUUGAAAAUGGUGGAAAGAAGUUUAAAUAUUAGGACAGUCCAGACCAGGGGUUAACAUGAUAAUGAAAAAUUAUAAAUCUCAUGAGUUAUAUAUAUACAAAAACCAAAAAAAGAUAGAUAGGCUGGAAUCUCUUGGUUCUUAGGAGCAAAAGUAUCAUUAUUUAUGGACCAGCUGUUUCAAUUUUUCCAAAAUUACAUCUUCAAUUUAGCUUUACAAGACCAUUCUUUGCUCUGCUAGUUUACCUAGUCACCAACUCUGAUUGUCCAUUUAGGAUUGAAUCUAUAUACUCUUAUAUAAUGUCUCUUCUGGAGGAAAUAAGCAGAAAAAAUAUUCUAACUAGAUGAGACCCUUUAGUGUGAUGAUGCUACGCAAUGGAUGCUUUAAAUGCAUCCAAUUUAAUUUAUGAUGCUAAAGGACCACCGAGUACUGAGGACUAGUAAGUGCAACAUGGACCACAAACCAAAACAUUUCCAAUUAACAUAGCACAAUAUGUGACAAAUCAAAUUGAAAAAAAAAAUCUUCCAAAAAGUUCAACAUGUCAAUUAAGAGAAAAAUAAUAGGAUGCACAUUAAUACAUCCAUAAACAGCCUAGUUUCUCUAUCAACAAGUUAGUCAUAAGCACGAGUCAAAAUAAAUCAUUUGACUGAAAUGGUAGAAGACCAAGCAAAUAAAUGCAAGUACCACCACACAAAGCAUUUGCAUUUCCAAAAGUGAAUUUCAUAAAUUUUUUGCAGAAGAUAUCUUUCUAAUAAAAAAAAUAAACACAAGUACCAGUCAAUUGUAAUGGGUUUGAGAACCACAUAUACCUCUAAAUUUGAUUAAAACCUUGAAGUCACAGAGGAAAUUUUUCAGUGUGUUAACAACAUUGAUAUUCAGCAAGGCUUUGUGUAUGAGAUUCAGCUUGUGCAGCUUGGGCAGUGACCUGUGCUAGGGCCUGCUAGUGCUUCAUUCUAAAGGCUCCCUAGGUUGCAUCCAAUGAAUCAGGGAAAUUAGUAAUAGAUGAACGCAAAAUUUGGAUACCCAAGUAACAUAAUGCCAGUGAGGCAUGACAUACAAAGCAAUAUAGACAAUACAAGUUAUCACUCACUCAUUCAAGCUCUGGUCAUCAAAUUAUAACCGGAAGCUAAUACUCUUUCAUUCUUGGUUGCUAAUAAAGUUGUGACUAGAUUGGAGAAUUUCUCACAUAUUUGGCUUAAAGCUACAUAAAGAUCUCUAUAUCUUAGAUAUGGGAGUUAAAAGUGUUCACUGUUUACAUGAAGACAAUUGGAUCUCCAACACUAGUAAUACCAAGAGCUUUUCUUUCAUUAAUUGUUUGCAUUAACCAUAUGCUUCAUCUAAAAAGGGAUGAAACUAAAAUCAGGAAAGAAAAAUGCCCGAUUACCAUUAAAACUUGACCUGGAUAGCCUACUAUCCAGUCCAUUUGGAUAUUUAGAAUACCAAAACAAGAUGAGAUUAUCUCAGCAAUGCACAAUCACAUUACAACAUUGCUCAAAAUGUUCUUCUUUCAGAUUAAUUAAGUCAAGAGUUUUUAUCCCAAUUACAGGGCACAUUUAUAAAUUCUAUAGUAAACGGUUCAGCAAGCUCUAAUUCAAAAUUCCAUAGUAAAUGCUUCAGCAAGCUCUAAUUCAAAAUUCCAACCGACUGCUAACAAAUCAAGGCAAUGAAGAAAAUUCUCCAUCCCUCCAAAAAAAAAAAUCAAAAUUCAAACCCAAGGAUUAUUAGAAUUUAAAUGCGAAACCCAAUAAAAAUGAAAGCUUUCCUAAACAAGCUAAAAUCUAAUGAAUAAAUGAAGAAACUUUAAGUCUGACAAAGUUAAAUUGAAUUACCUGUGUAGGCGAAAGCAAACUGAAAUUUAGCGAGUCAAGCAGAAUUGCGGGGCUCAACCUGGGCGGCACCUCAAAAAUCGACGGCGGUUGAGCAAUCACCAGACCAGCCGAUAUAUUCUGAUCAGAAAACCCCAAACCCUAGUGUACAAAUGAAGGAACCCAUCAGCUUACUUCUCACAAAAGAAGACAGUAACAGCAACUCGAACUCGAAGAAAAUCUAAAUUAAGAAGACAUUAGCUAUAGCUCGGAGUUGAAGAAGGUAGCAGGCUAACGGCAACAACCAUUAAGUUGCGAAACAAAAGGAAAUGGGAAUAGCCAGCAAGCUAGAGAUCGGGGAUGAGGACGAAGACGAAGACGAAGAGCAGCAAUUUGUUGUCGGCAAGCAGCACAGCAGAUGACCAAAUCUGUGUAGGCAGCGUGAUUGUGUGUUUGUGUGUGAUUAGGUUUGGAUUAAGAAAUUAGGGCUUGCCAUGUGAAGCCGAAGGGGAGUCCAACACUUAAAUUUUUUUUAUUGGUAUCAAGAUACGGUGUCGUUCCAUGCCCAAAUUGGCCCAUUAUAAAUUCAAUGUUUCAUUAAAUAUUAAUAUGCUAUCAUGUGUAUUUGAUAGAUAAAUAAACUAUCACAAAUCUAUCAUGUCUUUACGAUAUAUGAACAUUCUAUCACAUGUCUGUCAUAUUUUUAUGAUAAAUGAUUAAUUUUUUAAAAUCUAUCACAAAAAUUCUAUCAUAGUAGCCUAUUUUUCUAGUAGUGAGAGAGAGAGAGUUAAAAGGAAUCUGCAUUCAAAAAAGGAAAAAGGGAGAAAAUAUCGAUCAAACCUCUUCUUUAGGUGAUUUCAAACGGGGGCAUUGGUUUUUGAUCUAAAGAUGACUCCAUGGACAAUUAAUUUACUGAAACACCAACACACUAUUUGAAUAUUUAUUUAUUUAUUUAUUGGUUAUGUAAGAAUUAUUUUCAAUAAAAGAACUCGAAUUGGGGAAGAGAAAGCUAGGAGACGACACAGAUAAGAGAGUGACUUACAGUCCUUAUGUGCAAUAUGGUCCAAUUCUUCUCAAUGAAGAAAACGUACGACUCUUGUUAUCUUCAAGAAUUAUGGACCAACUUAAACGUGUUAACUGUCACAUGCAUGCGGAGCCCUUUUUUUUAUAUAACACUGUUAUGCCAAUGAUAUUAUAAAUUAAUAAUUUGCUAAAAUAUUAAUGUAAUUGUUAUGAUAAUUUAUUUAAUAAAAUAUGGUAAUAUUAUUAUUUUUUUCUUGAAACUUAAAUAUAGUUGAAUUCCUUAUUUAAUUUUCUUAUUGCAUCUAGAAGUUUUGGGAUUGAACUCUCAAAGUAAAAAUUUUGAAUUUAUUUUUUGAAUAAUUUAAUACAUAUUUAGUCGAUUAAUCCAUAUUUAAUGGAAUAGAUUGGUAAAUAUAAUAGAUUUCUAGUUAAUUAAAUACAUGUUUAUUGACUUGCAAAUACAUCAAUUAACUAUUACUUUUUUAAUUAAUAGAUUUUAUAUGUUUCAACACGUUUUACUGCGUUACUGACUGUCGCCGGGGUGCUGGAUAAAAAUGAAAAACAGAAAAAAUCUGAAGAAAAAUUUUAUUAAUAUACCGGUCUCCAUAUCAUAGCCAAUUGAAACAACCGCUGCUUUCUUGGAAAAUCAUAAACAUUGCAUUUUAAGAAAUAAGUGAAUAAUUAUUGAAAGAACUAAGAAGUACAUGAAAGCAGACAGUGUAUCAUCGUUUUGCUUAUAGAAAGGUGCUUUUCAACUCUUUUCUUCAAAUCAAGCCGAAAUAGUAACUGACAAAAACUGCGAAAUAGAAACCUUUCCUUUUUUUCUUUUUUCUUUUUUGUUGUUUGUAUUCCACGUUGUCGUUAUUAACUAUGAAAAGGAAAGAUAACAUGAAACUCACAAUUCAAUAUUUGGUUGCCCUAAUAGAUACUAGGAGCUUUGCAGUGGCACCAGCUAAACGGAAUAUUUAAUAUCAAAUGACGACCACAACUUCCAGAUUAUCUUCAGACUUUGAACUUGGCUGCAGGUAAUUUUGAAUCUUGUUAGUUUACUGCUAUUAAAAUGUUACACAAGAAAAUAAAAUAAGCAAACAGGUUGUGGUUACGUACCUUAUUUAUAAUUACACUCGAAUAAUGUUCACUUCAACUUGGGAAGGAGCUGGUUUGACAGUACAGGCGAUGAAGAUAGUUGGAAUGGAUGUUAUUACGGUGCUCGUGAGACGUAGAAACCAGUCGAAGCAGCGCUUUCACGGAGAGGCUAACACUGAAUAACAGAGUGAUAAGAUUAUGAGACACAAAUACGCCACCAAGAAAAGAGAUGGAGCCAAAAUGAGAGAGGCAAGUGUUGAUAUUGCCAAGAGAACGGAUAGUUUUCCACAGCGUACAGAAAGUUGGCGACGGAUCCUGAGGUGGAGUUUGACGGAUAUGAAGAGGUAGAUCAAUAGUAACAGCAGGACAAGAAUCUGAGAGAAGAAGGGGAGCUUCAAAAUGGGAUAUAAAAGAAUCUCACUGGUACCAUCCUGGACGGCCCAAGAAUUGCCAUCUUGAGAUUUCAGGAACGUAAAGAAGAUUAUAAGAUUUAGUAAUGGCAGAAAUAAAUACCUCAAAUCAAUAGAAAAUUUCAUGCUUAUGGUGAUGCUCAAGUUUUCUAGGGGAAGAUGUAUUUAAUUUACAAAAAUGCUAAAUGUUAAGAGAAGAAUGAGAGAAAGGUGAGAGAAGAAGGCAUGUGCUGAGAGAAGAGACAGAGAGAGAAGCAAAACGGCAGACUCACUUUUCUCUCAUUCUUCAAUUUAUAGUGAGCUUUUUAUGUCAUGAAAAAUUGGAAAUUGCGUGGCAAAUUCUUUUGACCAGUUGCACAUGCUGUCCUGUUGAUUGGCUGGUUUUUGGAAACUCGAUCAUCACCGUUUGUUCAAGCAAAGACCCAAAUGGUGAACUAACGGUGAUGAUCGAGUUCAAAAAGAGAAAAAGAAAAAGAAGUAAACAGUGAUGUCUUCAAACUUUUUUUCCCCCCUGAGAAAAAGGCUUUUAAUACAGUUCUUUUCUUUUUCCACAGAUUGGUAUUAUUUCUCAGUAUUUGCUUAAUUUACUGCAAUAAAUUUUCAAAAAGUGUUCAAUCAUAAUGAAUUUUCAACCAUUAUCCUAUACGAAUCAUUAAAUUAUAAAUACUGAUGUUAAUCAAAUAUCAAGUAGAAUUUGUUUUUAAUAGAUCAAUUAGUUAAAGUACAUUUGAUACACUAUUUAGAACUUAUUUUUAUCUAAAAAUUGAUAAUAGGACCAAAUUAAGUAAAUUGUAUUGUUCAUGUCACUGAUACAAUAAAUAAAUGAUGUAAUGCUAUUUGUUCAUGUAUUUUGAAAAAGUAACAUAUAAGUAGUAAUUAUAUUAAAUUAUAUUUCUCAUGUCACAUAUUCAAUAAUUUAUUAUAUUACCUCUAGAUUUUCUCAUUCUCAAUAUAUGCUUAAUUGUAAUAAUUUUUUAACAACUGUUCAAAGAUAGCUUUGCUCCGGCUGUGUGUGUGAUUGACAAAUAUAUUAUUAAAUUGUACAACAACGAAAAAGACGCGAGUUGAAAUUGUUUCAACGACGUCAAAUGUUGACCACAUCAUUUUUUGGGCUUUCUCUCAUGGGCUAUUUCUUUCUUCUUCUUUUUUGAAAAAUCUCAUGUGGUAUUCAUUAGUGCUUUUAUUUAUAUUUUUAGUUAGUCAAUCUACUUUUAUUGAACUGGGAAACAAAUUGUAGUGUAAGGAAUAAAUUUAUGUUUAAAAAAAUCAAAACAAAAAAAUGAUAAUAAGAAUAAAUUUAUAUUAAAAAAUCAAAAUUAAAAUAUGGAUGGAUAAGAUUUGGCAGAGAUGAUUGAGUUUAAUUAUUAUGAAUAAGAUUUGGCAAUGGCAGAGUUGAAUAAUUGUGGUGAAGUUUAAGCUCCAUGAUACCAUGACGAAAUAAAUAUUUACAGUACCCUUUACAAAAUUUUGGUUGCCUCUAUUUAAUUUAACCCAUGCUCAGUUAAUUUCACUCUUUUUUAUUUAACUCUUAUUAAAUCCUUCUUAUUUAAAUCAAAAGGAUUAAACCUCAACGAGUGUUUCCCCGUAGGCUGUAUCUCCUCAUAAGUGACUUAACAAGUGUUUUGUGAAUGAAAAACUAUGUAAUCAAAAAGAAAGGAGAAAAACUAACUACUAUACAAUACAAGUGACUUAAACAAAAACGUCAUACACAAAAUAGAAUCCCGAUCCAGGAUUACCUCUGAUGUCAAAGUUAAUUUAUGGCAAAGGUAUUCUGGAAUUUGUGCAUGAAGGUUGUGGUCACCUCUUAGCUUAUAUGUUAUGUGAAUUUUGUGUUCUAAUUACUAAUUUGUCUUGACUUUGUGUUCAAACGUCAUUUCACAGUUCACACGCUUGGGCAUGUCCAGUGCUAUCAUUUUUAAUUUCCCAAUGGCAGGGCCUUGAGUUUUGAUUUAUUUAUUUUCUCCCCUUUUUUUGUUUUCUUGACUUUCUUUCUCUCUGCCGGGACCGGGGAGCUUGAGCUUGAGUUUUGAGCUUUAAUUAGAUUUAUAGUCUAUAGUUUACGGCAUUCACAAAUGUGACACAUUGCAAAUGUUUGAAUUAACAUUUGAGAAUACAAUAUGUCACAUCUGUGAAAUGUCUGAAUUGACAUUGGAGAAUAUAACAAAAGCCGAGCCCCACAUUUGUGAAUUCAGACAUUUCAAUCGGGAUCGCCUUCUACCACGUGGCUGCCGAUGGAAGAAGUUUUAAUCAUUUUGUGAAAUCUUGGCCCUUGGGCGUCCUGCGUCCAUGUCCUGUCCAAGGGCCAAGAGUUAAUAAUCAGCUUAUAAUCAGCUGAUUCCUAUUAUAAAUUUGAAGUGCAAAAUAUGAAGUCUAAUGAAGGGCAAAAGAGACUUUAUUGAAAUGAAAGAAAGAGAUUUAAUCAUUUUGAGGUGGGAUUUGCAGGAAAGUACCUGGAAAUACCCUGAAGUGCAUAAUAUGAAGUCGUAUGAAGGGCAAGAGAGACUUUAUAUAAAAGAAAGAAAGAGAUUUAAUCAUUUUGUGAAAUCUUCUGGUCGUCAAGCAAAGAAAUAACCCGCGGAUUAGUACCCUUUAUUCGCACUAUCUUGGUAGACGUCAACAAGACGCAACCUAACACCGGCCAUUUUAUUUUACAACAUUAUAUGUAAUGUCGAAGUAAUUGUUACUAGUUGGGGCGCAUUUUUAUUGGAUAAAAUUGUGGCAUUUUCUUAUACAAUAAAACCCAAGGCGCACCACAUUUUGAAAUCAAAGUAAUUGUUAUUAUUAUUUUUUUAAUUUUUUUUUUUUACAAAAUUUUAUCCAACAUAUUAUUCUUGGUUAUUCAGAAUUACUUUUAAUAAGAUGUAGAACAGCAGAAGUUAGACCAAAUUAUCUUUAAUAAAUGUAUGAAACUAUGAUCUAAUUGUAAACCAUUUACUAAUAAAACCAAAAUAGGCAGGCGUUUUCAAAUUGAUAUUGUUUUAUUAGCAGGUUGCCCACACUUGUCUUCUUUGAUUCCAUUUCUUUACAUCCGUUGGAUUAAAGUUUUGAUAUAUAUUUUCCUUUUUCUUUCUUUCUUUUUCUCUGCUGAUAAAGUUGUAGGUUGAAGAUGCCAGGAGCUUUGAGUUUGAAGAGGAUUUAUAUAGCUUUGAGGUUGUGUAUGCAAUUAAAAUAAAGAUAGAUAGACAACGUUGUCUAUCUAUCUAUCUUUUUAUUUCUUAAUUGUCUAUCUAUUCAUCUUUUCAUUAAGGAAAUGCUUACCGGUAAAUUUCUUAUGUAAAUUAAAUAGACGAUUGGUUACGGAGAAAAAGAGGAUGGAAUCAUAUUAAAACGAGUGGUUAUGGAGAAAAAAGAGAAUGGAUGGAAUCACAUUCAUAUGCAUGAGAAGCGCAUAUAGCUAUUCCAAUCAACAUCACAUUAAUUUCCUUUGACUCUACGAAAGCCUUCCCAAUUAAAUAGAAAUCACUCAAAACUCAAUUAAACAGAAAUUACUUUGAUUUUUCAAACAAUUAUUUAGUCUCCUGUCCAAUUGAAAAGUCAAGAACACUAUGUAAGCUUAAUUAUAUGGAAACAAUCAUUCCACCAUAAUCAUAAUCCUUAAGCGCUCGUAGGGAAAAAAAACAAAUAUAUAUAUAUAUAUAUAUAUAUAUAUAUAUAUAUAUAUAUAUAUAUAUAUAUAUAUAUAUAUAUAUAUAUAUAUAUAUAUAUAUAUAUAUAUAUCUUUGAAACUAUGAAUAUAUUGUUUCUUUUUAUCAUUACAAACAUGAUUUUAAAGACUUCAAAUUUUUUCAUAAUCUCGGCAAAUGUAAUUUGGUGCAGACUUUUAUUAUUUAUAAUGUAUGAUUAAGAUAUAAUUAAUUUGUAUACUGUUAUCCACUGAUUUGUUAAAGCAAAUUUAUAUAAGAGAGAUUUUAAUAUUUCUUUGGAGAUUUAUUAAUUGAUGAUUGAUAAAAAUAAAAAUCAUAAAAUAAAAAUCUAAAUCAUGCAUGAUUAAUAACAUAUAAUAUCAAAAAAUUGUUAAAUGGCAAGUAAAAUCUAUAAACAAAGGUUGUAGAUUUUGUUUUUGUUGUUUUAUUUAAAAUCUAAAUGUUUCUUAAGUUUGAAUACCAAUAUUUGAAAAAUAAGUUUGUUUUUCUUUUUCUAACAUUUGAAUAUAAGUGACAUCUUAUUUAUUUUUAUAAAUAAAAAAAAAUUCUCAACAUUAUUUGACAAUUAUAUCCUUAUAAAUAAAAAAAAUGAUUAGGUUUUAUAAUUUAGAAAAUGAGUAUAUUUAAUAUGUAUAUUUUUAAAAUAUAUUAUUUACUUCUCAUUCGGAUAAAAAUUAUAAAAUUUUUUUUAUAAAAAUUAUAAUUUUUUUUUUAUUCAAAUGUAAAUGUCUAAAAAGAAUGAGGGCAAAGCAAAUAACCCAUUCUCAUUACAAUCGGGACACCUCAGGGCAGCAACCUUCCCAUGCAGUUGCAUAUUGACGAUCAAUUUACAGCUGCCAUUGCAGCGAAAACAGGGGAAAAACCUGACAUCAGCACAGCCUUGACACACACAUUUGAGCUUCCUGAUGGAUAUGCCUUCAAUCAAUUCAUCAUACCAACCCUAUUCAACAUCAAAUUAUCAGGAAAUAAAAAUGAAACUAAUAUGAUUUUUUUUCUUUUUUGAUAAAAAGGUCUCCCUUUUAAACAUUCAACUAGUGAAUAAUAUAUAAAAGGUGGGCUGGAUUGUUAUUCACCCAAAAUACAAUUUCAGAUUGCUCCAAGGCUACAUUCCUGGCUUUUGGAGUACAUCGAAUUGAUUAUGUUGUUGCCUUUUAAUACAAGAUUUCAAAUCAGAUAUAACCCAAAAAAUUUCAGCUCUUGUGCUUUUCUUGUUCAGAACCAGGUCUACAACCUCCCGUGAAUCAGUUUCUAUGAUUAGUGGCCAACAUCUCACCUUUUCUGCAAUUUUAACACCAAGUCUUGCAGCUUCUGCUUCUGCAUAACCUACCUCCAACUGAAAAGAAGAAGGUUUCGUAGCUGCUGCUAUCACUUUGCCUCUAGAAUCUCUAAUCACAGCACCCUAAUUACCAACUCUUUUCUGCUCAACCGCAACUAAUGCAUCCACAUUUACCUUAAAACAACCUGCUGGUGGGGGUCUCCACUUGUUAUCUACAUUAGACUUUUCCCUCAACGAUGUCUGCAAUUGUGACAGCUGGAUCUUUUUGUAUGAAUGCACAACUGCAUCUGCUUUAGCUGCUGAUAAUUGGGAAUCUAUGUAUGUAUGUAUGUAUGAUAUUGCUGGUGCCACUGUAAGGUCCUAGUACCUAUUAGAGUAACAAAGUGUAGAAUUAUAAAACAUAUGUCAUCUUUUCAUCUUUCCAUUUUGUAAUUAAAUAAGUCAUCUCUCCAUUUUGUACCUAUUAGUCUGUUGUUACCCGACCAAGUUUUAGUUGCUAUCUUCGGCUUUUUCUUAAAGUACUUUUAGCGGUAGCGGACGCAGCUAGAUUCUCUUUUUUUUUGGGCAUUACUGUCCACUUGAUCAACGGUAUAUUUGACAAAAUUCCGUGUCUAAAUUUUUAUGCUAAAGAAAAAUUAACCGUUUAACUACCCUGAGCAUUAAAUGUGUAACGACUUUUAUAGAUAUAUAUUAUUGCUUGCAACUUUUGCAUGGCUGCUGGUUAAAAAUUAUUAUAUAGCAGAUUUCUAAUUAAAUUAGAAAAAUACUAAAGCAAGCACAGCAGCUUGAAUCGAUCACUGCUAGGCUUCGAGUCUUUGAAACUGACCCCCGAAACUGCUAGCUGCUUGAACAUUCAUAGUGACGACAACAAUAUACAUACAUACAUACAUACAUACAUGUAAAUUAAUUGGUUUAUUAAAAAUAAUUAGCGAAUGAAACCAUGAUAGUGAAACGUCGAUAAAAGUUGAAGCAGAGCUUAAACAGAGAAGCUAACAUGGCAUAACAGAGUGUUAAGAUUUUGAACCACGAGUAGGCCACCAAGAAAAGUGAUGGAGCCAAAAUGAGAAUCAAAUGUUGAUAUUAUACAAAAGAAUCUGAUUAGUACCAUAACUUCCCAGGAUUACUAAUCGAAAACUAAUACACAAAUAUUUUGUCUGAAAAAGCCAAUUAAAGAGCAAUAUAAAAAAAGCCAAUAAUUAAUGCAAAUUAAAUUCUAGAAAAAUUGUUCAGCCAAAGACUGCAAAAUCUUCAUGCAUGUGACUAAUUGACUAUGCCAUUGUGCUGCAUUUGAGGAAGGAACCAAAGAAACACAUAACCGUUAAAUUCUACAUGAAAUUAUGUUGAAAUCUUACACGCAUAAAAAUUCAUUGGUCAUCUUCAACUACUAGAUCUUCAUUAUUAACUGGCACAUCUGUUUUCUCGAUAAUUUUGUCUUGCACAUCACGAAUGGUAUAUAUCCACCGGUGUCACCUCAGGAAAUUUCUCAGUUACUGGAGAUCAAUUUAUACAUCCACAAGCACUGAUUUACACAACAAUUAUCUCCCAAAACCUAAUGUAAAUUUCAAAAAGACUAAUUUGAUUGCCUAAACCAUAACAAAUUUCUCAACAAUCUGCUCCAAAUAGGAUCCAAAUGUUUCGAUAUGCGUGCACCGAAAAACGGUCUUAGAAAGAGUGAUUUUGAUUUUUCAUUCAACAAGAGUGAGAGUGAUACAAACAGAUUGUUUUUACUGAAACAUAGAACGAAAUGAGAAGGAAAUAGAAUAUAGAAGAGUGAAAAUAGAUCAAUUUGAGGGAGUUUAUGCCGUCAAAAUAAAUAUGCAGUGUUCUAGAAACCAAUAAACUUCCAAAUUCAACUUAAUUUGCACUAAAAUUAUAAUCAUUCCAUGCUGUAUCUUAAUCCAACUAUAUUUAAAAGUAAGGGACUUCAUAACUGAUAACUCCCUCAUCUCAAAUUUCCUAUAGACAAGUGGAACUUUUACUGUCUUUUGGCAUCUCAAAUUAAGAUUAGCUCUAUAUAAACAUGAGAAGUGUUUACAUUGGCUGAGGAAGCUCCUUCUUGUUUCCACAAAGGUAAAUAUAUUUGGAAUUCUUGACCUUCUGGAGGACUCUAUACCUUCAGGCUUAUGAGGGGAAGAUGCCAGCAGUCUUCAGCUAACCCAAUUGAACACACCCUCCUCUCCUCUAUUGACAAAAAAGAUUGCACUGCGGGGAUCUCGUAAUCAGGCUUUGGUGUGGGGCUGAAUCCAAUUAAGGCUUUAGAUUUAUAGAAACCCAUGGUCUAAUUCAACCCAAGAACUAGUUUACAAAUAGAAAAUUUCUCAAAUUCAUACAGUUAGCCUAGUUAUUAUUCUCUUCCAACGUGAGAUAAUAUCCUCAACAAGAUUCCCAUCUUACGGCGCUGUUCAGAUAUGGUACAUAUAAUGGUAGGCAAUCUGUGUGUGGGGCUGAAUCCAAUUUAGUGUAAAUCAUUUUUUGGCCACUCACCACAACACCAUCAAGGCAAAUUUUGAGGUAACUUGGGUCCUGCAUGUCUAUGGUGCAAGUCAUUUCUCUUAACAAAUUGUCUACCUAUACUAUUUACUUUGAAGUAAAUUGAAGUUUGAUUCAACAUAGAGAGAUUUGAGUACCAUCGUAUAUCUACUGCAAACACGCAUCAAAAUUGAUUAACAGAUUAUUUAUUACAAGUAGACAACGGAUGAAAUUAUUUUAUUUUCAAAUUACGAGAGGAAAAAAGACUAUUUAUGAAUGCAAUGUAUAUUCAUUCUUCUCUUAAUCCACAGGUAAUUAAAGUUUCAAAUAGAUGUGCACAUGUACUGGCCUAAAGUCUACCAAGCUUCUAAGUUAGUCUACUCAAAACAAACUUUUCAACAUUCACAUUUUGAUAAAUUGGUUACUGAGUUUCCAAUUAGUAAUUGACCUGUGGUCAUUAAUACACGCACCCGCUUAUAUGCUUGUGGUACAGUCACACCGAAUCUGUUAUAGACUAAUUAAAUACAAUAUGUUUCUUUUACUAGCUAAAUGAUUGGAUCUUCAUUAAUGACCGAAGAAGAAAUUAUAACAACCCAUGCAAGUAUUAGCACUUCUCCUAAAGCUAAUAUUAAUGAAACAAAACAACUUCAGGUAUUUCCCAAUAAGCCACUAGAUCAGGAUCACGUCCACAAUUCAAUAUUCCACAUGAUUUUUCCAUUUCAUGAAUUAGUAGGUCUGCAAUUACUAGAUUAAAAGGUAAUAAAAUUAAUUACUUAACAUGCAUUCUAAAUCAUCCUUAAAUUUGAUAUGUUGGGUUCCAGCUGUAGGCAAAACUUUGGAUAAGUACAGAAAAAUAAAAUAAAAAAGAGUAAAAACGAAAAAGGAAGAAAAUAUCGAUCAAACCUCUUGUUGAGGAGAAAUCAAACGGAGGGGCGGCGCUGGUUUUUUUAUCUAACCCUUGAAGCCCCGACGCGCUAUUUUUUUUUUUUGGGUUACGUAUGAAUUAUUUUCCACAAAGAACUUAAACUCGGGAAGAGAAAGACCAGGAGACAUACAUAGCCAAAGGCAUCGACUCAAAGUCCUGGUGCCGCAACGUGAUCCAAUCCUUGUCCCUGAUGAUAUAACGUAGUCACACUUGUCAUCUCAAGAAUCAUUGGACAAGGCAUACUAACCGUCAUAUACAUGUGGGGUCCAUUUUGAAAACAUUAGGUGGAGUAUGUUAUUUUUUUUUUAUUUUAAAUUUAUAAAUGUAAAAUCUUAAUUUAUAAAGCUGAAUGGGUAUUACAAAUGGGGAUCUGGAUACCUUGCCACAGUUGUAAGGGUGUGUUUGAAAUUAAGGUUGGGCAGCUGUAUUUUAAAAAUUAUAAUACUAAAGUGUUUGGUAAACACUAACUCAUGUAGUUUGGAAAAUACAUUAAAAUAUAAUAAUUUUGUCAAAAUUAUUAUUUUAAAUUUAUAUUUAUUACAUAUUAUUAACUUUUAUUUCAUAAUUACAGUUUUUUUCCUACAGCAGUUGUAAUUUAAAAGGUACAUCGCCUCAAUUCUAAACACAUCCUAAGGUGCCACUAAUUUUUUCUUUUGUGACAUUAAAUUUCAUUUGACCACUUAUAUUAUUUUUUAUUUAUAAGUUUUUGUUCUUUGGCUGGUGACCUUUUAAAUUGUAGUUUUAUUUAUUUAAGAUUAUUUAAUUUUUUAAAAGAAUAAUAUAAUAAUAAGCAAAUGACUAAAUAAUAUUUAUUUUUUUAAGACUCACUACUAAUUAAACAAUAUAAAUUUGAAACAAUCUGAGCUUAUGUGUUUACGAUUUUAACUCUUCAUUUUUUUUGAGUUUUUGAUAAAUAUUAGAGAGUAUAAUGUUAAUAAUCAAUUAGACAAAUCUUUACGGUUGAGACUAUUUUUUUCAUUAAAUCUGACGAUGAAUACCUGAAAUAAUUUAUAAAAAAAAAUUGGUGGUACCUUAUAACUAUUGUAAGGUAGCUAGAUCUAGGUAUAUGAAUAGAAAACAAUCAAUCUAGCUACUAAGAAAAAAGGGUGGGCAAACUCAAUCUAACCUAAUGGACCCAACCCAACCCAAUCGAACCCAACUUAAUUUUUACAGGUUGAGUGAGUUAUUAUGAGUUAAUUGGGUCAAUUUUUUUUAACCCAAUUAACAAUUGGGUCGGGUUCGGUUAAUUAGUGGGUUGUGUUAGUUAUGAUGAUCACAUUUAACCCAACCCAACCCAACCCAUAUAAAUAAUAAUAAUAAUAAUAAUUCUCAAUUUACAAAAUCCUAAAAAUCUAAAUGACUAAUCUAUUUUUAUCCUCUUUUUAUUCUUUUAUAAAAAAGACUAUUUUUUUCUUGAAUUUACUAUCGACUCUACUAUCAAAACUAAAAUCACUCUCUUAAAUCUUAAUUCUCAGUCAACUAAGGUAUUUCUCUGAUUUAUUCAUUCUAUAUUCUUUACUUUUUUCAAACAGUAGACCAUGAAUAGAAUUUUCAUGCGAUAAUAUAUUUAUAUUUGAUUUCAAUAAGUUUUAUUAAAAGUUUCAUAUCCUUUUCUUUAUUUAAUUUUUAAUUUUGAUUCAAUUUUCAAAUCUUCAACCCAACCCAACCCAGCUCGAUGAUUUAAGGGUUGGGUUGGUUGAGUUGAAUAUGUUUUAUUUAAUGAGUAGAGCUAUUGGCACCCCCUACAUUAUUCUUACAAAACUCCACUUCAAAUAAAAUUACAAUUAAGGACAAUUGAAAUUUAAACACAUAUAUAUUUUUUUUCUAGCAAAUUACUUAAUUCAUAAUCAAUCUUUUCAAAAAAAAAUUCUUUAUGUUACUUCCUAUUUAACUAAAAUAAAUUGUACAAAUUUAGAAUAAUAUAUUGUUUUCUUUUGAUUUCUUAUUGAUUAAAUAUUUUUAUACUUAAAAUUGCUUUGCAAUUAUAAUUUCAAAUAUGUGUUAUUUCAGUUAAUGAUUAAUACUAAAAAACUUAUCACCUAUAUAACUUUUUAAUUUGUGUGUAGAUUAAUAGUAAAAUUAAAAAUAAUUAAAAAUAGCACAGUAAUACUUUAAGUUUUAAUAAUCGAACAAAUGAAAUGAAAAUUGAGAACUUAAAAAAGUGUAUCUAAAAAAAAAGACAUUUUCGAAAAUAAAAUGAAUAUAACUAAAAAAGGAGUUUAUGAGGAGAUAAGAGGGGUGCCAAUAGUCCAACUCUUAGUUAAUUGGGUUGGAUUAUUUUUAUUUCAACUCAAUCAAUAAUGGGUUGGGUUGGGUUUUCAUAAACCAUAUCCAACUCAACCCAUGCCCACCCCUAGUACUAAGAAGUAAAGUGGGUCUACAUUUGGCUAUUAAUAAUUUGUUCAUUACUCUUGCCAUAAGCCAAUUCUCAAUAUUUAUAUAAAAUUUUAAUGGCUAUUAGUGAGUGUACGAUCCUGGAGUCCGAAUAUAUAAAAAUGAAAAGGCCAUGGCUAAUUUAAAUCAACUCCAACAUAGAGCACAAAUCACAACCACACACGCAAAGUGAUAAAUAUUUAAAAAAAUACAUUAUAACUUUAAUCAUGUGACUAUGAAAACAUGUUAUACCUUAAAACGGUUUCAACAUAACGAAACCCUAUAAAUUUAAUGCAAAUUUUUAUUUAAUAUACUGUUCUCAAAAUCAUAACUAAUUAAACCAUCGGUUCUUUUUUGGAAAAUCAUAAAUUACUACAAUGAAAAAGACAAAAAUAAACGAAUCUGGAAAUAAGUACAAGAAGCGCUAUAUAUCUAUCAUUGGUUUGCUCCCAGAAUCUGGGGAGUGCUUUUCAAGUCUUUUCUUCAAUAAAGCCGACAAUAGUUAGCAGCUAAACUAAAAGGACAUAGAUACCUGCCAUUUCAUGAUAUCCACGGACAUUAACCAUGCAGAACCAAACACUUUCCAAACGAAAAAGGCUUGGAUUCCACUUUAUCAAUAGCAAUUACAAUUAUUACAUGAAAAAUGCUUGGUGCAGAGAGAUGUGAAAAAAAAAUGAGAGAAAUAAAGAAGAAAAGGGAAGAGAGAGAGUGGGAGAUAGAGAGAAAGACAAACUUCUCUCAUUUUUCUCUCAUCUUUCCUUACACUAAUCACAACUCUUAAGAUAAAAUAAGUUUCUUUAAAACAUCACAAUUAGAAGCAUCUAUCCUUUGUUAUUUUAGAAGGGACAUAUACGUUGUCAUAUGCAUAAAUAAAACAACUCAUUUUUACGUUUUUUUUUUAAACAGAGGCACUUAAGCAUAUAUAUAUGCCCUAAGCAGUUGCAUGGAAUAUCAAGUCCCAAGUAAAAUCACACCAGAUCCUCCGUCGGACUUGGCUGCAGGUCUUGGAUGAGCCGAUCACCUUCAACUCCAACGUCAACUUCAACUUCAACUUGAUCAUCAGGAGGAGUUGCCACGGCAGUGCGUCGCUUGCAGCAGCGCUUAAACAGAGAAAUUAACAUUACGUGAAAAAGUGAUAGGAUUAUGAGACACAAAUAAACCACCAAGAAAAGGAAAGGAGCCAAAAUGAGAGAGGCGAUUGUGGAUAUUGCCAGCAGACAAGGGAGAUGGUCUCCACAACUCACGGACAGAGGGCUGCUUACACUGAGAGGAACUCUGAUGGCUGUGAGGAGAAAGAGCAGUAAUAUCAGGACGGCAAGACCUAGGAAGGGGAAUUGGAGCUUUAAAAUUGGGUACAAAAGUAUGUGGUUGGCUCCAUCCUGGAGGGACCAAGACUGACCAUCUUGAGAUUUCAGGAAGAAAAAGAAAACUACAAGAUUCAUUAAUGGUGGAAACAAAAAUCUCACAUCGACAGGACAAUUCAUUUCUGGAAGUUUAAUGUCGAAAGAAAAUUUCAUACUUUUGCAAUGGAAGAAGAUUUGAGUGCUCAGCUAACCGUUAGAAAGGGCUGCUAGUUGAGCUCUUGGGGGAUUUAUGGGAUGGCAACAUUCCUCACGGCCUCAUUUUCAUAAAACAAAGGGGAUAGUAAAAACAAGGAAAAGACAAAAGAGAUGAUCAAAUCUCUGAGACACACUCACACACACAAUUGCCUUUCAACCAAGUCAACUAAUUUCAAAUUGUCCCACAAGACCAAAACCCUUCUGAAACUGAAAUUCCAGAUCUACCCCUUUGAUUAAACUUUAGAAUUUACUUUUAAAAGACGCUUAGCAAAACGCAUGAUCAACUUUUUUAAAAAAAAGAAAAAGUUCAAUUGGUCAUGAACUUAUACAUAAGAGUGUUGAUACAAGUCUUUUUUUAAAAAAAAAGCACCAAAAAAAUUAAAAAAAGAAAAGUGGGAGUGCUGAUACAACACAAGGGAAUACAAAACCAUUAGAUGAUGGGGAAAAAAAAAUGUUUGUCCUCACGAGAUAGAGGGUAAUUCUGGCAUUUUGAAAAUUAACGAAGUUGCGCAGAAGUUUCUUGUAUCUCGGGGAUCGUUGCUCUCUUGCUUAAGCUUUGAAAAACAAAGAAGCAUUGUAAUUAGUAGUUUGUUAAUUUUUUUAUAUUGAGGCAAAGUUUUCCUUUUUGUUUGAAAAAAUUUCCAAUAGCCCCCACCAUCGUCCUUGUAAUUUUCUUGCAUGUUAUAAGCGCCAAAUUAAUGUUAUUAUUUUUGUGGAAAUAAAAUUAAUAUUCCAUUCAUUCGAUGGAAGCUUUGGCACUGGCGAGCAGUAAUAAAACAUAAUCUCGGAUUCUUAAUAAUUUUUUUUCUUUCAAUUUUUAAUUUCUUCUUCACUCUAAAAGAUUAAAUUUUCAAAAAAAAAUAUUAAAUUUUAAAAAUUUCAAAGAAACAUUACUUUAAGUGAGCUUUAAAAUUUUAAACUAUAUGAGAAAGGAAUUAGUUGUUGGUUAAGGCCUUUGCAAUGAGAUAUCUCAUUAGUUUAGAUCCAGCAUUGACGAGAGUUGUGUUGAUCAUUUUAAAGAUCUUUUAUUAUGUAUUUAUUUAUUAUAUUAGAUGGGUAUGAGUUAAUUACAAUAUAUGUCAUGAAAAUCAUUUUUACCCAUAAAGGGUCUUCCGCCAUAGUUCUUUCUUUCUUUGGCGUUAUAAACAUUCAGAAAUCCAUUUGUGAUAUUCAUGGAUAAAGAAAAUGCAUAUUAUUUGAUCCAAUUAAUUAAAAGAGCAUACUUUUCAUAUUCGUGCACUAAGGGGGAACGUUUGAUCUAAUUUGUUGAUCUAUAAAAAUUCACGGUCUAACUAAACCCAAAAACUAGCCUAAAAAUUAAAAAUUCUUCAAAUUACUAUUCUCUCUCAAUGUGAGAUAAUAUCCUCAACAAGAUUCCCUCUUAGGGUGUCGUUCGGAGAUGAUACACGUAGUGGUAGGCAAUUGUGGGGCUGAAUCCAAUUUUGUUACCGCCACUUUCAGGCUGGUUCAGAUUGGAUAUAUUGAUGCAGCAAUGAAUCCGACGGUUGGGAUAGCAGAGCUGAGGAGACAGCCAGAUGCUGGACCUAUUACCUUGCUGGGCUUCUCUCCCAUUUUAAACUAGUAGCUUCAUAGACAUAUUUGUAAUGGAAAUGUUGGUCUUCUUAAUUAAGCCAGACCUUGCUCCUAGUUUUUCUAGUCCAAGUUAUAGCAAGAAAUGACAGGAGUCGCUCUAACCCAUCCCAAUCCUACACAAGAGAAAAUAAAAGAUAAAUUAAUAAUAAAGGAGCGAUGAUAUGCUUACUUAGUUGAGAUAUUUAUUUUGUAUUCUAACUAAUGUGUCACCAAUAGAAAUGUAUUGUUUAGAUUAAAAAUAAUAAAAUUUAAUAAUUAUCUGUCACUUGAAUCAAUCAGACAGUGACAUAUCAUUUCCCAUAUCAGUUGAAAUAUAAAUUAAGUAUUUCAAUUAAAUAAGUGUAGUAUUGUUGAUAACAAAGUUGUCUCAAAUAUUGAAGGGUUCAUCGGUGGGGUGCAAAUCAUUUUUCAUAAUCAAUUGUCUACUUUACUAAUUACUUCAAAACAAGUUGAAAUUUUAUUCAUCAUAGAGAGAUUUGAGUACGAUCGUACAUGUACUAUAAACACACAUCAAAAUUGAUUAAUUGAUUAUGUAUUACAAGCAGAUUAUUGUAUUUUUAAAUUAUGAGAGGAAAAAAGAAAACCUAUGCACAAAAGAUAUAUAAAUGAAUGAUACAUCUUCCAAUAAAGAGAUGCAUGUAACGAAUUAGAACUACUUAUGAGACACAAAAUCUUUUUAAUUAUCCUUCACGGUUAGAUUUAUUCCACAUCUUCCUUUUUUUUCAUUGUACUUCUAUUUUUAUUUAUUUAAUGUAGAUUUUAAUUCUCCAAUGGUGGGGACAGAUACUCCAUAAGUGACUUGUUGAUACUUUUUUUCGUACAUGAGUCAAUCAAGCGCAAAAGAUAGAGAUGUACCUGCAUACACAAUAAUAAACAAAUAAAACAGUGAGAUAGGACUAGAAAAAUUGGCUUUCGAGGAUCCCACUUUGAUACUUAAGUCAAUGAGGUGUCUUUUUAAUUAAAAUCCGAGAGGUUUUUUUUAAUUUUCUCAAGUUCUCAUACCGUUUUUUAAUUCACUUCCUCCUUUGAGAUCCUAACCCCCUCAAGAUGGUAAAAGUAACUAAAUCCAUAUCAACACACGAGUCAACAAGCUUUUGGUAAAAAUAUAGACAAGACGCCCAAAAGCUGAGGUGUCAAAAAGAGAUAGGAAAAAGGUCUCGUCUUUCAAUUUUUCUCCUUGUAACUUCCUGUCUCUUUUUUUUUUAUUUGCCUCGAAAGGAAAAAACUGGUCAUGGUUAAAUGGUGAAUACACGAACGUUUUUUGAGGGACUCAGCUUGAUCUGAAUUCAUUCUUCUGUAAUUUUUACUUUUUAUUUGCAUAAUAGGAUCGCCUGAGUUCACGCUGGUUAAAUGUAGCAGCGUGGCAACAAAAUUUGGCACGGAUGCAUCCUGCUUUUAUGAAUAAAUGAUACUAUACUAAAAUUAAUGAACAAAAUAUUAAAAAUUUUUAUUUAAUAAUUUUUAAACAACAUUAAAAGAAAAGCAAAAAAAAAAAAAUUACUCUUUUUGUGGUAGUCGACUGUUGACGUGAAGGACCGAAAAUCUUGAUGUUUGCCGCCAGAAGAUGAUGCGAAAGUCCGUUAAUCUGACGUGACGUCAUCGUUUUUGUGAUGCCACGUAAUCACCCAUGUUGUUUUGUGCGGACCUCAGAGCUGAGCUUGUCUUUCAUCUCCUCAAUAAGGCAAACGUGAUCAACUGUCACGUGCAUGCGGGGUCCAUUAGAAGAAGAAGAAGAGCGUGGUUCUUCUUCCAGUUCUGAUUUUUGAUUAUGUACGACAAAUAUAAUUAUAUGGAACGAUGAAUUUUUUUCAGUUAUGAUAUUCUCACUUUAAUAAAAUAAAAAUAUUAUAAAAAAUAAAAACUUUAAUAUAUUAAAAAUUAUAUUUUUUAAUUUAUUAAAAUUUGUUUGAUUUUUUAAGUGACAAUAUUUUUAUUAAAAAAUAAUGAAUAAAACUAAUAUUUUGAUAUGACAAAUAUAAUAAUAAAUGCGAACCAUAUUAUAGGGAAAAAUUAUGUUAUAACAGUGGUACAAUAUUACUGUUACAACUAGCCAUUAAAUUUAUAAUUAUGUAGUUAUAUUAGUAAAAUUUAAUAAGCUAAAAACAACAGUGAUACUGUAUCACUGUUGCAAGGCACCAUAUUAUAUGUACAGGCUCUCCAAUGACAGCGUCGAUAAUGGCAUGACUGAGAACACCGGCCCACGUAAACUGACAAUCAAUAGUUAGUUCUUCAAUUGUCAAAAGUAAUUCACAUAUAGGGACCUGUCUAUGGUACAGAUUCUGUAACAAACAUCUCCCGUCAUCCCACCAUCCGAUUUUCUAUUGUUUAGUUUCUCACUCCACAUCCAACGGCUGAUGCUGCAGUCUGUAGCUUACAGAAGCUGUAAGCUAGUCGAGUCCCACAAAUAGGUUAUUGUAACGCGUGUCGUUCUAAUAUCCCUCGUCCCACUAGAGCUCUAUCGUUCAUCAAUUUCGAAAAAGUAUGUUGAUGCUCAAUUAGCGGAGACUUCAAAUGAUCGAAUUUUGAAAAUUUAAUAUUCACAAUCCACAGUAGGGACAUCAUCUUGCGAACAGGAGUCAAAAAUGGACGGCAAAAAUGAACAUUGAUUACAUGUCCCCCGGACUGACUUACAAGAUUUCGAGUACAUUAUGAAGAUUAAAAGAUUUGAUAUUGGGGAAAUAAAAAUCUCAAAUCAAAAAGGUUCAUAAUGAAUGUUGUUAAGUCAUCCUGGUUAAGGUCUUCUCGGGAUUGGGAAGCCCCAUACGACUUUUAUAUAAAGCCCAUUGGAGCCGCCUGCUAAACAAAGUAAUGCCCGUAUUCAAGCAAAAACACACACACACAAAAAAAAAAAAAAAAGGGGGGGUUAAGAGUACGAAAGCACCAUUAUGAUUUAUGCCUUUCCCCGCCCCUCACACCAUUCAUGUAGCAUUUGGAUCAUUUCACAUUUGAGCAUUGUUUAUGAUUAAUGGCUAAGAUUUGUCCCUCCUAUGUCUUUAAUUUGUUGACCAUUUUACCAAUAAGGUGCCCCACGUGAUGAGAGGAGAUAAAAGAGAUGAAUUGUAAAUUAAUUAAAGCUUGCGAAAUAAUUAAAACAAGUCUAAAGCAUAAAAUCAUGCACAAUCAAUUCUAACAUCGAGAAUAGAAAAUGCAACUUUGAUUCAACCCUUGUUUUUAAUUAUAUAAAUUAUGUACUGUCAAAAGGGCAAAACUAACGUGGGUUCUUUCUUUUUUUCUUUUUCAAGAUCAAUUACAAUGGAAUCUUAUUAUUUGUUAUAAAAACAAAAAAAUUAAAAAUUUUUAAAUUUUUACACAUUAGUCCUAUACCCAAAAAUUUUCAAAUGCAUUAAUGCUUUUGGAAGCCACGAUUUGUUUAGAAUUCAAACUCCUAUAAAUUCAAGCACUUACUCUCUUUAUACACGCAAACAUCAGUAAAUUAAAAGAAAAGGUUUUUGAGUUGUGUGAUUGAAUUUGAGGCGCAAUAACUUUAAUAGGAAAUAAAGGCAAUUGUUUGCUUUCUUUUCUGUUUUGUAAAACUCCUAAUUUAAUAACCCGGUUAUGACACAAUUAAUUAUUCUAAUUGACUUAUAUUUUAAUUCAUAGAUAUGUGCUGAAUUGGCAUCUCUAUUGUUUUGCAUGUACGAUAUUAGCCAGAGAGAAUAAAGAAUAGAAAAUAUUUAUUUUUUAGUUUAUUUUUUCUAAGAAAAUAUUUAAAUUAUUUUCAAAUAGAGUAAUUGUUUGGAAUUUUUUAGUUUUGUAAAACUCCUAAUUUAAUAACCCGGUUAUGACACAAUUAAUUAUACUAAUUGACUUAUAUUUUAAUUCAUAGAUAUGUGUUGAAUUGGCAUCUCUAUUGUUGUGCAUGUACGAUAUUAGCCAGAGAGAAUAAAAAAUAGAAAAUAUUUAUUUUUUAGUUUAUUUUUACUAAGAAAAUAUUUAAAUUAUUUUCAAAUAGAGUAACUGUUUAGAAUUUUUUUUUACCCUUCUCUUCAUUAAGUUAAUGAAAGAUCUCAAUCGUAUGGAUGUAUGCUAAUGACUAUUUAAACUACUGGGGUGAAGUAGCAAAUAUCAAUUUAUUUAAGUGUGCAAUUAAAUUGAUUAUUUUUAUUUAAAGACAAAAACUCAACCAAAAAUAAAAACCCUAUUUUUUUUCUUAAUUCAUGAAUGCUAUAAUCAAGAAGAGAUUGAAAGUGGUUUGGAAUGGGAGAAGGGGUAGAGAGAGCACUUAACAAUUUUUUUUUUUAAAGUAUCGAUGCAGGGGUUUAUUAAGAAAGUACAACAAAUUAGGAUUAUUUUAGGAAUUAAGAAGAGUAUGUAGAGAAAAGGGGUUUAAAAAGAAUGUUAGAGGUGUGCCAAUAGUCCAUGUUAAAUAAAUUUUAUGUUACGAAAAAAAAUUAACUACAUAGAAUAUCAAAUUAAAUUUAUUUUCUUAUUUUGUACAUUACAUUUACUUGAGAUAGUAAAAUCUCGUGUUGGAAUAAAAAAGGUUAUGAGAUUUGAACCUUAGUCACAUGGGUGAGAAGAAAAUUAGUUGUCGUUAUGUUAAAUUAAAAAAAAUUAUAUUAUAUUUAUCAUUAAUUAUGGUUCGUAAAUAAUAUACAUAGUUUAACUAUAUAAUAAAUUAGUUAAUUUUUUAAUUAAUAAGUAAAUUUAUUAAUUUAAAUAGAUAUUAAUAAAUGUAAGAAUAAGUCAUUUAAUUAGAAAUCUAGUUCAAUAAUGUAAAAAAAAUUAGAAUAUUAGGGAUUUAUAUAUCGUAAUUUUAAAACUCCUGAUAUUUCUUAUUUUUUUAUGAAAAAAAGAGCUUUUAAUGUUAAUAACUUAAAAUCACAUCUAAGCCUUUAUAAAACUCCUCGUUACAUCUAAAGGUGAAUUUGAAGAAGACAAUAAAUGGGGCACAAACCCAUGGGUGACGUAGCCGGACCCCUGUAAAAAAAAAAAAAACAGCCUGCUUUCAUCGCAAUUACGUCAAGGGAGCAGAUUAUCUUAUCCGCAAGAAAUUUUAGUCAAGAAUAAGUAAUAUUCUACAUUUCUACUAGGUAUAAGAGUGGGAUCUCUUUCAGAGGAACAGAACAGCACUUACUCAUUACAAAAUUCAAACCAAAUCAAUAUAUCUGUCACCAUUUCACGUAAUGUGUGCAAAUCAGUGCUUUCACUUUUGUAGACAUCAAUUCGGAUUAUCGGGGUCGACACUAUAUAUCACUUUUUCUAGGUUUAGAAUUAUUCGCUCAAUUUUGAAGGACCUUUAGAACAAAAAUGAUGUUAAAAUCAAAAAGAGAAAUGUAGAAUAGAAGUAUCCUUUUAUAUGACAUCGCGGACCCGCACGUGAGUUACUCUUUGAACUCUUUUGGAUGCGUGUCAGCUUUUGAUUAAUUUCUACAACGCAUCAGCUUUAAAUAAUAUUGGAAAUUGCCUUAUCAUCUUUGUAUUUUGUCGUGAGUUUGUGGCAAAAAUGUCAUAAACUAAGCUACGAGCAUGCGUAAGGCCUUAGGGGUACCCUUUUAUCCUAUCAAUGUGACCGCAAUAAUCUCUCGGAACCUUUAAAUCAGUGUGGGGACAAAUGAGAUACGAAGGAAUUAAGCAUCUUUGAAAGAAAAUAUAUAUAUAUAUAUAUUUGAUGUAUUAAUUCUUUUGGAUUUUUAGCAACUUGCAUUGCCCAAAUCAUUAUCUCAAUUUUCUCAUCAAUUUACCCCCCUCGUUAACAAUAUAAGCUUUCGCACACGGUCCAAGUUAUUGAUGAUUGACCAGCAUACAUAUCUGUUUUCUUGAAAACUUUUUCUGAAUGAUGGAUUUGAUCCUACAACGCAUCAGUUCAUUACCCUUCCCCAUAAGCUACAUGGUUUUAUCAUUUGAUGAUGACAUUUUAAUAUGUAAUUUCGUCCAAGACAUUCCUUUGCGACUGAUACUACACAAUCCCUAAUUGUAUUCCCAUCAUACAAGGGUCACCCACCCUUAAAAGAGAAAGAAAAAGGGAAAAAAAUAUUAUGAAACUUAUUAAGAAGUUUACUAGUAGAAAAUCUCGGGGAAAAUACUUCGAAAAGCAUGAAUUCUUUUGCAAGCGCAGCUCAUAUAACAACUUUAAAACAUUUUAAGGAGAACAAUUUCCUUGCAAAAAAUAUGAAUGACCGUACAGAAACAUGGAAAGUUCCACCAAACAGUGCAAUUUACUGAUGUUAGAAGAUGCAAUCAAUCAAUUUCCCUGACUUCCAAGUUAUUAAUGGAGGAGACAAAUUAAAAUUUCACAUGCAUAAUAAACCAAUUAUUCCACAGGAACAAUUAAAAUUUCAAAUAGAUGUAUUUAUGAAAAUGCAUAGAGCCUACCAAACUUCUUAAUUAAUCUGCUCAAAUUGGAACAUUUGACAGCCACUUUUUGAUAAAUUGGGUUAAUUCAAAUUCAAUUACAAUCCCUUUACUAUUAAAAAGAUUCUCCUACUUUCAACGCAUUUUUUUUCUCUUAGAAUUGAUACACACACACAUAUAUAUAUAAACACAUAUUAUCCUCACGGGAUGGAGGGAAAUCCUACGCUUAAUCCUAACUUCCAAACAUAAUCUUAAUGACUAAGAUUUGUCUUUGUUGACCUCUGAUUCAGUGUUAACCAAUAAGGCUUCCCACAUGAUGAAAGGGGAUAAAAGAGAUUAAUUGUAAAUAAAUAAAAGCUUGCAUAUUAAAAAGCUGUCCAAAACAUCCGAUAAAAGAGAUAAGGUUCAGAAUGUCUCAAUUAAAUAGAAAUGACUCAAAACUCAAUUAAAUAGAAAUGACUUUGAUUUGUCUAACAAUUAUUUAGCCUUCUGUCCAGUUGAAAAGUCAAGAACACUAUGUAAGCUUAAUUAUAUGGAGACAAUCAUCCCACCAUACUCAUAAUCCUUAAGCGCGUGUAGAGAAAAAAUAUAUAAAAAUCUUUGAAAUUAUGAAUGCAUUGUUUCUUUUUAUUAUUACAAACAUGAUUUUAAAGACUUAAAUUUUUUUUCAUAAUCUUGGCAAUCUUAAUUUGGUGCAGACUUUUAUUAUUUAUAAUGUAUGAUUAAGGUAUAAUUAUUUGUAUAUUGUUAUCUACUGAUUUGUUAAAAUUAACAAAUUUAUAUGAGAGAGAUUUUAAUAUUUCUUUGGAGAUUUAUCAAUUGAUGAUUGAUAAAAAUAAAAAUCAUAAAAUAAUAAUCUAAAUCAUGCAUGACUAAUAAUAUAUAAUAUCACAAAAUUGUUAAACGGCAAGUAAAAUCUAUAAACAAAGAUUGUAGAUUUUGAGGUAGCUNNNNNNNNNNNNNNNNNNNNNNNNNNNNNNNNNNNNNNNNNNNNNNNNNNNNNNNNNNNNNNNNNNNNNNNNNNNNNNNNNNNNNNNNNNNNNNNNNNNNNNNNNNNNNNNNNNNNNNNNNNNNNNNNNNNNNNNNNNACAUAGUUAUUUGAUAUUUAUAUCCCUAUAAAUAAAAAAAUGAUUAUGUUUUAUAAUUUAGAAAAUAAGUAUAUUUACUAUGGAUAUUUUUAAAAUAUCUUAUUUACUUCUCAUUCGGAUAAAAAUUAUAAAAUUUACUUUUCUAUUUAAAUAUAAAUGUCUAAAAUAAAGAGGGCAAAGCACUAAUCCAUGGAAAUACAAAACCAGUAGAUGGUGGGGAAAUAUAUAUAUAUAUAUAUAUAUAUAUAUAUAUAUAUAUAUAAUCCUCACGAGAUGGAGGGUAAUUCUGGCAUUUUGAAAAUUAAGGAAGUUGCACAGAAGUUUCAUGUCUCUCGAGGAUUGAGAAAGCAACUUAUAUUAUUAGCUAAUUAAUUUUAUGAGUCAGUUUAACAAUUUACGGCACAAAUAAAAUAGUUUUUUAAGCACUACAUAAAUAUAUAUGUUGUAAUUUCAUCUCAAAGCAACAUGCGCAUGAAGUGGUAACGAAAUACAACCAAAAAAGUUGUUAAGCGAUAAUUCUCAUGUUGAAAUUAGAAUUUGUUAAUUGGCCUAAGCACUGUUUAAUAUUUACUUUUAAAAAGGAUAUGGCAUUAAAUUCACUUGCUAAGAUAUUGGAGUAGUGUUGAUGCAAUUUUCUGUCAUGCCUGCAGAUUCAACUCGCUAAGAUUUCGGUUAUGCCUUCAGGUUCAAGUAUUGUUGCUGAUUUAUGCGAGCUGUUGGGAUAAUUGAGCAUGGCUUUAGAUUCAAUUUGAGCAAAUAUAUUUUACAGAUAAUCAUUUUUAUUUAACACAGGUGAACAUUUCAGUAACGCGUACGUGGCUUUCUAAUUCUACACGUCCCUUCUUAUAUUAUAAAUAAUUACAGUUAUAAACCAAAAAAAAAAAAAAUGCAUGUACAGCAACUACAAAUACGUAUUAGACGCCCGCAUUAUUAUUAAUAUUUUAAUGGGGGAAAAAAUGACAUGCAGAGAAGAGGCAGCCGCCUAAUACUUUUGACUUGAAAACAAAUCUCGUGCACACCGUGACAUAUCUGUUGCAUUUCAAUCUAAGGAAUAAUUCAAUAUGCACACCGUGAAUCAUCGCAAAAAUAAUUCAAUAAAUAUGCUUUCGAUGGCUAAAAAAUACCGACAUUCACAUUAAUCUCUGAGGGCCCAGCUUUAAGAAGAAAUCUGAUUAGUGUGGAAAUAUGAGACGUGAAGGAAUCAAACGUAUUUCAAAAUAAAACAUUUAAAGGGACACGUCAUGAGAGAGCCAAGUAACAUAGAAAAGAGCUAUAACAUCAAAUGUCCCCAAAACCUUAUUAACUUUCUUUCCUUGCCCAGAAGCAAAAACAUUAUUCUCCUUUAACAAACAGCUACAAGAACUUGGAACAUCCCAAAACAUUAUUCUCUAUUUCCUCAUCUUUUUAUUAUUCCUGGUAACAUUGCACUAUAAAUGAGAUAAAUGCAUUUAUCCGCACACAUAUUAAUGGAGGAGACAAAUUAAAAUUUCCCAUGCAUAAUAAACUAAUUACCCACAGGUACAAUUAAAGUUUCAAAUAGACAUAUUUAUGAAAAUGCCUAGAGCCUACCAAACUUCUUAGUUAAUCUGCUCACAAUAGAACAUUUGACAACCACUUUUUGAUCAAUUGGGUUAUUAAUCGCCUUUGUGUUCUUUGAAACCUCAUUCUUGGAUUUGGUUGCUGAGUUUCCAAUUAUUAAUUGAACUCUAGUCAUUGAUACAUAUGAAUGCUUAUGGUACCGUAAGAUGGAAUCUGUCAUAGACUGAUUAAUUAUUUCAUGUUUCUUUUACUGGCUAAUUGGUUUUUUAAACAUAUAUAUAUAUAUAUAAAUUAUCUAACACUAUGGAAGAAGAGUAUCACAAAAAAACUCUUUAGAUUUUAUUUUUUAAAUAUCUAUUUACUUACCUAUGCGGUAAAUAGAAAAGUGAAAAAAUAAACUCUCCCCUAAAAAACUCUUCAAAUAAUGCAAGAUAAUAUUAUUUUAAUUAAAUCUUUUUCUUUACCACAUUUAAUUACUCUUCAUUUUAUCACUCCAACUAUUUUAGUCAAAUCUUUACUGCUAAGUAAUUUUAUGUUGAUUUUAAAUGUCGUUGUCAUUGUUGUUGUUAUAUUUUAAAUAUGUUUAUCUUUUAGUAAUUCUAUUGAUAUGCCCUUAAUAUGUUUUUAGAUUUUAUGUUGAUUUCACACUCCUGUAAGGUCCAUUUUGAAAAUUUUUUACUACGUUUGUGACCAUUAUUAUUAGGUUGAAUAUGUCAUUUUUUUAAUCUUAAAUUUUAAAAAUAAACGCAAAAUCUGAAUGCACAAAGCUGAUGGAUUUGGCGCAUAUAGAAAUUAGUUUUUCGAUAUUUUGGCUGUGUUUUAUUCUUAUAGAUAAAUAAUCAAAUCCUACAUGUAUAUUGGUCAAUUUGGCUUUAGUUACAUGACAUAAUUUUUUUUUUUUAAUAUAUAUGGAGUUGAACUAAGAAGAAAGAAUCUAUUUGCGAAUAUUCAAAUGCCACGUGCUGGUUCAUUGGUCCAUUUAGCUUUAGUUCAUCGUCCGUGGGUAGGUGACAUACUUGUUACUUACCUGCAUGCACCCCAAAAUCGCUAAAUCGUACCAAUUUUUUUUCCAUGUAUCCAUUUGCGAGUAGGAAACAGUUAAUCUCACAACCGAUAAUUAAAGUGGGUCUGCAUUUAGCACACGCUUUAAGCUCUUUCUAUUAUUUUGUUAAUUUUUUUAUAAUUAAUACUUAGUUCAUUGGUCCUGCCAUAAGAUUUUUGCAUUGGUACAGCGCGCGAUUGACUUUAAGCUCUUUCUAGUUUGUUUUUUUUUUUUUUUUUGUUUUUUGUUUUAAUGAAACAAAAUCAAAAUCAAAAUAAUGAAAGAGGUAAAGGCCAUUGGACUCGUUGCCGAGAGCAAAUGGCGCAUUUCAACGUCAUUCACGCGUACAGCAACAUUAUUGAAGAGCUUUUGGAUAAAACUGCGCCCUUCUUGUACUUCAAAAAUCCUUUGAUCAAGUUAGCCUUGCUUUAAUUUGGCUAUUGAUUACAUAUUAUUUCCAAUUUCUUCUAGAAAACCGUUGGUUUUCGGCAUAGUUAAGAGAUUAGAAAACGAAAAUCAAAAUUUGGAUGGAUGGAUGAUAGGAGAUUUCUUGGCUCGUUCCCGAAAGUAAAGGGAAUGCUGUGAAAGUCAUAAGUAGUCACUUUCACUCGUUUAUCAAUUUGAUUCAAUUUCUCAAAAGUAAUCCACAAAGAGAUUGUAAUACGUUUUGUCAUAAUCUCUCGUCUCACUAAUUGUUCAUGGUUACUGAUGGAAUUUUCACAAUUCCACUCAUACAGACUUCCCGUGGAAGACAUCAACUUGCAAACAGGAAAUAAUAAUAAUAAUAAUAAGAAUAAUAAUGAAUUAGAGUAAGAACGCAUUGCAAACAUUAAAAUAAAAAUUAAUAAUAUGUGAUAAAUAUAAAUUUUAAAUAAUAAUUUUGACAAAAUUAUUAAAAAGAUAAUAGAUUUUCUAUCAUACAAAUGAAAAAUUGUAGCAACAUAUUUUCUUAACUACAGCAAUUAGUAUUUAUUAAACAUUUUAGUGUUGGGAAAAAUUUAAUUAGUAGAAAAUCUUGGGAAAAAUACUUCAAAAUCCAUCAAUUGUGCAUGAAAAGAAACAACCAUUUUUAAUCUUUUGCAAGCAUAGCUCGUAUAUCAACUUUAAACAUUUAAGGAAAACAUUUUCCUUGCAAAAAUAUAAGCGACUCUACAAAAGCCUGAAGAGUUCCCCUAAUCAGUGCAGCUUACUGAUGUUAAGAGACACAUUCAAUCAAUUUUCCUGACUUCCAACCUUCAAUUUAAUGCAAUCACGGUCAUUAGCCUCCUAUCCUUACCUUAGGGUAAGAAUUUCUAUUUAUUGUAUAUUUAACAGCAGAGCUAGACUCUAUCGUUAAAAAAUAAUUAUUUUCAUACUAAAGACUAGUUUUAAACUAAAGCUGAAAUCUGUUUAUUUUAAAUAUAUCUUUUAUGGACCUUUUGGUCUUCUUUAAGCGUGAGCUUUAUUUGCAACAGAAGUCCAUGAUUGAAAAAAACCAAACUGUAUGUGAUUUAUUUUUACUGUUCUUUCACUACCACAUGAUUUAUUUGCAUCUCAAUAUAGAUGCAAUGUUUUUCAGCAUUACCCAAGUCAUUCUCUCAAUUUUCUUGGUCCAUUUGGCUUUAGUUACAUGACAUAAUUUUUUAGAUAUGGAGUUUAAUUAAGAAGAAAGAAUCUAUUUGCGAAUAUUCAAAUGCUACGUGCUAGUUCAUUGCUCCAUUUGGCAAAUGGAUACAUGGAAAAAAAUUGGUACGAUUCAGCGAUUUGGAGAUCAGUGCUUUACUUUUGAAGACAUCAAAGUUAAAAGAAUAAAUAUAAUAAUAAGUCUAUGACUAAAUAAUAUUAAAUAAAAUAAAUAAAUAAUAUUUAUUUUUUAAGAUUCACUACUGAUUAUUUUAUUUUAUUUGAUAUUAUUUAAUUUUUUAAAAAAUAAUAUAAUAAUAAGUAAAUGACUAAAUAAUGCUAAAUAAUAUUUUUUUUAAGACUCAUUAUUGAUUAAACGAUAUAAAUUUGAAACAAAUCAAACUUAUAUGUUUAAGAUUUUAACUCUUUUAACUUUUUUGAGUUUUCAAUAAAUAUUAGGGAGUAUAAUCUUAAUAAUCAAUAAGACAAAUCUUUACCAUUGAAAUUAUUUUUCAUUAAAUCCAACGGUGAAUGUCUAAAAUAAUUAAAAAAAUUUGAUAGUAACUGACAUCUAUUGUAAGGUAGCUAGAUCCAGGUAUAUGAAUAUAAAACAGCCAAUCCGACUACCCAGAGGUAAAGUGAGUCUGCAUUUGGCUAUUAAUAAUUUGUUUAUUACUAUUGCCAUAUGCCAAUUCUCAAUAUUUAUAUAAAAUUUUAAUGGCUAUUAGUAAGAGUAAGGUACUAGAGACUAGAGCUGGCAAAAUUUAACACGACCCGAUUACCCAACACGGACACGACAUAAAUAAAUGGGUAUGAGUAGUCAAAUUUAAUACGAUUAUUAAAUGGGUCGGGUCCGGGUCAACACGAUUUUUUUCCGUGUCGGGUUUGGGUUAAAAUUCUUAACCCAUUUACCCGAUCAAUGACCCGAUUAUAUUUUCUAUUUUAAAAUAAUUUACAUAUUCUUAUAAUUAAAACUCAAAUAUUAGAGAUGAUUUUCUUUUUUUUUCUUUAAAAGGGUGAAUAUAAACACAGUGUUUUAUUUAUAAAAUUUUACAUACAUUUAGAGUUUCAAUAGUGUAAAUGUGUAAUAUAUUGGUAGAUAUGUAUAUUUUAUAAUAUUGAUAAAUUAUGUAUGUAUGUAUGUAAGUAUGUAGUUAUGUACAUACGUAUGUAUGAUAGUGUGUAAAUAUUUGAUGUAACUUUUGUUCAAUAUAUAUAUAUUAAACGGGUUAUUGGGUAACCCGAUUAUUUUUCCGUGUCGGGUUUGGGUCUCAAUAUUUUGACACGAUUAUUAAAUGGGUCGGGUUUGGGUCGAUCUAAAUUUAACACGACACGAAUACGACUCGAUGACCCGUUUUGUCAGCUCUACUAGAGACUGGAUAUAUAAAAAUGAAAAACAGAAUAAAUCUGACACAAAAUUUUAUUUAAUAUAAUAUACCCCUGUCCAUAUCAUAACCAAUUAAAUCACCGCUUCUUUUUUGGAAAAUUAUAAAUAUUAAAAUUAAAAAGACAAGAAUAAACAAAUCUAGAAAAAAGCACAAAGAAGCACUACGUAUCUAACAUUGGAUUGACCCCCGGAUUCAGAGAAGUGCUUUUCAAGUCUUUUCUGUGAUGAAGCCACCAAUAGUUGAGCAGCUAAACUAAAAGGACAAAAGAUACCUGCCAGUUCAUGAUAUCCACGGACAUUGGCCAUGCAAAACCAAUCUCUUUCCAGACGAAAAAGACUUAGAUUCCACUUUAUAAAUAGUAAUUAUAAAUAUUACAUUUAAUAUGAGGGUUUUGAUAGAUAUUUAUCAAAACAGCUUCAGGUUCCCAAUAAGCCACCAGAGGAACAAAUCCACAAGCCAAUAUUCCAAAAGAUUUUUGCUUUUCAUGAAUUAAUACUAUUAAUUUAAUGGGUCUGCCAUCGCUCCCUUAUCUAUGUCUUAAUUAUAAUUAUGUGACUAGAACUUGAACAAAGAUUGACUUGUCGAUGUGUUGUCCGGCCGAAUCCACUUGUUGGGCAGUGAGGGUAAUUGCUUCCGGUGGAAAAAGAAAAAAAAAGCUUAAAUUUAAUGUUAAUUUUGGGAUAAUUAAUUUCAGGAGUAAUUUUUUAAAGAGAUGAAUCAAUUUUAUAAAUUGUCUUUUUGCAGUGGGGAUAAAUUAAUAUUUUCUAUUAAUUAUUUUAAAUCAGAGUCAUCACCUAGAAAAAUUAUUCUGUAGAGGAUAAAGAAUAAGAACAAGAUUGCAAGAGAAGAAAGACUCCAUUUUAUUUUAGGAGUGAGAAAACUGAAAAAAAAAAACCAGAAAAACAAAACAAGACAACAGAGUAAGUGGGUUCAAGAAGCAUUUUUUUUUUCUAUACGACAUUGUCCACACGAACUUGAGGACCCUUUGAACUCUUUUAAUGCGUGCCAGCUUUUGCUUGAUUUGUAUACCGAAUUUCUAAAACGUCAUCAGCUUUAAAUAAUAUUAAAAAGAAGAAGGUACCAUUUGCCUUAUCGUCUUUGUAAUUAGUUGUGGGUUUGUAACAAAUUUAAACUACGAGUAUGCGUGAGGGCAAUAAUCUCCGCACCAUUUAAUCACUGUGGAGAUACAUGAGAUGUGAAGGAAGGAAUUAAGUAUCUUCAAGAGAAAAUAUUUACUGUUUUGAUUCUUUUGGAUUUUCAGCCACUUGCAUUACCAAAAUCAUUAUCUCAAUUUCUCAUCAAUUGACCCCUUUGUUAAGAAUAAGGUUAUUAAGAAUUAAAUUAGUAGAAAAAUCUUGGGAAAAAUACUUCAAAAUCCAUCAAUUGCGUAUGAAAAGAAACAACCAUGUUUAAUCUUUUGCAAGCAUAGCUCAUAUAACGAUUUUAAACAUUUAAGCAAAACAUUUUCCUUGCAAAAUAUAUGGAUGACUCUACAAAAACCUCAAAACCAUCAAGAUUUUCGCUGUUUCACUACCACAUGAGAAAAAAACAAAUGGUAUUUUCAAAUUAAUUAUGAAAAGAAAAAAAAGUUGUUCAGAAAAUAUAUGUGAAUAAAUUAUGCAUCUUCCAAUAAAUAGAUGCGUCUAACAAAUAUAAUUGAUAUAAUAAUGGAUACAAUCAUAUUAUAUGUAUAAGCUUUGUGUGCUAAUAUCACUAGUGUCAGUGACAAAAACGACCAACAUACACAAUAAUCUCUAUUAAAUUUAGAUGGAUCUAAAUUACCAAUUUUGUAACUUAAUUAGACCCAAUUAAUACACAUACAUACAUACAUACAUACAUAAAUAAAUAUGUAAGCUCAUAGUACAAUCGUUUUUGCGCUAUUCAUUAGUUGUUUUUAUUUAUAUUUUUAGUUAGUCAAUCUACCUUUUAUAGAACUGGGAAACAAAUUGUAGUUUAGGGAAUAAAUUUAUAUUUAAAAAAAAAUUAUUCUGUAGAGGAUAAAGAAUAAGAACAAGAUUGCAACUUGCAAGAGAAGAAAGAUUCCAUUUUAUUUUAGGAGUGAGAAAACUGAAAAAAGAAACAAAACAAGACAACAGAGUAAGUGGGUUCAAGAAGCUUUUUUUUUUCCUCUAAACGACAUGGGGCCUUUGUGAGGAUAUCCAAAAAGCAGUACGUAGGUUCUGGUGGGGGACAAAACAGGAGAAAAAGAGUAUCAUUGGGCGAGGUUGCUGCCUGCUCGUGUGGAGAUAUGAGACGUGAAGGAAUAUAACAUUAAAAAUAAAACAUUUAAGGGACACGUGAUGAAUCAUCUUGUGGCAGCAAUUCAUCAAGAUUUUCGAUCGUUCGUGCCAACUCCCACAUGAGCAAAAAAGCAAACGGUAUGUCAUUAACCAGGAGCUGGCUAGGUUACAGAUUCUGUAACAUACAGAUCCAACUUAGCCACCUCCUGAUUGGUUAGCUAGCUACCAAACAAACCAUCUCAAUAUAGAUGCAAUGAUUUUCAGCAACUUGCAUUAGCCAAGCCAUUCUCUCAAUUUUCUUUAUGCUUUUAGUGAUCAAUUUACACCUCACUUACCAACUAAGGUUUUUUUUUUCUAAUUUUCUUAAUUUGGAAUUUAAUAAAGCAGAAAGAAUCUUGAAAACUCCUUCAUUUGCAACAGAAGUCCAAAGGGGUCGGUGACACAGAAUGUGAACUAUUUUCACACGUACGAGAGAGCCAAGUUACCAAGCAAAAAGCUAUAACGUCACAGUUUAACUUUCUUUCCUUGCCCAGAAGCAAAAACAUUAUUCUCCAUUAACAAACCGCUACAAGAACUUGGAACAUCCCAAAACAUUAUUCUCUAUUUCCUCAUCCUUUUAUUAUUCAUGGUAACAUUGCACUAUAAAUGAGAUAAAUGCAUUUAUCUGCACCCAUAUCAAUUGAGGAGAGUCUGGUGGUGGGUAUGGGUUGGGUUUUAAGUCAAUUCAAACCAAACCAUAAAAAUUUAAGCUCAACUCAAACGAGUCAAACCAACCCAAAUAUUUUUAACCUGGCCCAAACUAACCUAUUUAGGUUUGGUUUGAAUUUUAUAAUAAAAAUAUUUUUAUUUUAAUAAAUUUAACUAUAUAAAAUUAUAAUUAUUAUUAAUUAUUAAAUUAAUAUUAAAAUAUGAAAAAAUAUAGCGGAUAAAAAUUAUGAAUAAUGGAUUUUACAAUAACUAUGUUCUUAAAUAUUAACCAUAUUACAACAUAAAUUCUAACAAUGUCAAUACAAAUUAAAGUAAGAUAAGAUAUCCCAACUCAAGUAUCAAAGCAAUCCAUCAAAAUUAAAUUAUUUAAUUUUAUAAAUUUAAAUCUUCUGAGAUAAAUCUAAAAUUUAAUGUAAUUAAAAAAAGCGCCAAAAUUUUAAAUGCAGUAAGAAAAAUUAAACAUGAAAUCUAAUUAGGUUUAAAUUUAAUUAAAAAAUAACAAUAGAAUCAUAUUUUAUUUGAUAAAAUCUUAUAAUCAAUUACAUUUUUAAUUUUAGUAAGUUACAAUACAAAUAGGACUAUAAAAUUAUAUUAGAGGAUUUCAUAAAAAUAUUGUUUGAGUAAUUUAUUAAAAUGUUAAUUUAGUCUUGUAACUCAAGUUGAGACUGUAAAAAAUUGUUAUAUAAUAGUGUAUAGUACAACCAAUUGCAUAUGUAUUUGCCAUGUGUAGCACUUCUAUUAUUAUUAUAUAAUAAUAAUUAGUAGUGGUAUAAUUACUAUAUAAUAAUAGUUAUUAGUAGUAUAAUUAUUAUAUAAUAAUAAUUUUAAUAAAAAAUAUUAUUAAAAUAUUGAUUUAACCUUUUAUUUUUUAAUUUAUUUUUCAUUGAUAUGUUACUUUGAAUUUGUUCAUGACCCAUGGGUAAACCAUACCCAAUCCAUUGUGAAAUGGUUUCUUGCAUAAAAACCCAAAUUUAACCCAUUACCUGAAUUAUCCAACCCAUACCAUUUUAUUUGGUUUGAGUUUAAGUAAGCCCAUGGGUUAUGGGUUGUGGGUUUAUACCCACCCCUAGAGGAGACAAAUUAAAAUUUCCCAUACAUAAUAAACCAAUUAUUCCACAGGCACAAUUAAAAUUUCAAAUAGAUGUAUUUAUGAAAAUGCCUAGAGCCUACCAAACUUCUUAAUUAAUCUGCUCAAAUUGGAACAUUUGACAGCCACUUUUUGAUAAAUUGGGUUAUUUAACGCCUAUUAUACUUUGAAACCUCACUCUUGGAAUUGGUUGCUGAGUUUCCAGUUACUAAUUGAACUAUAGUCAUUAACACACACGUAUAUUUACGCUUAUGGUACAGUCGGAUGGAAUCUGUCGUAGACUAAUUAAUUACGACAUGUUUCUUCUGCUAGCUAGUUGGUUUUUUAAACGUAUAUAUGAAUCAUCUAUAACACUAUGUAACAAUACAAAUAGGGGUGGCAAAAACGAGUAAACAAAUUGAAUUCGAAUCGAAUCGUAAACGAAUUGAACUAAAAUUCUAUUGAUUCGGAUUCGAUUCAUUUAAUAAAUGAAUCGAAAUAUCAGGAUUUGAAUUCGAUUCGUUUAUUAAAUGAACAUUCAGUUUGAUCUGUUUAAUAUAAUUAAUAAACGAAACGAAUCGAAUCUGAAUUCGUUUGCUAUUUGUUUAUUCUUAUGAAUCCAUAAUUAAUCGAAUCGGAUUUGGAUUCAUUUACAAUUCAUUUAUAAAAUACAAUAUUAACCUUCAAAUUUUUUUAAAAAAAUUAAAUAAAUUUAAAGACAAAAAGUAACUCAAUUAAACGAAUUUUAAACGAAUGGACCAUAUUCGAUUCCUUUAUGAUCCAUUUAUUAAAUGAAUCCUAAAUGAAUAAACAAAUUAAUAUUUUCAAACGAGAAUUUAAUUUAUUUAAUUAGCGAAUCAAAUCGAAUUUAUCCAUUUAUUAAAUAAAUUAAUUUUUUUAAAUCUAAAUCUAUUUAAUUUAAAUCGAAUCGAAUCGAAUAUACGAAUUCUAACCCAAAUUGCCACCCUUAAAUACAAAUAAUCGAGAUUAAACAAGAUUAAAUUAAACGGAAGACUUAUGAAGCUUGAAAGUCACAAAGCUUUUCUAUUAUAAUUAAUACUGCACAGAAGGCAAAUUCAAUUUAACUUCUUAGAUCUCCUAAAGCUGUAUGAUUGGAUUGGAUCUUAAUUAAUAAUAACUGCAGGAGGAAUUAUAAGAACCCACCCAAGACGUAUUAGAUACUUCUCACGAAGUAUUAACUAUUAAGUCUACCAACAUACAAAAGAAUAUUUCACGUGCCUGCAGCAGGGCCAUUUUUGGAAAGCUUUUAGUACGGUUAUCCGUUUGCGACCAUUAUUAUUAGGUUAAGUGUGUUAUUCUUUAUCUUAAAUUUUAAAGAUAAGAGUUAGAAUAUUGGCACCCUCCUGUUAUAGUCUUAAAACUCAUUUUUUAAAUAUACUCUAUUAAAUAAUUUGAAACAUCAGAUAACUUUUAUGGAGACCCUCUUUUAUUCCACAAAUAUCCUUAUUUCACUUUUUCUCUGAACAAACUCCAUUCAUGAUGUCUCUUUUCUUAAUUUCUUUAGGUACAUGAACAAAAAUUUAUAUAUUUAAUACUAAUUGUGCAUCUUAUAAAAAAGAUACUAGCUAAUUUCUGUUUGGGAUUGAUUAUUUUUAUGGCAGUUUGUCUAUUGUUUAACUUUACAUAGACUUAAAAUUCAAAAUAAGAAAAAAUUGAAAUUUGAAUGUCUUGAGUGCAUUUAAAUGCUUACAAUAAGUCAUGAGAUAUUUUCAUCUUCAUCUAUUUUUAUUCAAAAAAAAUUUCUAGGGUUGGACCAUUUCUUUACGCAUCAAAACAGGAUACAAUUGACAUUUUUUAAGAUAAUUAAAAAUAAUGAAUAGUCCAGUGAAAAUUAAUGGAUUUACUUUAGUUAGUGUAAAUUAGUUUUGCCAAGGGUAAAUAUAAUUCAAGCUCAUCAAACUCUUUAAAAGAGAAAGAAUAAAUCUGCAACUAUAAAUGUGGUCUUCAAAUUUCAUUUGCACUUUGGCAUUGGAUGAGGUACAUGGGGUUUUUUUUUCGAUUAGGGAUAAAUUUGCAAACAAAAAUAAGAGGGGUUUUAAGAGGAUAUUGGAGGUGUGCCAAUAGCACCACUCCAAAGAUAAAUGCAAAGUCUUCAUGCAACAGAAAUAGAAAUAAAUUUUUCGCUUUUUUUACUGUGUUUUAUUCUUAUCGAUAAAAUACCAAAUGAUUGAGUCCAAUCAUGAAUAUCCGACUAAGGUGGGCGUCAUUUUAUUCUUAUAGUGCGUGAUCGUUUUUAACCAUUUAAUGAUUAAACUACAGAGUUUUAUCAUUUAAUGCUGAAAUUUAAAUAUGUAAUUUUUUCCAUGACAUUUCUUUGCGAUUGAUAGUACACAAUCCAUAAUUGUUUUCCCAUCAUAUAAGGGUCAUCCACCCUUAUGAGAAGAAGAAAAAAAGAAAGAGUUCAGCUACGUUGGAGCAUCUCUAAAUGCAAAGCAACCCCCACAACCAUUCGAUGGAUAUUGUUACAAUUGGAAAUGCUCCAAUGUAGUCGCUGCCAAAAAGAAAUUAUGAAACUUAUUAGGAACUUAAUUAGUAGAAAAUCUUGGGGAAAAUGCUUCGAAAAGCAUAAAUUGUAUAUGAAAAGAAACAACCUUGUUUAAUCUUUUGCAAGCAUAGCUCAUAUAACGACUUUAAACAUUUAAGCAAAACAUGUUUCUUGCAAAAACAUGAAAAGUUCCACCAAACAGUGCAGUUUACUGAUGUUAAAAAACACAUUCAAUCAGUUUCCCUAACUUCCAACAUUCAAUUUAAUGAAAUCACAGUCAUUAGCCUCCUACUCUUACAAUAGGAUAAGAAUUUCUAUUUAUUGUAUAUUUAACUUCAGUGCUAGACUCUAGUGCUACAGAGAUUGUCCGCAAAAGUAAAACAGAUCAUUCUUGUUAAUUUCCCUGGAUGAUCAGUUUCUUUGGUAAAAUAACUCUAGCACUUGCAGCCCCUGGGACUUCUUAAAAGAGAAAAUACAUAAUGGUGAAGUUAGGACCAUAAAAAAUACUCUUGGAAUUGAGCAACAUCAUGACAACCACAUUGCUUUCCAUAACAAUGACUAGUGGCAUGAUCAAAACAAGAGCAUAGAAAACAAUCUCUCAGCCAUUUAUAAGUCAUCAAUCAGUGUGAAUAUAUGAGAUACGAAGGAAGCAUGCACCUUUAAGAUAACAAAAACACAUAUAUAUCUUAAUAAAUACAAUAGUUCAUUCUCAUUGGAGUUUCAGAAACUAGCAUUAUCGAGAUUAUGCUCUCAAUCUCUGUGCUUAGUCAUCGACAUACAACCAUGCCAAAAGCUAGCCCUUCCCAACUAAGUCCAAACGGAUGCCAAAAAGUGAACAUUGUCCCACAGACAAAAAGUGAAUUGCUACCAAAAGUAAUACACACCAAACAAUCAACACAUGAAAUACAGGACCUUUAGACAGGGUAAAUAGGGCUGAAGAAGAAACUAAAAACCCAUAGAAGCACUACGUUCUUCUCCUAAUACUAUUAAUGGACCAAAAAAACAUCAAAAAACACUUAAUAUACAAUUAGAGGAAGAAAUCCAUACCAAUGACAAGCUAAAUAUGACAUUUUUCUAGAAUUAAUAAUUCUGCAAACAAAAAAACACAUUAAUUAUCUGCAUUUUAAAUAAUCCUAAAAAGGAACAUAUCAUUUUCAUUUAUGUCAUAAAAAGAACAUACAAACACUGAUUUUUAAUCUAUUUUUAUUUCCAAGCAAAAACAACAUUCUUCUAUUCUUUCUCCAACAAGAAAACAAGUUAUGUUACAGUAGUCACUAGGCAGUAGGUAAAACACUUGGUAACUAAAUAUAUAGAAAUAAACCAAAAAGAGUUUUUAAAAACAAAAAAAAAUUGAAAAUAAAAAAUGAUUAAAAAAGAAAUGAAAAUAUCAAACCCCUUCUUCAGAACAAUUCAAACAGGGAGUUACUGGUUCUUAAUCCAACAGUAAGUAAUAUUCCACUGAAACCCCUCCACCAAUCUGAAAACAUCACAGAAAACGAGCAACGCCACAUUUAACUGUCUUUAAGUUGUAAAAAAGCUUCAAGCUUUGCAGAUGUGAGGAUAUAAUGAGAAACCAAUCAUAGAACAUGCCACGAGCAAGGGCACAAGCAGAGGAAAGAUCUUCAAUGCCUCAGUGUGAUGAUAAUCAUCAUGAAACAAUAUCAACAGAUGUGAUUUAGGGAUACAUCUCAUAUAACAACCUUCAAAUGAUAUUAAUAUACAGCGAUAGAUCGAUAUAAAAUAAAUAACUUCAUAAAGAAAGGGUUUACAAUAGGGGGAAUGAAAAGAAUAUUGAGGUAAAAGGCUGAGCUCUGGUUACCGUUCUUUCAUUUGUAUGUAAAGCCUCUCAAAUUCUUUAGUCACAUCGUAAUAGAUUCUCCUAUAUGCAUAAUGAAUAAUGAUGUCAAAAGAAACCCCUGAACUUAGAAUUACUUCCACCUCUUUAUCUUCUUAGUUAUAAUAAGGCAUGAGUGAGCUUUGGUAUAUUUAUCUCGCAACUCCAAAACCUGGUAAGUCUCUCGCAAAACCUGAAUUUAGAUGAAUGGACUUCAAACGAAAGGAUUUUCUUACAAAAGCUAAAAAAAUAUAACGGCAUGGUGAGAAUGGGAAAAUGAAAAUAGAAAGCAAAAGAAAAAGUUUCCAUCCGAUAAGACAAGUACAAAAUAAUCCAAGUUCUUAUUUGCCAUGCCAAUAUUAUUCAUGAAGAACUAAUCUGAUUUCUUUUCCAGAUAAGGUUAGUAACAAUUAAUCUGUAAAUAACUGAACCAACUUGGUUACUACGACAUUACUCUUUCGCUUCCGCACUCAUUUUCUGCACAGUUGCGGUUCAUCAACGGCCGCGUUCACCAAAACGAGUUCACUCUCCCCACUUCACUUAUUUCCCCACCGUUAUGUCUCUCCAAGUGCAGCAGCAAGACAUGAACUCCUAUCAUUAUAAGCAAUAUAAAAAGCCCUCCUAAAAAUCCACCACCUGUUUGGCCAGAGAAACUCCAUUACUCAUUUCCACACUCUCAAUUUUCAGCCCUUUCAUCAAACAAAAGCAUUACUUACCCAUGUUUAGACAUAACUGACUUCAGCACAUAAAUUACGACAAGCUGGUCAAUUCACGUAAACAAGGAAAAAUUAACUCAAUCAAGUGAAGUAGGCACAAAAUGACCUCAAUGAGACAUCAGAGACCUCUAAAAUCAAAUCAAAUUCAGUUAAACAAAGAAUCACUGAUCAAAGAUAAGCAAAAGAAAAAAAGCAAUGAAUAACAGAAAGAAAUUUCUUAUAAAAAUUCAAUAAAAUUAAAAAAAAAAGCUAAUCAUCUUUUCUGGUUAAGUGAUUUCGUCAGCAAAUAAGAGAAAAUAGAAAUUCUGGAAUAUAC
RNAcentral lists this long non-coding RNA (115394 nucleotides) under Citrus x clementina. RNAcentral's name for it is "Citrus clementina (C. clementina) long non-coding RNA (CCLE_LNC000163)". Lineage: Eukaryota; Viridiplantae; Streptophyta; Magnoliopsida; Sapindales; Rutaceae. The record is from RNAcentral.